RNAcentral lists this long non-coding RNA (100146 nucleotides) under Triticum aestivum (bread wheat). Its description in RNAcentral is "long non-coding RNA (TAES_LNC024545)". The stretch from base 32939 to 33053 matches the Rfam family "MIR1120/MIR1122 microRNA precursor family". The record is from RNAcentral. Lineage: Eukaryota; Viridiplantae; Streptophyta; Magnoliopsida; Poales; Poaceae.
UGUUUUUUUGUAGUGCAAGCUCGGUAUGAUGACUACUUAAUAGUUUAGUGCACCAUGCUUUACGGCUUAGAACCGGGACUUAAAAAACGUUUUGAACGCCACAGAGCAUAUAGAUGUUCCAAGAGCUGAAUUUGGUAUUUCAGACUCAUGCCCGUGUCGAGAGGUAUGAGACCUCUGACAAGUACUUUGCCUACAAGAUGGAGGAGAAUAGCUCAGCCAGUGAGCAUGUGCUUAGAAUGCCUGGGUACUGCAAUCGCUUGAAUCAAGUGGGAGUUAAUCUUCCAGAUACGAUAGUGAUUGACAGAGUUCUCUAGUCACUAUCACCAAGCUACUAGAACUUCGUGAUAAACUAUAAUAUGCAAGGGAUGACGAAAACGAUUCCCGAGCUCUUCACGAUGCUCAAAUCGGCGAAGGUAGAAAUCAACAAAGAGCAUCAAAUGUUGAUGAUUAACAAGACCACUAGUUUCAAGAAAAAGGGCAAAAGGGAAAGAAAGGGAACUUCAAGAAGAAUGGCAAACAAGUUGCCACUCCCAUGAAGAAACCCAAAGCUAGACCCAAGCCUGAAACUGAGUGCUUCUACUGCAAAGGAAAUGGUCACUGGAAGUGGAACUCCCCAAAUACUUGGCGGAUAAGAAGGAUGGCAAAGUGAACAAAGGUAUAUUUGAUAUACAUGUUAUUGAUGUAUACUUUACUAGUGUUCAUAUUAGCCCCUGGGUAUUUGAUACCGGUUCAGUUGCUAAGAUUAGUAACUCGAAACAGGAGUUACAAAAUGAAUAGAGACUAGUCAAGGGCGAGAUGACGAUGUGUGUUGGAAGUGAUUCCAAGAUUGAUAAGAUCACCAUCGCACACUCCCUGUACCUUCGGGAUUAGUGUUGGACCUAAAUAAAUGUUAUUUGGUGUUUGCAUUGAGCAUGAAUAUGAUAGGAUCAUGUUUAUUGCGAUACGGUUAUUCAUUUAAGUCAGGGAAUAAUUGUUGUUCUGUUUACAUGAAUAAAACCUUCUAUGGUCAUACACCCAAUGGAAAUGGUUUAUUGAAUCUCGAUCAUAGUGAUACACAUAUUAAUAAUAUUGAUGCCAAAAGAUGCAAAGUUGAUAAUGAGACUGCAACAUAUUUGUGGCACUGCCGUUUAGGUCAUAUUGGUGUAAAGCGCAUGAAGAAACUUCAUGCAGAUGGGCUUUUGGAAUCACUUGAUUAUGAAUCAUUUGAUACUUGCGAACCAUGCCUCAUGGGCAAGAUGACUAAAACUCUGUUCUUCGGAACAAUGGAGCAAGCUAAUGACUUAUUGGAAAUAAUACAUACCGAUGUAUACGGUCCGAUGAGUGUUGAAGCACGCGGUGGGUAUCGUGACCUUCACAGAUGAUUUAAGCAGAUAUGGGUAUAUCUUACUUAAUGAAACACAAGUCUCAAACAUUUGAAAAGUUCAAGGAAUUUCAGAGUGAAGUGGAGAAUCAUCGUAACAAGAAAAUAGAGUUUGUACGAUCUGAUCACGGAGGCGAAUAUUUGAGUUACGAGUUUGGCCUUCAUUUAAAAAAUGUGGAAUAGUUUCGCAACUCACGCCACCUGGAACACCACAACGUAAUGGUGUGUCCGAACGUCGUAAACGUACUUUAUUAGAUAUGGUGCGUUCUAUGAUGUCUCUUACCGAUUUACCACUAUCGUUUUGGGGUUAUGCAUUAGAGAUAGCUCCAUUCACGUUAAAUAGGGCACCGUCUAAAUCCGUUGAGUUGACACUAUAUGAACUAUGGUUUGGCAAAAAACCUAAGCUGUCGUUUCUUAAAGUUUGGGGAUGCAACACUUAUGUGAAAAGGCUUCAGCCUGACAAGCUCGAACCUAAAUCGGGGAAGUGUGUCUUCGUAGGACACCCUAAGGAAACAAUUGGGUACACCUUCUACCACAGAUCCGAGGCAAGAUCUUUGUUGAUAAGAAUGGGUCCUUUCUAGAGAAGGAGUUUCUCUCGAAAGAAGUGAGUGGGAGGAAAGUAGAACUUGAUGAGGUAAUUGUACCUUCUCUCGAAUUGGAAAGUAGCACAUCACAGACAACCGUUCCCAUGAUGCCUACACCAACUAGAGAGAAAGCAAAUGAUAAUGAGCAUGAAACUUCAGAUCAAGUUACUACUGAACCUCGUAGGUCGACCAGAGCAUGAUCCGCACCAGAGUGGUAUGGUAAUCCUGUCCUGGAAGUCAUAUUACUAGACCAAGGCAAACCUACGAACUACGAAGAAGCUAUGAUGAGCCCAGAUUCCAACAGAUGGCUUGAGGCCAAUGAAAUCUGAGAUAGGAUCCAUGUAUGAGAACAAAGUGUGGACUUUGGUGGACUUGCCCGAUGAUCGGCAAGCCAUAGAGAAUAAAUGGAUCUUUAAGAAGAAGACUGACGCUGAUGGUAAUGUUACUAUCUACAAAGCUCGAUUUGUCGCAAAAGGUUUUCGACAAGUCCAAGGGGUUGACUAUGAUUAGUCUUUCUCACCCGUAGUGAUGCUUAAAUCCGGCCGAAUCAUGAUAGCAUUUGCCGCAUUUUAUGAUUAUGAAAUCUGGCAAAUGGACGUCAAAACUGCAUUCCUUAAUGGAUUUCUUAAAAGAGUUGUAUAUGAUGCAACCAGAAGGUUUUGUCGAUCCUAAAGGUGCUAACAAAGUGCGAAAGCUCCAGCGAUCCAUCUAUGGACUGGUGCAAACAUCUCGGAGUUGGAAUAUAUGCUUUGAUGAGGUGAUCAAAGCAUAUGGUUUUAUACAGACUUGUGGUGAAGCUUGUAUUUACAAGAAAGUGAGUGGGAGCUCUGUAGCAUUUCUAAUAUAUAUUAUAUGUGGAUGACAUAUUGUUGAUUGGAAAUGAUAUAGAAUUUCUGGAUAGCACAAAAAGGAUACUUGAAUAAGAAUUUUUCAAUGAAAGACCUCGGUGAAGCUACUUAUAUAUUGGGCAUCAAGAUCUAUAGGGAUAGAUCGAGACGAUUAAUAGGACUUUCACAAAGCACAUACCUUGACAAGAUUUUGAAGAAGUUCAAAAUGGAUCAGUCAAAGGAAGGGUUCUUGCAUGUGUUACAAGGUGUGAAGUUGAGUAAGACUCAAAGCCCGACCACGACAGAAAAUAGAGAAAGAAUGAAAGCCAUUCCCUAUGCCUCAGCCAUAGGUUCUAUAAAGUAUGUCAUGUUGUGUACUAGACCUGUUGUGUGCCUUACCAAUAAGUUUGUCAAGAGGAUACGAGAGUGAUCCAGGAGUGGACCACUAGACAGCGGUCAAAAUUAUCCUUAGGUGCCUUAAAGAGGACUAAGGAAAUGUUUCUUGGUUAUGGCAGUGAUAAAGAGUUCAUCGUAAAGGGUUAUGUCGAUGCAAGCUUUGACACCAAUCCAGAUGACUUUGAGUCUCAAUCUGGAUACAUAUUGAAAGUGGGAGCAAUUAGCUAGAGUAGCUCCAUGCAGAGCAUUGUAGACAUAGAAAAUUUGCAAAAUACAUACGGCUCUGAAUGUGGCAGACCCGUUGACUAAAACUCUCUCGCAAGCAAAACAAGAUCACUCUUUGGGUAUUAAUCACAUGGUGAUGUGAACUAGAUUGUUGACUCUAGUAAACUCUUUGGGUGUUAGUCACAUGGCGAUGUGAACUAUGAGUGUUAAUCACAGGGUGAUGUGAACUAGAUUAUUGACUCUAGUGCAAGUGGGAGACUGAAGGAAAUAUGCCCUAGAGGCAAUAAUAAAGUUGUUAUUUAUAUUUCCUUAUUCAUGAAAAAAAUAUUAUUCAUGCUAGAAUUGUAUUGAUCGGAAACCUAAAUACAUGUGUGAAUACAUAAACAAAUACCGUGUCCCCAGUAAGCCUCUACUAGACUAGCUCGUUGAUCAAAGAUGGUUAAGGUUUCCUAACCAUAGACAUGUGUUGUCAGUUGAUAACGGGAUCACAUCAUUAAGAGAAUGAUGUGAUGGAUAAGACCCAUCCGUUAGCUUAGCAUAAUGAUCGUUCAGGUUUUAUUGCUAUUGCUUUCUUCAUGUCAAAUACAUAUUCCUUCGACUAUGAGAUUAUGCAACUCCCGGAUACCGGAGGAAUGCCUUGUGUGUUAUCAAACGUCACAACAUAACUGGGUGAUUAUAAAGAUGCUCUACAUGUAUCUCCGAAGGUGUUUGUUGAAUUGGCAUAGAUCGAUAUUAGGAUUUGUCACUCCGAGUAUCGGAGAGGUAUCUCUGGGCCCUCUGGUAAUACACAUCAUAAGCUUGCAAGAAACUACUGAGGAGUUAGUAAUGAGGUGAUGUAUUAUGGAACGAGCAAAGAGACUUGCCGGUAAUGAGAUUUAACUAGGUAUGAAGAUAUCGACGAUCGAAUCUCGGGCAAGUAACAUACCGAUGGACAAAGGGAAUUACGUAUGUUGUCAUAACGGUUCGACCGAUAAAGAUCUUCAUAGAAUAUGUAGGAUCCAAUAUGGGCAUCCAGGUUACGCUAUUGGUUAUUGACUGGAGAGGUGUCUCAGUCAUGUCUACAUAGUUCUCAAACCCGUAGGGUCCACAUGCUUAACAUUCGAUGACGAUAUAGUAUUAUAUGAGUUAUGUGAUUUGGUGACCGAAUGUUGUUCGGAGUCCCGGAUGAGAUCACGGACAUGAAGAUGAGUCUCGAAAUGGUCGGGAGGUAAGGAUUGAUAAAUAGGACGAUGGUAUUCGGACACCGGAAGUGUUUCGGAGGGUACCGGGUACUUAUCGGGUCACCGAAAAGGAGUUUCGGGCACCCCCGGCAAAGAUAUGGGCCUAAUGGGCCAAAGGGGUAACAUACCCGCCCCUGGUGCGCCCCUUCUUUAGACAGCAGGCCCUAAGGGAAGGAAAGGGGGAGGGCUAGCCCCUCCUGCCUUUCCCUCUCAUGAGAGAAAGGAAAGGGAGCGCCACUCUCCCCUGCCUUUCCCCCGCGCCUAUAUAAGGCAGGGGGCGUGGCUUGGGAGGGACUCCAAGUAGGAUUCCUCCUACUUGGGCGCCUCCUCUGGCUGCUCCUCCCUCCCACCUAUAUAUAUGUGGGGAGGGUGCGCCACACAAGAACACAACAUUGUCUUAGCCGUGUGCGGCGCCCCCGUCCAUCGUUUACUCCCUCGGUCAUAUUUUCAUAGUGCUUAGGCGAAGCCCUACGGGGAUCAUUUCACCAUCACCGUCACCACGCCGUCGUGCUGACGGAACUCAUCUACUACCUCGAUGUCUUGCUGGAUCAAGAAGGCGAGGAACAUCACCGAGCUGAACGUGUGCAGAACACGGAGGUGUCGUGCGUUCGGUACUUGAUCGGUUGAAGCGCGAAGAAGUUCGACUACAUCAACCGUUGUUGCAAAACGCUUCCGCUUACGGUCUACGAGGGUACGUAGACACACUCUACCCCUCAUUGCUAUGCAUCUCUAUGGAUAGAUCACUGCGUGUGCGUAGAUUUUUUUUCAUGCAACGAUUCCCAACCCCAUCGUUAUAAAUAUUGAUCUUCUGAUGACCAUCUCCUACUCUCCAUACAUGUCCACGUUUGAUUAUGCUCAUGCAUGCCAUAAUACUUUGCCAAGUGUAUAUAUGGUGCCUUCUUCUUAAAUGUUGCAUUGAGCGGGUGCCGAUCUAAAAGUAUUUGGCUCUAAGAAUUGCAUCACAAACUGAAGGAAAUAUGACCUAGAGGCAAUAAUAAAGAUGUUAUUUAUAUUUCCUUAUAUCAUGGUAAAUGUUUAUUAUUCAUGCUAGAAUUGUAUUAACCGGAAACUUGAUACAUGUGUGAAUACAUAGACAAAACAAAGUGUCCCUAGUAUGCCUCUACUUGACUACCUCGUUAAUCAAAGAUGGUUAAGUUUCCUGACCGUAGACAUGUGUUGUCAUUUGAUGAACGAGAUCACAUCAUUAGGAGAAUGAUGUGAUGGACAAGACCCAUCCAUUAGCUUAGCAUAAUGAUCGUUAAGUUUUACUGCUAUUGCUUUCUUCAUGACUUAUACAUAUUCCUAUGACUAUGAGAUUAUGCAACUCCCGAAUACCAGCACCUUGUGUGCUAUCAAAUGUCACAACGUAACCGGGUGAUUAUAAAGAUGCUUUACAGGUGUCUCCAAAGGUGUUUGUUGGGUUGUCAUAGAUCAAGAUUAGGAUUUGUCACUCCGUGUUUCGGAGAGGUAUCUCUGGGCCCUCUCGGUAAUGCACAUCACUAUAAGCCUUGCAAGCAAUGUGACUAAUGAGUUGGUUGCGGGAUGAUGCAUUACGGAACGAGUGAAGAGACUUGCUGGUAACAAGAUUGAACUAGGUAUUGAGAUACCGACGAUCGGCUCUCGGGCAAGUAACAUACCGAUGACAAAGGGAACAACGUAUGUUGUUAUGCGGUUUGACCAAUAAAGAUCAUGAUUAGGAUUUCUCACUCCGAGUAUCGGAGAGGUAUCUCUCGGCCCUCUCAGUAAUGCACAUUGUUGGGGAACACAGUAAUUUCAAAAAAAUUCCUACGCACACGCAAGAUCAUGGUGAUGCAUAGCAACGAGAGGGGAGAGUGUUGUCCACGUACCCUCGUAGACCGAAAGCGGAAGCAUUAUGACAACACGGUUGAUGUAGUCGUACGUCUUCACGAUCCGACCGAUCCUAGUACCGCAAGUACGGCACCUCCGCGAUCUGCACAUGUUCAGCUCGGUGACGUCCCACGAACUCUUGAUCCAGCUGAGUUUCGAGGGAGAGCUUCGUCAGCACGAUGGCGUGAUGACGGUGAUGAUGAAGCUACCAGCGCAGGGCUUCACCUAAGCGCUGCACCGAUAUGACCGAGGUGGAUUAUGGUGGAGGGGGGCACCGCACACGGCUAAGACAAUGUCUGUUGUUGUGUUCUAGAGUGCCCCCCUGCCCCCGUAUAUAAAGGAGCAAGGGGGAGGCCGGCCGGCCCUUGGGGCGCGCCAAGGAGGGGAGGAGUCCUCCUCCUAGUAGGAGUAGGACUCCCCCUUUCCUAGUCCAACUAGGAGGAGCAAGGGGGAAGGAAGGAGAGGGAGAGGGGGAGGGAAAGAGGGGGCGCCGCCCCCCCCCCCUCCUUGUCCAAUUCGGACUCCUCAAGGGGGGAGCGGCCAUCCUCAGGCCCCCUCCUCUCUCUCACACACAAGGCUCAUGUUGGCCCAUUAGUUCCCCCGGGGGUUCCGAUAACCCUCCGGCACUCCGAUAAUUAUCCGGUGACCCCUGGAACUCAUCCGGUGUCCGAAUAUAGUCAUCCAAUAUAUCAAUCUUUAUGUCUCGACCAUUUCGAGACUCCUCUUCAUGUCCGUGAUCACAUCCGGGACUUCGAACUAUCUUCGGUACAUCAAAACACAUAAACUCAUAAUACCGAUCGUCACCGAACGUUAAGCAUGCGGACCCUAUGGGUUCGAGAACUAUGUAGACAUGACCGAGACACAUCUCCGGUCAAUAACUAAUAGCGGAACCUGGAUGUUCAUAUUGGCUCCCACAUAUUCUACGAAGAUCUUUAUCGGUCAAACCGCAUAAUGAUAUACGUUGUUCCCUUUGUCAACGGUAUAUUACUUGCCCGAGAUUCGAUCGUCGGUAUCUCAAUACCUAGUUCAAUCUCGUUAUCGGCAAGUCUCUUUACUCGUUCCGUAAUGCAUCAUCCCGCAACUAACUCAUUAGUCACAUUGCUUGCAAGGCUUAUAGUGAUGUGCAUUACCGAGAGGGCCCAGAGAUACCUCUCCGACAAUCGGAGUGACAAAUCCUAAUCUCGAUCUAUGCCAACUCAACAAGUACCAUCGGAGACACCUGUAGAGCACCUUUAUAAUCACCCAGUUACGUUGUGACGUUUGGUAGGACACUAAGUGUUCCUCCGGUAUUCAGGAGUUGCAUAAUCUCAUAGUCAUAGGAAUAUGUAUAAGUCAUGAAGAAAGCAAUAGCAAUAUACUAAAUGAUCAAGUGCUAAGCUAACGGAAUGGGUCAAGUCAAUCACAUCAUUCUCUAAUGAUGUGAUCCCGUUAAUCAAAUGACAACUCAUGUCUAUGGCUAGGAAACAUAACCAUCUUUGAUUCAACGAGCUAGUCAAGUAGAGGCAUACUAGUGACACUCUAUUUGUCUAUGUAUCCACACAUGUACUAAGUUUCCGGUUAAUACAAUUCUAGCAUGAAUAAUAAACAUUUAUCAUGAUAUAAGGAAAUAUAAAUAACAACUUUAUUAUUGCCUCUAGGGCAUAUUUCCUUCAGUCUCCCACUUGCACUAGAGUCAAUAAUCUAGAUUACACAGUAAUGAUUCUAACACCCAUGGAGUCUUGGUGCUGAUCAUGUUUUGCUCGUGAGAGAGGCUUAGUCAACGGGUCUGCAACAUUCAGAUCCGUAUGUAUCUUGCAAAUCUCUAUGUCUCCCUCCUUGACUUGAUCGCGGAUGGAAUUGAAGCAUCUCUUGAUGUGCUUGGUUCUCUUGUGAAAUCUGGAUUCCUUUGCCAAGGCAUUUGCACCAGUAUUGUCACAAAAUAUUUUCAUUGGACACCUAGAUCAGGUAUGAACUCCUUCAUCCAGACUCCUUCAUUUGCUGCUUCUGAAGCAGCUAUGUACUCCGCUUCACACGUAGAUCCCGCCACGACGCUUUGCUUAGAACUGCACCAACUGACAGCUCCACCGUUCAAUAUAAAUACAUAUCCGGUUUGUGACUUAGAGUCAUCCGGAUCAGUGUCAAAGCUUGCAUCGACGUAACCAUUUACGACGAGCUCUUUGUCACCUCCAUAAACGAGAAACAUAUCCUUAGUCCUUUUCAGGUAUUUCAGGAUGUUCUUGACCGCUGUCCAGUGAUCCACUCAUGCUUUACUUUGGUACCUCCCUGCUAAACUAAUAGCAAGGCACACAUCAGGUCUGGUACACAGCAUUGCAUACAUGAUAGAGCCUAUGGUUGAAGCAUAGGGAACAACUUUCAUUUUCUCUCUAUCUUCUGCAGUGGUCGGGCAUUGAGUCUGACUCAACUUCACACCUUGUAACACACGCAAGAACCCUUUCUUUGGUUGAUCCAUUUUGAACUUCUUCAAAACUUUAUCAAGGUAUGUGCUUUCUGAAAGUCCAAUUAAGCGUCUCGAUCUAUCUCUAUAGAUCUUGAUGCCUAAUAUAUAAGCAGCUUCACCGAGGUCUUUCAUUGAAAAACUCUUGUUCAAGUAUCCUUUUAUGCUAUCCAGAAAUUCUAUAUCAUUUUCAACCAACAAUAUGUCAUCCACAUAUAAUAUUAGAAAUGCUACAGAGCUCCCACUCACUUUCUUGUAAAUACAGGCUUCUCCAAAAGUCUGUAUAAAACCAUAUGCUUUGAUCACACUAUCAAAACGUUUAUUCCAACUCCGAGAUGCUUGCACCAGUCCAUAAAUGGAUUGCUGGAGCUUGCACACUUUGUUAGCAUCCUUUGGAUUGAUAAAACCUUCGGGUUGCAUCAUAUACAACUCUUCUUCCAGAAAUCCAUUCAGGAAUGCAGUCUUUACAUCCAUUUGCCAAAUUUCAUAAUCAUAAAAUGCAGCAAUUGCUAACAUGAUUUGGACGGACUUAAGCAUCGCUACAGGUGAGAAAGUCUCAUCGUAGUCAACUCCUUGAACUUGUCGAAAACCUUUUGCAACAAGUCGAGCUUUGUAGACAGUAACAUUACCGUCAGCGUCAGUCUUCUUCUUGAAGAUCCAUUUAUUCUCAAUGGCUUGCCGAUCAUCGGGCAAGUCAACCAAAGUCCACACUUUGUUCUCAUACAUGGAUCCCAUCUCAGAUUUCAUGGCUUCAAGCCAUUUCGCGGAAUCUGGGCUCAUCAUCACUUCCUCAUAGUUCGUAGGUUCGUCAUGGUCAAGUAACAUGACCUCCAGAACAGGUUUACCGUACCACUCUGGUGCGGAUCUUACUCUGGUUGACCUACGAGGUUCGGUAGUAACUUGAUCUGAAGUUACAUGAUCAUCAUCAUUAGCUUCCUCACUAAUUGGUGUAGGAGUAACAGGAACUAAUUUUGUGAUGAACUACUUUCCAGUAAGGGAGCAGGUAUAGUUACCUCAUCAAGUUCUACUUUCCUCCCAUUCACUUCUUUCGAGAGAAACUCCUUCUCUAGAAAGGAUCCAUUCUUAGCAACGAAUGUCUUGCCUUCGGAUCUGUGAUAGAAGGUGUACCCAACAUUCUCCUUUGAGUAUCCUAUGAAGACACAUUUCUCCGAUUUGGGUUCGAGCUUAUCAGGUUGAAGCACAUAAGCAUCGCAGCCCCAAACUUUAAGAAACGACAACUUAGGUUUCUUGCCAAACCACAGUUCAUAAGGUGUCGUCUCAAUGGAUUUAGAUGGUGCCCUAUUUAACGUGAAUGCAGCCGUCUCUAAAGCAUAACCCCAAAACAAUAGCGGUAAAUCAGUAAGAGACAUCAUAGAUCGCACCAUAUCUAAUAAAGUGCGGUUACGACGUUCGGACACACCAUUACAUUGUGGUGUUCCGGGUGGCGUGAGUUGUGAAACUAUUCCGCAUUGUUUCAAAUGAAGACCAAACUUGUAACUCAAAUAUUCUCCUCCACGAUCAGAUCGUAGAAACUUUAUUUUCUUGUUACGAUGAUUUUCCACUUCACUCUAAAAUUCUUUGAACUUUUCAAAUGUUUCAGACUUAUGCUUCAUCAAGUAGAUAUAACCAUAUCUGCUCAAAUCAUCUGUGAAGGUGAGAAAAUAACGAUACCCGCCGCAAGCCUCAACAUUCAUUGGACCACAUACAUCAGUAUGUAUGAUUUCCAACAAAUCUGUUGCUUGCUCCAUUGUUCCGGAGAAUGGAGUUUUAGUCAUCUUGCCCAUAAGGCAUGGUUUGCAAGUACCAACUGAUUCAUAAUCAAGUGAUUCCAAAAGUCCAUCAGAAUGGAGUUUCUUCAUGCGCUUUACACCAAUAUGACCUAAACGGCAGUGCCACAAAUAAGUUGCACUAUCAUUAUCAACUCUGUAUCUUUUGGCUUCAAUAUUAUGAAUAUGCGUGUCGCUACUAUCGAGAUUCAACAAAAAUAGACCACUCUUCAAGGGUGCAUGACCAUAAAAUAUAUUACUCAUAUAAAUAGAACAGCCAUUAUUCUCAGAUUUAAAUGAAUAACCGUCUCGCAUCAAACAAGAUCCAGAUAUAAUGUUCAUGCUCAACGCUGGCACCAAAUAACAAUUAUUCAGGUCUAAAACUAAUCCCGAAGGUAGAUGUUGAGGUAGCGUGCCGACCGCGAUCACAUUGACUUUGGAACCAUUUCCCACGCGCAUCGUCACCUCAUCCUUGGCCAAUCUUCGCUUAAUCCGUAGUCCCUGUUUCGAGUUGCAAAUAUUAGCAAUAGAACCAGUAUCAAAUACCCAGGCACUACUGCGAGCAUUAGUAAGGUACACAUCAAUAACAUGUAUAUCACAUAUACCUUUGUUCACCUUGCCAUCCUUCUUAUCCACCAAAUACUUGGGGCAGUUCCGCUUCUAGUGACCAGUCCCUUUGCAGUAGAAGCACUCAGUCUCAGGCCUAGGUCUGGACUUGGGCUUCUUCACUUGAGCAGCAGCUUGCUUGUCGUUCUUCUUGAAGUUCCCCUUCUUCCCUUUACCCUUUUUCUUGAAACUGGUGGUGUUGUUGACCAUCAACACUUGAUGCUCUUUCUUGAUUUCUACCUCCGCAGCCUUUAGCAUUGCGAAGAGCUCGGGAAUCGUCUUAUCCAUCCCUUGCAUAUUAUAGUUCAUCACGAAGCUCUUGUAGCUUGGUGGCAGUGAUUAAAGAAUUCUGUCAAUGACACUAUCAUCAGGAAGAUUAACUCCCAGUUGAAUCAAGUGAUUGUUAUACCCAGACAUUUUGAGUAUAUGCUCACUGACAGAACUAUUCUCCUCCAUUUUGCAGCUGUAGAACUUAUUGGAGACUUCAUAUCUCUCAAUCUGAGCAUUUGCUUGAAAUAUUAACUUCAAUUCCUGGAACAUCUCAUAUGCUCCAUGACGUUCAAAACAUCGUUGAAGUCCCGGUUCUAAGCCGUAAAGCAUGGCACACUGAACUAUCGAGUAGUCAUCAGCUUUGCUCUGCCAGACGUUCAUAACAUCUGGCGUUGCUCCUGCAGCGGGUUUGGCACCUAGCGGUGCUUCCAGGACGUAAUUCUUCUAUGCAGCAAUGAGGAUAAUCCUCAAGUUGUGGACCCAGUCCGUGUAGUUGCUACCAUCAUCUUUCAACUUAGCUUUCUCUAGGAACGCAUUAAAAUUCAACGGAACAACAGCACGGGCCAUCUAUCUACAACAACAUAGACAUGCAAAAUACUAUCAGGUACUAAGUUCAUGAUAAAUUUAAGUUCAAUUAAUCAAAUUACUUAAGAACUCCCACUUAGAUAGACAUCCAUCUAAUCAUCUAAGUGAUCACAUGAUCCAAAUCAACUAAACCAUGUCCGAUCAUCAUGUGAGAUGGAGUAGUUCUCAAUGGUGAACAUCACUAUGUUGAUCAUAUCUACUAUAUGAUUCAUGCUCGACCUUUGGUCUCAGUGUUCGGAGGCCAUAUCUGCAUAUGCUAGGCUCAUCAAGUUUAACCCGAGUAUUCUGCGUGUGCAAAACUGGCUUGCACCCGUUGUAUGUGAACGUAGAGCUUAUCACACCCGAUCAUCACGUGGUGUCUCAGCACGACGAACUUUCGCAACUGUGCAUACUCAGGGGGAACACUUGGACCUUGAAAUUUAGUGAGAGAUCAUCUUAUAAUGCUACCAUCGAACUAAGCAAAAUAAGAUGCAUAAAGGAUAAACAUCACAUGCAAUCAAUAUAAGUGAUAUGAUAUGGCCAUCAUCAUCUUGUGCCUUUGAUCUCCAUCUCCAAAGCACCGUCAUGAUCACCAUCGUCACCGGCGCGACACCUUGAUCUCCAUCGUAGCAUUGUUGUCAUCUCGCCAACUAUUGCUUCUACGACUAUCGCUACCGCUUAGUGAUAAAGUAAAGCAAUUACAUGGCGAUUGCAUUUCAUACAAUAAAGCGACAACCAUAUGGCUCCUGCCAGUUGCCGAUAACUCCGUUACAAAACAUGAUCAUCUCAUACAAUAAAAUUUAGCAUCAUGUCUUGACCAUAUCACAUCACAACAUGCCCUGCAAAAACAAGUUAGACGUCCUCUACUUUGUUGUUGCAAGUUUUACGUGGCUGCUAUGGGCUGAGCAAGAACCGUUCUUACCUACGCAUCAAAACCACAACGAUUUUUCGUCAAGUAUGUGUUGUUUUAACCUUCAACAAGGACCGGGCGUAGCCACACUCGAUUCAACUAAAGUUGCAGAAAUUGACACCCGCCAGCCACCUGUGUGCGAAGCACAUCGGUAGAACCAGUCUCGCGUAAGCGUACGCGUAAUGUCGGUCCGGGCCGCUUCAUCCAACAAUACCGCCGAAUCAAAGUAUGACAUGUUGGUAAGUAGUAUGACUAUUAUCGUCCACAACACACUUGUGUUCUACUCGUGCACAUAACAUCUACGCAUAGACCUGGCUCGGAUGCCACUGUUGGGGAACGCAGUAAUUUCAAAAAAAAUCUUACGCACACGCAAGAUCAUGGUGAUGCAUAGCAAUGAGAGGGGAGAGUGUUGUCCAUGUAUCCUCAUAGACCGAAAGCGGAAGUGUUAUGACAACGCGGUUGAUGUAGUCGUACGUCUUCACGAUCCGACCGAUCCUAGUACCGAAAGUACGGCACCUCCACGAUCUGCACACGUUCAGCUCAGUGACGUCCCACGAACUCUUGAUCCAGCUGAGUGUCGAGGGAGAGCUUCGUCGGCACAAUGGCAUGAUGAUGGUGAUGAUGAAGCUACCGGCGCAGGGCUUCGCCUAAGCGCUGCACCGAUAUGACCGAGGUGGAUUAUGGUGGAGGGGGGCACCGCACACGGCUAAGACAAUGUCUGUUGUUGUGUUCUAGGGUGCCCCCUGCCCCCUUAUAUAAAGGAGAAAGGGGGAGGCCGGCCGGCCCUUGGGGCGCGCCAAGGAGGGGAGGAUUCCUCCUCCUAGUAGGAGUAGGACUCCCCCUUUCCUAGUCCAACUAGGAGGUGGAAGGCAGAAGGAAGGAGAGGGAGAGAGGGACGGAAAGAGGGGGCGCCCCCCUCCUUGUCCAAUUCGGAAUCCUCAAGGGGGGCGGCCAGCCCUAAGGCCCCCUCCUCUCUCUCUCACAAGGCCCAUGUUGGCCCAUUAGUUCCCCCGGGGGUUCCGAUAACCCUCCGGCACUCCAAUAAUUAUCCGGUGACCCCUGGAACUCAUCCAGUGUCCGAAUAUAGUCAUCCAAUAUAUCAAUCUUUAUGUCUCGACCAUUUCGAGACUCCUUGUCAUGUCCGUGAUCACAUCCGGGACUCCGAACUAUCUUCAGUACAUCAAAACACAUAAACUCAUAAUACCGAUCGUCACCGAACGUUAAGCGUGCGGACCCUACGGGUUCGAGAACUAUGUAGACAUGACCGAGACACGUCUUCGGUCAAUAACCAAUAGCGAAACCUGGAUGUUCAUAUUGGCUCCCACAUAUUCUACGAAGAUCUUUAUCAGUCAAACCGCAUAACGAUAUACAUUGUUCCCUUUGUCAACGGUAUAUUACUUGCCCGAGAUUUGAACGUCGGUAUCUCAAUACCUAGUUCAAUCUCGUUACCGACAAUUCACUUUACUCGUUCUGUAAUGCAUCAUCCCGCAACUAACUCAUUAGUCACAUUGCUUGCAAGGCUUAUAGUGAUGUGCAUUACCGAGAGGGCCCAGAGAUACCUCUCCGACAAUCGGAGUGACAAAUCCUAAUCUCGAUCUAUGCCAACUCAACAAGUACCAUCGGAGACACCUGUAGAGCACCUUUAUAAUCACCCAGUUACGUUGUGACGUUUGGUAGCACACUAGGUGUUCCUCCGGUAUUCGGGAGUUGCAUAAUCUCAUAGUCAUAGGAAUAUGUAUAAGUCAUGAAGAAAGCAAUAGCAAUAUACUAAAUGAUCAAGUGCUAAGCUAACAGAAUGGGUCAAGUCAAUCACAUCAUUCUCUAAUGAUGUGAUCCCGUUAAUCAAAUGACAACUCAUGUCUAUGGCUAGGAAACUUAACCAUCUUUGAUUCAACGAGCUAGUCAAGUAGAGGCAUACUAGUGACACUCUGUUUGUCUAUGUAUUCACACAUGUACUAAGUUUCCGAUUAAUACAAUUCUAGCAUGAAUAAUAAACAUUUAUCAUGAUAUAAGGAAAUAUAAAUAACAACUUUAUUAUUGCCUCUAGGGCAUAUUUCCUUCAUACAUCACUAUAAGCCUUGCAAGCAAUCUGACUAAUGAGUUAUUUGCGGGAUGAUGCAUUACGGAACGAGUAAAGAGACUUGCCGGUUACGAGAUUGAACUAGGUAUGAUGAUACCGACGAUCGAAUCUCGGGCAAGUAACAUACCGAUGACAAAGGGAAUGACGUAUGUUGUUAUGCGGUUUGACCGAUAAAGAUCUUCGUAGAAUAUAUAGGAACCAAUAUGAGCAUCCAGGUUCCGCUAUUGGUUAUUGACCAGAGAUGUGUCUCGGUCAUGUCUACAUAGUUCUCGAACCCGUAGGGUCCGCACCCUUAACGUUCGAUGACGAUUUGUAUUAUGAGUUAUGUGUUUUGGUGACCAAAGUUUGUUCGGAGUCCCGGAUAAGAUCACAGACAUGAUGAGGAGUCUCGAAAAGGUAGAGAGGUAAAGAUUGAUAUAUUAGAAGGUUGUAUUCGGACAUCGGAAGGGUUCCGGAGUGUAUCGGGUACAUACCGGAGUAUCGGAGGGGUUACCGGAACCUCCCGGUGGAAGAUAUGGGCCAUAUGAGGGAGGCUAGCCAGCCCACAAGGGGCUCGUGCGCCCCCCACAAGAGAGGAGGCCGAAUUGUUUUAGGGAAGGGGCGCCACCCCCCUUUCCUUCUCCUACUCCUUCUCCUUCCCCCUUUCCCCCUCCGGAAGAAGGAAAAAGGGGGGCCAAAUCCUACUAGGAUUGGAGUCCUAGUAGGACUCCCCUCUCCCUGGCGCGCCCCUGGUGGCCAGUCUCCUCCCUUCAUCCUUUAUAUACGGGGGCAGGGGGCACCCCAAAGCACAUCAAUUGUUCUCUUAGCCGUGUGCGGUGCCCCCCUCCACGGUUUACUCCUCCGGUCAUAGCGUCAUAGUGCUUAGGCGAAGCCCUCCGCGGAUCACAUCACCAACACCGUCACCAUGCCGUCGUGCUGACGGAACUCUCCCUCGACCCUCUGCUGGAUCUAGAGUUCGAGGGACGUCAUCAAGCUGAACGUGUGCUGAACACGGAGGUGCCAUACGUUCGGUACUUGGGUCGGUUGGAUCGUGAAUACGUUCAACUACAUCAACUGCGUUAACCUAACGCUUCCGCUUUUAGUCUAUGAGGGUACGUGGACACACUCUCCCCCUCUCAUUGCUAUGUAUCUCCUAGAUAGAUCUUGCAUGAGCGUAGGAAUUUUUUUGAAAUUGCAUGCUACGUCCCCCAAUAGUGGCAUCCGAGCCAGGUCUAUGCGUAGAUGAUAUGCACGAGUAGAACACAAAGAGUUGUGGGCGAUAAUAGUCAUAGUGCUUACCACCAACGUCUUACUUUGAUUCGGCGGUAUUGUUGGAUGAAGCGGCCUGAACCAACAUUACAUGACCACGUUCAUGAGACCGGUUCUACCGACGUGCUUUGCACACAGGUGGCUGGCGGGUGUUUGUUUCUCCAACUUUAGUUGAAUCGAGUUUGACUACGUCCGGUCCUUGUUGAAGGUUAAAACAACACACUUGACGAAAAAUCGUUGUGGUUUUGAUGCGUAGAUAAGAACGGUUCUUGCGAGAAGCCCGUAGCAGCCACGUAAAACUUGCAACAACAAAGUAGAGGACGUCUAACUUGUUUUUGCAGGGCAUGUUGUGAUGUGAUAUGGUUAAGGCAUGAUGUGAUAUAUGUUAUUGUAUGAGAUGAUCAUGUUUGGUAGAAGUUAUCGGCAACUGGCAGAAGCCUUAUGGUUGUCGCUUUAUUGUAUGAAAUGCAAUCGCCAUGUAAUUGCUUUACUUUAUCACUAAGCGGUAGCGAUAGUCGUAGAAGCAAUAGUUGGCGAGACAACAACGACGCUACGACGGAGAUCAAGGUGUCAAGCCGGUGAUGAUGGAGAUCAUGAUGGUGCUUUGGAGAUGGAGAUCAAAGGCACAAGAUGAUGAUGGCCAUAUCAUGUCACAUAUUUUGAUUGCACGUGAUGUUUAUCUUUUAUGCAUCUUAUUUUGCUUAGUAUGGCGGUAGCAUUAUAAGAUGAUCCCUCACUAAAUUUCAAGGUAUAAGUGUUCUCCCUGAGUAUGCACCAUUGCGACAGUUCGUCGUGCUGAGACACCACGUGAUGAUCGGGUGUGAUAAGCUCUACGUUCACAUACAACGGGUGCAAGCCAGUUUUGCACAUGCAGAAUACUUGGGUUAAACUUGACGAGCCUAGCAUAUGCAGAUAUGGCCUCGGAACACUGAGACCGAAAGGUCGAAUGUGUAUCAUAUAGUAGAUAUGAUCAACAUAGAGAUGUUCACCAUUGAAAACUACUCCAUCUCACGUGAUGAUUGGACAUGGUUUAGUUGAUUUGGAUCACGUAUCAUUUAGAUGACUAGAGGGAUGUCUAUCUAAGUGGGAGUUCUUAAGUAAUAUGAUUAAUUGAACUUAAAUUUAUCAUGAACUUAGUCCUGAUAGUAUUUGCAUAUCUAUGUUGUAGAUCAAUAGCUCGCGUAUAGCUUCCCCGUUUUAUUGUUGAUAUGUUCAUAGAGAAAACUAAGUUGAAAGAUGAUAGUAGCAAUGAUGCGGACCGGAUCCGUGAUCUGAGGAUUAUCCUCGUUGCUACACAGAAGAAUUAUGUCCUUGAUGCACCGCUAGGUGACAGACCUAUUGCAGGAGCAAAUGCAGACGUUAUGAACGUUUGACAAGCUCGGUAUGAUGACUACUUGAUAGUUUAGUGGGAGUUAAUCUUCCAUAUAAGAUAGUGAUUGACAGAGUUCUCUAGUCACUAUCACCAAGUUACUAGAACUUCGUGAUAAACUAUAAUAUGCAAGGGAUGACGAAAAUGAUUCCCGAGCUCUUCACGAUGCUAAAAUCGGCGAAGAUAGAAAUGAAGAAAGAGCAUCAAGUGUUGGCGGUUAACAAGACCACUAGUUUCAAGAAAAGGGGCAAGGGAAAGAAAGGGAUAACUUCAAAGAAUGGCAAGAAAGUUGCCACUCCCAUGAAGAAGCCCAUAGCUAGACCCACCUGAAACUGAGUGCUUCUACUGCAAAGGAAAUAGUCACUGGAAGUGGAACUACCCUAGAUACUUGGCGGAUAAGAAGGAUGGCAAAGUGAACAAAGAUAUAUUUGAUAUACAUGUUAUUGAUGUGUACUUUACUAGUGUUUAUAGCGACCCCUCGGUAUUUGAUACUAGUUCAGUUGCUAACCGUAGUAACUCGAAACAGGAGUUGCAAAAUAAACAGAGACUAGUGAAGGACGAGGUGACGAUGUGUGUUGGAAGUAAUUCCAAGGUUGAUACGAUCACCAUCGCACACUCCCUCUACCUUCGGGAUUAGAAUUGAAACUAAAUAAAUGUUAUUUGGUGUUUGCGUUGAGCAUUAAUAUGAUUAGAUCAUGUUUAUUGCAAUACGAUUAUUCAUUUAAGUCAGAGAAUAAUUGUUGUUCUGUUUAUAUGAAUAAAACCUUCUAUGGUCAUACACCCAAUGUGAAUGGUUUAUUGAAUCUUGAUCGUAGUGAUACACAUAUUCAUAAUAUUGAAGCUAAAAGAUGCAAAGUUAAUAUGAUUAGAUCAUGUUUAUUGCAAUACGGUUAUUCAUUUAAGUCAGAGAAUAAUUGUUGUUCUGUUUAUAUGAAUAAAACCUUCUAUGGUCAUACACCCAAUGUGAAUGGUUUAUUGAAUCUUGAUCGUAGUGAUACACAUAUUCAUAAUAUUGAACCCAAAAGAUGCAAAGUUAAUAAUGAUAGUGCAACUUAUUUGUGGCACAUCUGUUUAGGUCAUAUUGGUGUAAAGCGCAUGAAGAAACUCCAUGCUGAUGGGCUUUUGGAAUCACUUGAUUAUGAAUCACUUGAUACUUGCGAACCAUGCCUCAUGGGCAAGAUGACUAAGACUCCGUUCUCCGGAACAUUGGAGCGAGAAACUAACUUAUUGGAAAUAAUACAUACUGAUGUAUGCGGUCCCAUGAGUGUUGAGGCUCGCAGCGGGUAUCGUUAUUUUCUGACCUUCACAGAUGAUUUGAGCAGAUAUGGGUAUAUCUACUUAAUGAAACAUAAGUCUGAAACGUUUGAAAAGUUCAAAGAAUUUCAUAGUGAAGUAGAAAUUCAUCAUAACUAGAAAAUAAAGUUUCUACAAUCUGAUCGCAGAGGUGAAUAUUUGAGUUACGAGUUUGGUCUUUAUUUGAAACAAUGUGGAAUAGUUUCACAACUCACGCCACCUUGAACACCACAACGUAAUGGUGUGUCUGAACGUCGUAACCGCACUUUAUUAGAUAUGGUGCGAUCUAUGAUGUCUCUUACCGAUUUGCCACUAUUGUUUUGGGGUUAUGCAUUAGAGACAACUGCAUUCACAUUAAAUAGGGCACCAUCUAAAUCCAUUGAGACGACGCCGUAUGAACUAUGGUUUGGCAAGAAACCUAAGUUGUCGUUUCUUAAAGUUUGGGGUUGCGAUGCUUAUGUGAAAAAGCUUCAGCCUAAUAAGCUCAAACCCAAAUCGGGGAAGUGCGUCUUCGUAGGAUACCCAAAAGAAACUGUUGGGUACACCUUGUAUCACAGAUCCGAAGGCAAUAUCUUUGUUGCCAAGAAUGGAUCCUUUCUAGAGAAGGAGUUUCUCUCGAAAGAAGUGAGUGGGAGGAAAGUAGAACUUGAUGAGGUAAUUGCACCUUCUAUCGAAUUGGAAAGUAGCUCAUCACAGAAAACCAUUCCCGUGAUGCCUACACCAACUAGUGAGGAAGCUAAUGAUAAUGAUCAUGAAACUUCGGAUCAAGUUACUACCGAACCUCAUAGGUCAACCAGAGCACGUUCCGCGUCAGAGUGGUACGGUAAUCCUAUUCUGGAAGUCAUGUUACUAGACCAUGAAGAACCUACGAACUAUGAGGAAGCGAUGAUAAGCCCAGAUUCCGUGAAAUGGCUUGAGGCCAUGACAUCUGAGAUGGGAUCCAUGUAUGAGAACAAAGUAUGGACUUUGGUGGACUUGCCCGAUGAUCGGCGAGCCAUAGAGAAUAAAUGGUUCUUCAAGAGGAAGACGGACGUUGAUGGUAGUGUUACUAUCUACAAAGCUCGAAUUGUCGCAAAAGGUUUUUGACAAGUUCAAGGUGUUGAAUACGAUGAGAUUUUCUCACUCGUAUCAAUGCUUAAGUCUGUCCGAAUCAUGUUAGCAAUUGCCGCAUUUUAUGGAAUCUGGCAAAUGGAUGUCAAAACUGCAUUCCUUAAUGGAUUUAUUAAAGAAGAGUUGUAUAUGAUGCAUCCAAAAGGUUUUGUCGAUCCUAAAGGUGCUAACAAAGUGUGCAAGCUCCAACGAUCCAUCUAUGGACUGGUGCAAGCAUCUCGGAGUUGGAAUAUACACUUUGAUGAGUUGAUCAAAGCAUACUGUUUUAUACAGACUUUUGGAGAAGCCUAUAUUUACAAGAAAGUGAGUGGGAGCACUACAGCCUUUCUGAUAAGUAUAUGUGAAUGACAUAUUGUUGAUCGAAAAUGAUGUAGAAUUUUUUGGAAAGCAUAAAGGAGUGCUGAAAGGAAUUUUUUCAAAGAAAGACCUCGAUGAAGCUGCUUACAUAUUGAGCAUCAAGAUCUAUAGAGAUAGAUCAAGACGCUUGAUAAGAUUUUUCAAUGAGUACAUACCUUGACAAGAUUUUGAAUUAGUUCAAAAUGGAACAGUCAAAGAAGGAGUUCUUGCCUGUAUUGCAAGGUGUAAAGUUGAGUAAGACUCAAAACCCAACCACGGCAGAAAAUAGAAAGAGAAUGAAAGUCAUUCCCUAUGCCUCAGUCAUAGGUUCUAUAAAGUAUGCUAUGAUGUGUACCAAACCUAUUGUGUACCUUGCCAUGAGUUUGGCAAGGGGGUACGAUGGUGAUCCAAGAGUGGAUCACUGGACAGCGGUCAAAGUUAUCCUUAGUUACCUAAGAGGACUAAGGAAAUAUUUCUCGGUUAUGGAGCUGAUAAAGAGUUCGUCGUAAAGAGUUACGAGGAUGCAAGCUUUUACACCGAUCCGAAUGGCUCUGAGUAUCAAUCUGGAUACAUAUUGAAAGUGGGAGCAAUUAGCUAGAGUAGCUCCUUGCAUAGCAUUGUAGACAUAGAAAAUUUUCAAAAUACAUACGGCUCUGAAUGUGGCAGACCCGUUGACUAAACUUCUCUCAAGCAAAACAUGAUCACACCUUAUUACUCUUUGGGUGUUAAUCACAUAGCGAUGUGAACUAGAUUAUUGAUUCUACUAACCCUUUGGGUAUUGGUCACAUGGCGAUGUGAACUAUAGAGUGUUAAAUCACAUGACGAUGUGAACUAUUGGUGUUAAAUCACAUGGCGAUGUGAACUAGAUUAUUGACUCUAGUGCAAGUGGGAGACUGAAGGAAAUAUGCCCUAGAGGCAAUAAUAAAGAUGUUAUUUAUAUUUCCUUAUAUCAUGAUAAAUGUUUAUUAUUCAUGCUAGAAUUGUAUUAACCGGAAACUUGAUACAUGUGUGAAUACAUAGACAAAACAAAGUGUCCCUAGUAUGCCUCUACUUGACUAGCUCGUUAAUCAAAGAUGGUUAAGUUUCCUGACCAUAGACAUGUGUUGUCAUUUGAUGAACAGGAUCACAUCAUUAGGAGAAUGAUGUGAUGGACAAGACCCAUCCGCUAGCUUAGCAUAAUGAUCGUUAAGUUUUAUUGCUAUUGCUUUCUUCAUGACUUAUACAUAUUCCUCUGACUAUGAGAUUAUGCAACUCCCGAAUACCAGAGGAACACCUUGUGUGCUACAAAUGUCACAACGUAACAGGGUGAUUAUAAAGAUGCUCUACAGGUGUCUCCAAAGGGGUUUGUUGGGUUGGCAUAGAUCAAGAUUAGGAUUUGUCACUCCGAGUAUCAGAGAGGUAUCUCUGGGCCCUCUCGGUAAUGCACAUCACUAGAAGCCUUGCAAGCAAUGUGACUAAUGAAUUAGUUGCGAGAUGAUGCAUUACGGAACGAGUAAAGAGACUUGCCGGUAACGAGAUUGAACUAGGUAUGAUGAUACCGACGAUCGAAUCUCAGGCAAGUAACAAACCGAUGACAAAGGGAAUGAUGUAUGUUGUUAUGCGGUUUGACUGACAAAGAUCUUCGUAGAAUAUGUAGGAACCAAUAUGAGCAUCCAGGUUCCGCUAUUGGUUAUUGACCGGAGAUGUGUCUCGGUCAUGUCUACAUAGUUCUCGAACCCGUAGGGUCCGCACGCUUAACGUUCGAUGACGAUUUGUAUUAUGAGUUAUGUGUUUUGGUGACCAAAGUUUGUUCGGAGUGCCGGAUAAGAUCACGGACAUGACGAGGAGUCUCAAAAUGGUUGAGAGGUAAAGAUUAAUAUAUUGGAAGGUUGUAUUCGGACAUCGGAAGGGUUCCAGAGUGUAUUGGGUACAUACCGGAGUACCGGAUGGGUUACCGGAACCUCCCGGUGGAAGAUAUGGGCCAUAUGAGGGAGGCUAACCAGCCCACAAGGGGCUGGUGCGCCCCCCACAAGAGAGGAGGCCGAAUUGGUUUAGGGAAGGGGGCGCCACCCCCCUUUCCUUCUCCUACUCCCUUUCCUUCACCCUUUCCCCCUCCGGAAGAAGGAAAAGUGGGGGGGGGCGAAUCCUAGUAGGAUUCCCCUCUCCCUGGCGCGCCCCUGGUGGCCGGCCUCCUUCCCUCCUCCUUUAUACGGGGGCAUGGGGCACCCCAAAGCACAUAAAUUGUUCUCUUAGCCGUGUGCGGUGCCCCCCUCCACAGUUUACUCCUCCGGUCAUAACGUCGUAGUGCUUAGGCGAAGCCCUGCGUGGAUCACAUCACCAACACCGUCACCACACCGUCGUGCUGAUGGAACUCUCCCUCGACCCUCUGCUGGAUCAAGAGUUCGAGGGACGUCAUCGAGCUGAACGUGUCCUGAACACGGAGGUGCCGUACGUUCCGUACUUGGAUCGGUUGGAUCGUGAAGACAUUAGACUACAUCAACCGCGUUAACCUAACGCUUCCGCUUUCGGUCUACGAGGGUACGUGGACACACUCUCCCCCUCUCCUUGCUAUGCAUCUCCUAGAUAGAUCUUGCGUGAGCGUAGGAAUUUUUUUGAAAUUGCAUGCUACGUUCCCCAACACAAACGGAGUCAGGAUAGUCUAGAAGCCACCAAGCAUGUUGUUCUAGUUAAACUUAGUUUCAAUUUGGCUGUCAUGGCAGUGUUUCUUGUUUUGGUACAAUGGUAAGCACUUUUGGCUGCUAUGGCGGCGCUUUUAGCUCAAUAAGUUCUGCCAUGGUAGAGGUUUGCAUGCUCACUACAGUGGCCCAUAGCUAGUUGGUUAGGUGCCUUAGCCGGUCGAUUAGGCCUGGUCGUGGGAUGGCACGGCUAAGUAGGGAAACUGGUUUAGAGGGUGAUGGCAUAGUCCUUGCCCGUAGGAUCUGGCUUGCGGGAUGGCACGAGCCACAAGGACCACCACGGGUGUUCGUAUCGGUCAUUAGGGCAUUCUCUCUGUACUGAAGAACAAAAGGAAGAAACUAGAAAGGUGUGCAUGAUUACGUAACGUAAAAAAAUCUCCCGUCCUCUCUUCGUGUGUGUGUGUGUGUGUGUGUGCUUCCUCUCCGGCAAGCCAACAACGAGGUCCGUCUGACACAUGUUUCUCUGUGUCCCUUCUGCAUGUUUCUCCCCCAUACUUCUUUAUUUUCCUGUAUCCGUUCCGCAUGUGCUAAGAUCUUAUAUUAUGGGACAAAGGGAAUACGUUACACCGUAAAAAUAUAUUCACGUGUUCCAAUAAUAUGUCUAUGAUUUUUCUAAAUGUUUAUAAAAUGUAAAAAUUGUUUGCAUAGUUUAACUAAGUGCACUUUAUCAUUCAAAAAAUCAAUGUGAUGAAAACUGUUUAACAUGUAUUCGAAGAAACAAGUAUUUGAAUAAAAUGUUAAUCAUGAAUUUGCUAAAAUGUUAAACAUGUAUAAAAGUGUUUUACAUGUACACAAAAAAUGUACGACGUGUAUGAAAAAAAGUAGACAUCAAAACACAUAUUUGAGAAAAAAUUAAUCAUGUAUUUGAAAAAUGUUAAAUGUGUAUAAACAAUGUUUCUGAUGUAUAUGAAAAAUGUAAAUGCGUCUGAAAAAUGGACAUGUAUUUGAAAGGAAAAAAGAAAAGUUUCCAAAGAAAAAAAGAAAAAAGAAAAUAAAAAGACAAAUUGAAGAAAACAGAAGAAGAAGAAAAAACGAUACAAGCAGUACAAACGAAAAAUAAAUAAAACUCAUGCGGAGACAGCUACAGUGCUGAGCCGGGCCACUAGCCUUGUACAAAAGGUGAGCCGGGAGCUACAUCUUGCAAUAAGCGAGACAUAGCUCCCGCAAAUAUCGCUAUUGCGUUGAAUGCAAGCUGUGUAAUAGGGGGCAUGACCCACUGGGAGAAGCCCAAUUACUCUAUGCGCGGCUAUGUGCCGCCCAAUAACAACGACAAAAGGACACAUCGGAUAAAGGGUGCGGCUAUGUGCCGGCCAAGUAACGACGACAAAACGACACAUCAGGCGUCACAUAGGAACGGGUGCGGCUAUGUGCCGCAUGCAGUGACUCCUAGCAUCAGGUCGCCUGCAGGGCAUCAUUGCUGGGUCGGCCAAGUAGCGACGUGGCCGUGCCAAGCUGUCAUGACUAAUAUUUCUUUUGUUUUCCUUCCAUAUUUUUCACAUUUUUAUUCUUCUUGCUUCUUUUACAAUUUUUCAUUUCUAAAUAUUUCUAAUAUAUAUCACAGAAAAGAAGACUUUACAUUAAAGUUUAAAAAUGUUAAUCAUGAAUUCUUAAAAUGUUUAUGAUGUAUAUGAAAAGUAUACGAAUGUGAAAAAAAUAGUACUAAAUAUAAAUGAUGUGCACACAAAAUAUUUGUGAAAUUUCACAUGUCUAACAAAAAUGAAUGUGUUGAAAAUAUGUUUAUAAAGAUAAAAAAAGUGUUCAAAUAAUUCAAGAAAAACGUUUUGUUAAUUCACGAAAAUGUGUGAUACAUUUAAAAAAAUGUUAAGUAGUUCCAAAAAUGUGUCGGUGACAUUUUCAAAAAAUGUGUGUACAAUGUAAUUUUUUUGCAUAAUAGUAAUAAAAUGUUGUGUCGCACCAUUAAAGUAUUUAUGUAGCAUCUUAAAGUAUUCCCUCAUUUCAAAAAAUUAUGUUCAUGACAUUUCAAAAAUGUGUAUAAAAUGCUACUGUAGGUUAAUAAAUGCAUAUUUCAUUUUUAAAAUGGUGUGGCAUUUUAAAGAAAUAUUCACGUGUUUCCUCAAAAUGGUGUGAGAUUCGGAAAUGGUUCAUACAAUCCAAUAAGAUGUUUAUUGCCAUUAGAAAAUUGUACAACACUUAUAUAUAAAGUGUUACAGUGUAUUCUAAAAAGUGUUAAAAACAUAUAUUUUUGAAAAUACAUCAUAAAUUUGAAUAUUUUCUAACAUGUAUCAAAAAUAAUGUUUUAUAUGUGCGCUAAAAAUAUACAUUGUAUAAUGAGAAAACCCAUAAAACAGACAAAGACAGAAGAAAACAAAUUGACCAAGAUUAUAGAAUAAAAUAACAACAUUUACAAUACCUAGUAGAUACGAUAUGAAAGUUCUUUUCAUGAUGAAUCAAAUGAUAUAAAUUUCGUGUUCUGAAUGUUGAUAUAUUUUUCUAAAAUCUCGGUCAAACUUUGACUUGUUUAACUUUUGAAAAAACAAAUACACCUUAUAUAUAAGGAACGGAGGGAGUAGAAAGCAAAAGAUGGAAACCAGGGCGAAGCGAACGGGGGGACCUCCUAUACAGCGCUGCAGGCGCCGGUUGCUGCAACUGGCGCUCGCAGCAGCGUCUCGGUGGGCCGGCCCACGAGCGCGCAGCGCCAAAAAAAAGAAAAACCCCGCAAAAAAUGCCUACAUAACAGGAUUCGAACUCGUGCCACCGCCCUUUUGGUACAGCGAGCUAACCAAUCGACGAACUAAACUGCAAGUCGAUAUUUACAGUGCGAAUCAUUAAAGAACAGAAAGUAGACACAUUAUUUAUUACGUGGUACACUGUAAAAUUAAAUUUUCCAAUUAUUUUAAAACACGUUCAGAAAUUUCAAAUGACGUUCACGAACAUGCAAAAAAAGUUCGCCUAUUGAAAAAAAAUUCACCAAAAAUAAAAAAUGUUCAUGUAAUAAAAAAUAAUUCAUUAAUUAAAAAAGUUCAAUAUAUUUUUUAAAAAAUUGUAAACUCCAAACGAGUUUAUGAAUUUCAAAAGAGUACAACAUAGAAAAAAGAUUGUGAUUUUUAAAAAAAGUUCAUCAACUUUGAAUAAAAGUUCAUCGAAUAUGAGAAAAGUUCAUGAGAUUCGAAAAGAGUUCAUCAAAUUGGAAACAAGUUCAUGAAAUUUCAAAAAUGUUCGUCGAAUUGGAAACAAGUUCAUCGAUUAAAAAAAGUUCAUCAAAUUUGGAAAAAGCUCAUCCAAAUUGAAAACAAAAUCAUCAAGUUUUAAAAAAAGUUCAUCAAAUUAGAAAAACAGUUCGCAAUUUUCAAAAACAGUUUAUUGAAAAUGAAAAUAGUUCAUCAAUUUGAAGAAAAACGUUCACAAUUUGGAAAAAAAACUUAAUAGAAAUUGAAAAAAAAAGUUCAUUCAUUUUGAAAAAAAAAUCAUCUACUUUGAAAAAGUUCAUCGAAUUAAAAAAAAUCAUCUAUUUGAAGAAAAUGUUCACGUAUUUGCAAAUAAUUCAUGUACCCGGAAGAAAAAGGAAAAAGGAAAACAGAAAAUGAAAAGGGAAAACAAAAAAAUUAAAAGGGAAAAGAAAGAAUGAAAGAAGGAAAAACUUAAUUUCAACACAUCCUGCGUGGUGGGUCGCUGGUUACACCAUCGGUACUGUGUGAUGGAGGACCCAGGUUCGAGUCAUGGAUUAGUUAGUUAUAUAACACGCACUUUUUUUGCGGAUUUUAACACAGAGAAAGAAACCUCAGAUGGGCCGGCCCAGUGCGGGGGCGCUGCAGGCGCCGGUUUGCAGUAACACUAGUAACCGAAGCGAACCUACAGCAACACGAGCGGCAACGAGUGACCUGCGGGUAUGGGUAGAUGCGAGACAGAGAGCUCCUAUUAGACGCUCGAGCGCGUCCAAUAGUUAAGCUUUCGCACAGAAUCAGGCAGACUGGGUCGGCCCAUUCUAGUUGAAAAUUUCAAAAAGUCCCGAAAGAUGGGCGCUCAAGGCGGGAUCGAAUAGGCGACCUCCCGGUUUCAAGCGUAUAUGAAUGACCACUCGCGUUGAUUGUGUUUGAUGACUAAAUGGCAGCGUAGGAUGUUAAGAACUACUCCCUUCGUCCUAUAAUAUAAGUGUGUAUUUAACAUUACACCAGUGUAAAAAAUGCUCUUAUGUUAUGGGAUGGAGGAAGUAGUAACAAAAGUAACGAAAUUUAAAAAAUCCAAAAAAAUUUAAAUGAGAGUUUUUUUGAAAAAAUUGAAUUCCAAAUAGACACUGAAUUUUUUCCAGUAUACAAUGAACAUUUUUAAUAUAUUGUGAAUUUUUUCAAAUGCAUAUUGAACAGUAUUCAUGUGCACAAUGAACAUUUUCUAUAUGCAGGGAAGAUUGUUUUCCUAUAUGGUGAUCUUUAUUUUACAACAUGAAUAAAGAAUUUAAAACAUGAACAAGUUUUGAACACAUGAACAAAUCUUGGAAUGUCAAACUUCUUUAAAAAAUAAGGAAAAAAUUCUAAAAACUGAGAAAUUAUAAAAUUCGGAACAUUUUUAAAAAAUGAAUUUAUAAAAAUAAGCAAGAUAAAAAGAAACCAAAAAAAUAAGCAUAAAAACAGAAAAGGGUAAACAAAGCGAAACGAUACAAAAUAGCAGAAAAAGGCAGGCCAGUCUAAACGCUUCCUUCAGUGAAGCCACGACGUUUGGAAGAAGGCUUACCAACUUCAAAUAGGAUCUGCCGGGGUGACAUAGUUCUCGCGCAUAGGAAACACCAUCUUUGUUGGAACAUCAGAUAUUGCUGAGUUCCUCCCCAAUAAAUAAAGAUAUUCGUUGGUUCAAGCCCGCUCUGCUUGGAGCAUGUGUGUCUCGGUCGUAGCGAGACAAGGAGACCUCCUGUUCGGCACUCAGUGCGCCACUUAAUGUUGCUAGCGCCCACGGGCAACGCCCAACAUGCCGACCAAUUAAACGCGAAACAAUGGCUGGUUGUCCUGCUUGUACCGCCAACAAUUGUUACGUUCCUUUAUAAAAAAUGAUCGUCGUGCUCGCUCUAUGGGGAGAUGUCCUGGUUCACAUGUUAAUCCACUGACCGGUUGACUGUUGACUUUAGGAAAAUGUUCAUAAAAAUCUGAAAAAGAAUAGUGAAGUUGAAAAGAAUUCACACAAAAAAAGAAAACAAUCCCGAAUAUAGAAAAUGUUCACGAAUUUGAAAAAGAUUCGUAAAAAAUUAGAUAAGUUCAUGAAAAGGAGAAAAGUGAACGAAUUCGAAAAAUGUUCAUCAAUUUUUAAAAGUUCAUCAUUUUUUAAAGGUUCAAAACUUGAAAAAAGGACAUCAAUUUUGGAAAUAGUUCACUGAAUUUGGAAAAAAAUCAUCGAUUUUGAUUAAAAAAAUCAUGAAUUUGAAGAAAGUUCAUCAAUUUUGAAAAAAGUGCAUGAAAAAACUGAAAAAAGUUCUGGAAUUUGAAGACGAAGUUUGCGAAUUAAGAAAAGAAAGAAAAACAGCAAAAACAACAAAACACAGGAAAAAGGUCCUAAAUAAGAGAACAAAAAGAAUGAACUGGGCACAACAAAUUGGGCUGUCGCAGUGGUUAUCACCGACGUCACUGAUCCAGGAUGUGUGGAGUUCGAAUCUACCUGACAGAUUCAAAUUUUUGAAGGUUAGAAGGAAGAAAAGAAUGGAAAAUGGGCCGAGCACAAAACGGCAGGAGGGUGUGCGCCAAAUUGCAAAACACACUGUAUCGGGCACUGGCGGGGCCGAAUAGGAAUCGCCCGAGAAAAGGUAUACCUCGCCUCAAGUAGCCUCCCAGAACUGUAGCGGCUGUCUUGUUUGCUUUUUUUCCUUUCGUUCUUUUGUUCGGUUUUAUUUAGCGUUUUUACUUUUAUUUAUAUUGUGGAAUAAUCUAAAUACGUAUAUCCCAAUAGUUAUUUUACCUUAAAAAAAAUUUAAUGCCACCGCAAAAAAAAUUAAUGCAUUUAUCACGUAGUAUUAAAGAAAUGUUUACCCAGUGCAAAUUUUGUUCAUGCAAUAUUUAAAAAUAUUGUAUUAUUUAAAUAAAUGGUCAUGACAUUUAAAAAUUGUUUUUAUGAUAUUUCUAAAAAAAAGUGAAAGAAACUCAUAUAGUUUGUAAAAUGUAUUCAUAUCAUUAGAAUAAUUAUUCAUCAUACUUUAGAAAUAUUCAGACAUCUCAAAAAUAUCUUGGUGAUAUAUAAUUUUGGUGAUUAUAAAAAUAUUUUCGUAAUUUAUAAAAACAUGUUUCAUACCAUUCAAAAAUGUGUUCUUGACAUUUUUAAAAACAAUUCUCUAAAUACUUAACCAAUUACUGCAAAAAUUAGGAAAAGCAUUUAUAAUCAUUUAUAAAUUUUUUAUUUUGUGUUAAAAAAAGCCACUAUGUGUUACGAAAAUGUUCAAUUUGCGUUUCAGAAAUGUUUAACGUAUACUCCCUCUGUUCCUAAAUAUAAGUUUUUUUUAGAUAUUUCAAUAUGGACUACAUAAGGAGCCAAAUGGGUGAAUCUACACUCUAACAUAUGUCUAUGUACAUCCAUAUGUAGUCUGCAUUGAAAUGUCUAAAAAGACUUAUAUUUAGAAACGAUGGAGGUAUUAGAAUAAAACUGUUCAACAUGUGUUGGAAAAAAUCUUCACCGUGUAUCUAAGAAUUAUUCAAGUUAUAUACAAAAAAUGUUCAACCUUCAUUCAAAAAAGGGCAACAUGUAUUUGAAAAAAUGACGAAAAACAUAAAUAUAAAAAUAAGAAAUACAACAGGAAAAAUCAAAACUAACUAAAACAACAAAAAAUGGUACAGAAAGUAUAUAGUGAAAAAAGUCACAGACAAAAGCAUCUAGAACCGAUAUAAAGCAGUCUAUAAAUGCUUCCCAAAAGCGCUCCAGAAAAUUAUAGACAAGCCUGCUAGCUGAAUAGCCAGAGGCGAGACUGUGUUCUGUCUCGCAGUAAGCGAGGUAUAGUUCUGGCGCGCUCCGCUACGUCGUCCAGCUUCCUUUCCUUUUCACAGGCUUAAUAGCCGCUACGGCCAUAACCAUGGGGCACUCCCAGCCCAGCUGAAUCUCUCGUUUAGUCAUUUCUACGUGCCUUAUUUGGCCAAUCAACUAAAAAAACGUGAUUUAAAAAUAAUAAGAAAACGUGCCUUGUUUGCCAGAGUAGAAAAGUGCAGCGGAGUAAAAUGUAGUAAAAUGUAGUACUAUUUGCUGUUCCUUCAAUUAUUUAUGUUGUAUUAUCCACAACCCAAGUGAGAUGAAAAUGGCCGUAUGCAUCGUUCUAAUGCAGAGGCCGGGGAGUCCACCCUUUUUGAAAAAGAAAAAAAAAGUGAGAUGAAAAGUUGUGGAACUUCACGGAUAAGCAUGUUUGACUCUCGAGUGUAUAUACACCCUAUAUAAAAAAUGUAAUAAUAGAAAGUAAAAAAUUGAAAAUAAUUUUGAGAUAAACUUGACCUUCUAUUGUGUUCGUAAAAAAAUCGUGAAGGAGCAACCCCGUUGACUUCAAAGCAAAAAAACAGAAAUUAAGGCCAAAACUAGUGUGAAUAGUACCUUGUAUAUAGCAAUAACAAAUUCCCCAGAAGUCAACAGGGGUUUUCCUUCGCCGAAAACUCAUAUACUUACUAGUGCAAAAGAAAGUCAAAUUUAUUCCUAACAAAAAUUUAAUGAUUUUUGAUUUUUUAUAUUGUAAAACAUCUCAUACCAGGUAUAUACAUCCGAGAAACAAAAGGCAUUUCUGGAUACCUCGCAUCUUUCUCAUCAACAAAUCUUCUCCACUAUCCCCUGUCCUCUCCCCCCUCGACAUGUUACGUGCAUGCAUGUAUAUGCAUUCUGUUGCGUGUGACUUUUGGCAACGUCGCAACGUAUUCCAUGUGUUGCGUAGACGCUCUGACGUUUUAACACGGCACAAAGGUCAGACGUUUAGCGACAUUAACAGUGCGUGCCAAGCUUUAUCUGUGGCGACAGGUUGGUAGAAGAAUCUUCCUUUUCCUCUCCGUCUCCCCAUCUUAUCUCCAAUUCUUCCUCUCCUCGCUCCUCAUCGAUUCUCACGUGGUUCGUCUUGUGUGCGUGCAGCCUUUGCUCACUCACUCAUGUUAGUAGUUGUUACGUGUGAUGGCAUAAUUGCAGUGGUUACGGCGGGCGCUCCUAGUGCCCUAGUGAAGGGUAACGCGUCGAUCGGAAAGCCGCCGCACUUUGGAGGGCAUCAUUCGUGUUUGACACUUCGAGGGAUUCUAGAAAUCCCCGGUUGUAGGUUACAGCAACGUGUGUGUGUGAUGUCCACUGCUCUCGGUCCCGUUGUCUUUCCUUGUGAAAGUUUAGUCGACGGAUGGGCAUUGUUCGGUUCUAGAGUUGAUAGACAAAAAGUGUAACUCAAGUUAUAAGAAAAGCGGCAUCUUGCACAAAAAAAGAGUAGUACUCCCUCUGAAAAGAAAUAGAAGAUCGUAUAGAUUGCUAAGAAAUAUUAGAUUAUUUAGAUCACUAUAAAAAAAUAUAAGUUUACUAAACUAAAGUUGCACUUUUUGAAUCGAGUGGGACUUAAAAGGAUCUCGGUCCGGUCGACUUAGGAUUAGCAAAACCGAUAACAUGGCUUCAUUAACACAUUGGCUACAUCUUGAGAAGCUUUUUUCUUCUUCUAGAAAUGCAGUCAACUUUGACUCUCUUCAAUCGUACAAUCCCUCUAGAUGGGAAUAUAAGCCGGACAUGGGAUUUUAGAUCGUCAAUUUAACUAGCAAAAUAUGUCCAAUAUGCCACAAAAAUAUAUGGUUAGGAAGUCCAUUCAACGUCAAAAAAAAAAUUGUGACAUACGACACAUGUUUCACUAGUCAAAUUGAAGAACUAAAAAUCCAUGUUAGACCUAUAUUGCCAUCCGAAGGUAAUAUGUGAACAACGAGGUGGAAUCAUCGGCCAAUCCGACAGUGGAGCAAAGGAAGUUCUCACUAAAGCAACUAGUUGAUACCCUGCAUUUUGCACCGGGAAUCGGUUGCGGUAUACUUUCAUCAUAUUUGAUUAUUUGAAACACGGGUAUUUUGAUGAAUAAUAUGAGAAGAAAAUAAACAUACAUAUGAUUUAUUGUAUUUAAUUAUAGAGGCGGGCCUUUUUCAUGCUUAUUUGUAUUUUGAGAUGGAAUAUUUUUCUUGCAUAUUUGCAUGAUGGGGUGGUAUGUCUACAUGAUGAGAGAAAUAAGUUAGUUGGUGCUAGCUAUUUUUUCUGCGAGAAAACUUUCGAUCUAUUCAUCUUCAAUCAUGACAGUACGGUGGACAUAUAAAAAUACAUCCAGAUCCGUAGACCACCUAGCGACGACUACAAGCACUGAGGCGACCCGAAGGCGCGAACGUCAUCGCCCCUCCCUCACCGGAGUCGAGCAAAACUUGUUGUAGUAGACAACCGAAAAGUCGUUGAGCUAAGACCCAAUAGGACAGGUGGACCAGAACAACAACCACCGUCCAUGAAGCGUAGCGUAGAUCGGAAGAAUCCAACCUGAAAACACACGAACGUAGGCAGGCAAUGACUAGAUCCGAGCACAUCCGCCAAAGACAAAUCUGAGACACACGUCCACCGACGAUGCUAGAUGCACCAUCGGGACGGGGGCUAGACGGGAGACUUUAUUUCAUCUUCAGGGAGUCGCAGUCAUCUCGUCCCCAUGAAAAGGACACAAACCCAAAUCAAACUAAGAACUCUAACUAAAAACGAAAGAACAUCCCUCACAUUGGCAACAACCGGGGUUCACCCGCACCUCCAUGGCCCGAAGACCUUCGGAGACAAAGCGGAUUGGCGGCACCGCCGAUGGGAGCUAGGCAAACCCUAAUGGCCUUUGUCGCUAGGAGCACGAGACGAAGGGGUACGUAGGAAGACCGGGUUCACUACAGGAUUACUCCCUCCGUUCGGAAUUACUUGUCGCGGAAAUGAAUGUAUCUAGACGUAUUUUAGUUGUAGAUACAUCCAUUUUCGAGACAAGUAAUUUCGAACAGAGGGAGUACCUACUAAAUUGGAUGUGAUUCUAAGGAUGAAUGUGAUUUCAAAAGAAAUAAACAGCUGGCUCCAUUUUCAUCAGUCUCUUGCAUUAAGAGUGGUCACAUUUUUUUAGAUUUCAAGGAAAAAAACUGUCUGAAAGCUUUACAAGGAAGAGACACAUCUGUGUGUGCACAUCAUCGUACACACGUGACACUCACACCAGUGCGCCCCCUCAUCAAAAUUGUUACUAUAACUCAUCCUGACUAGUCUCGAGCAUCAAAUUCCACAGUAGCAGCAAUAAUAGUACCACGUAGUACAAUGCCAAGUUGUCCAUCCAUUAUCAAAAGGAACACCCCCAAGAGAGAAAAAGGAAAACCCAGACUUUUGAUUUCUGUAUCUAGUUGACUAAUAAACAUGUAAAGGCAGACGGCUAGAUACUCUAGGCCCCUCCCCAAAGUUCAAAAGAGCAGCAAUCCUCUGUUUCAAAAGAGCAGCGUCCUCUGUUUCCGGAGGACGCUGAAGCAGUGCGACGCAAUGCUUUUCCAACAUUCAGUGUACCACGUGGACGUGGUCCGGGCGGGAAGACAUACACUCUCGUGCACGUAAUUAAGCGUGGACUCUGGUGCGGGCCGCACCCUCCUCUCCUCAUCUGACCCGUCGCAGGUGCCCCAACCACCUCGACCGACCGUCCCCAGAACAAAGGGUGUGAACUGUUCUUGCCCAAUGUCCAAAGUCACUCCGGCGUGUCCCUACCCUAGCUUCCACCGGUGUUAUCACGAGGUGACCUCCCGACAGUGUCGCAUACCACAUGCAUGGCAUUGGUAACAACCGGCUGGCGGGCGGCCGGUCAUGCAGCCAGUUAGCACACGCGCUCUACGCCCUGCGGUUGCCCGUGCGCACCGCCUGCGCGCGGCCACGCCCGCGCGCGCGUGCGCGAGCUAGAGCUGUCCGUGUCCAUCGCGGCGCACGCGGUAGGCGUGCCUAGACAGAGCGCCGGGUCCUAGGUUCCACGCACCCGUCCCUCCGUUCCUCCAUCUCGCGCACGCAACCGCGGGCAGACGCGACAGCGGAAGCAAAAAACACGCUCGAUUCCGGGGAAGCGAAUACGAUUACUGCACUGCACCGCACCGCGCGAUGGCCCCGGGGGACCGGGAGGGCGCACCGGCUCUUGAUCGCCGCGGCGCGACAUGUCCGAUCCCUUCCUAGUAAUAAAUACUCCUCCGAUCCGUGUAUGCCAAUUAUUUGCGGGGUGGCCGAGCUAGGGCAUGGUUAAAACGUGUGAUUGUGUGAACGGGGAAUACUGGCCGCGCAUGCAUGCACGUUGGUGUCCAAGUCCUGGGCGCGCGAUGGUGCUGGCGGUGGCGUGGGGCGUCCCUCGGCCGGUCCGGCCGGCAAGUUACUUAUUAUGGGCGGCCAGGACUGCCGGCCCUGCGGCGCGCGCGUUGCCGGCAACGCCACAUGCUGGCCGGACGCGUGCUUGCGCGCAUGCAUUGCACGCCCCGCUUCGUGCCAAGCUUACGAGUGUACUUCAGUAGGGCACCGUGGCCGGGCUCCUCUGCCGCGCAACUGUGUGGCGGUGCAUCCGCUUAUUAGUUGGCUCGCUGCAGCCACGUGCAUGUGGAUGCAUCAUGCAUAGCACGUCAUGCAUGUGUUGUGUGUAUGCUACUGUCAGGGAUUACUCGGAGGAAUUCGCAAGACGGGACCAGAACCAGAUGCAUCGAACUGGAGUCCUAGGACGUGCCAGUUCCGACGCGGACAACCAACCAACGCUUUGGGUUCAACGGAAAUGCUCUUCUUUGUUUAAAGGGAACCGAAACACUAUACUAGGCUAUUGGUACUAUAUAUACUCUCUCCGUUCCUAAAUAUUUGUCUUUCUAGAGAUUUCAACAAGUGACUACAUACGAAGCAAAAUGAGUGAUCCUACACUCUAAAAUAUGUCUACAUACAUCCGUAUGUGUAACCAUUUGAAAUGGGUAGAAAGAUAAAUAUUUGGGAACGGAGGGAGUACUUUCGAGAUAGAAAGAAAAAACUGUACUAGUUGUGUGGAAUGCGACCCGCCACAAGUGCCUCGGCCCACAUCGGAUUCAAGUGGCCUUGGGCUGGCAUUGCUCUCCCGGCCCUAUCUUUGAUCUGCAAUAGUGCCGCUGUUCCAAAAGAAGAAGAAAGAUUUUGCUCAAAACAAAGAAGGAAGAUUUAUCCAGAACUUGGUAAAUUCCCCUGGUCCUUCUCACCUGCAUGUUUCCUUUUACAGGCACGUCCGUUACACUAGGUGAAUGUUGACGUAGUGAUUGAGAAAAAUGAUGUAAAAGGUGUUGUUGCGGUCGUAGUAAAAAACAGAGAAGCCGAGUUCGUCGGUCACUUUUGAUGGACUUACAUAUCAUGAGAUACUUAAGGCUCUAGCUAUAGCCAAUGACCUUUUACUAUGCGGUUUGGUCAUCGCUUCAGAUUUUUUUUUUGUGGGUAAGACUUGUAUUAAUCAAUGAGCAAGAGAAAUACAAUCUAAUUUAUGACCUUUUACUAUGCGGUUUGGUCAUCGCUUCNNNNNNNNNNNNNNNNNNNNNNNNNNNNNNNNNNNNNNNNNNNNNNNNNNNNNNNNNNNNNNNNNNNNNNNNNNNNNNNNNNNNNNNNNNNNNNNNNNNNNNNNNNNNNNNNNNNNNNNNNNNNNNNNNNNNNNNNNNNNNNNNNNNNNNNNNNNNNNNNNNNNNNNNNNNNNNNNNNNNNNNNNNNNNNNNNNNNNNNNNNNNNNNNNNNNNNNNNNNNNNNNNNNNNNNNNNNNNNNNNNNNNNNNNNNNNNNNNNNNNNNNNNNNNNNNNNNNNNNNNNNNNNNNNNNNNNNNNNNNNNNNNNNNNNNNNNNNNNNNNNUUCUACCUUCGGUUAUGACGAAAUUAGCUAAAAAGUCGCUAACCACAUUCUGGUUGCGAUUGACAUAAUAAACUCUAGUUGUACGAAUGGACAUCAAAUGCUUAAUCUCAGUCACCAGGGAAGCAAAGAUUGAUCUCUCUAUGUCUCAGCCAUUAAUCAUGUUCACUAUGACUGUUGAGUCCAUUUCCACGAGUAUCGACAGCUCCGACCUCUAGAUUGCAAGGGAAAUACCCUCCAUGCAUGCACCCAGUUCUGCCUCAAGAGCAUUACGGCAGGAGAAGAGCUUUCUACACGACGAGAAAAUAAUAUUCCCCAGAUUGUCGCGUCACAGCAUGCCGGUUCCAGCAUUAUCAUUCUCAGUCCAAGAUCCAUCGGUGAUGAGCUUCACCCAGCCCGCCGGUGCAGGAGUCUACUUAACACGCAUUUUUUGCAUUUGUAAUUCAUGUGACGCUAUGUUCAAGUGAUCCAGGGAAAUAACAGCCUUUCCUUUUGCUUCAGAUUGCUUAUGAGUGAUAAAGGCUCUAGCUAUAGUCAAUGACCUUUUACUGCACAAUUUGGUCAUUGCUUCAGACUGUGCAUACGUGAUCAAGUCGCCGUAAGAUUGCACGGAAGGAGCUUAUGCGCAAAUCAUUCAUUCAUCAUGAGAUUAUUGUCACUAGUGCAUCUUUCGCGUCAAUCAAAGCCGUUCCUGACCCCCGCGUCGCCCCCCGCUCAUGCGACACGGGUGGUACUCCAACCCUAGCCGCCGCCGGGGCCGAUCCCUCUCCCUCCCUUCCUCCCGCCGCCGCCGGAGGACGCUGUUGGCCUGCGCCCGGUGGCCGACGGCUAUGGCUGGGGUUCUCCUCGCUCCCGUGUCUCAGGGGCGGUGCGGGCCCCCUAUGCGCGUGGAGGCACGGCCGAUCUAGCGAAGCGGCGGCGGCGGCCAUGGCUGCGGCGACGGCGGCGAAAGCCACUCCUGCCUCGCGGCUAGCGGUCUAUGUUGCGGCGGCGCAUCAUCCGGCUUUGGAUUGGCGGCGGCAUCGAGGGCCUGGUGGACUGCUUGGCGGCACCUCCAGUCAGAUCUAAUCUGGCUGGUGCAGCCGGCGGUGGUGGUGAUCUUCUCCGUCGGAGGUGGCCGGCUAGAGGCUGGGUGGUCGGAUCUCGAGAUCCGUCAUCUAGUCCUGACUGCGAGUUGGAAAGACAGAGUUGCCGGUGAAAACCGAGCCGACGGCAGGCGAUGGCGGCGUUCUGCGUCGUUACCUUGAUGAAGGCAUCGUCGUCGGCCCACUCGUGCUGCUCCGGGGGAAACCCUAGGAUCUGGUUUUCCAGAUCGGACGAUGGCGGCACGGCGGUGUCGUUCUUCUCUUGAGAGCAUCGUCUGUGGAGCAGCGCUAGAAGUCAGAGGUAGGAGGUGGAGCGGUUCCGCCUUACACGAGCUUCGCUCGAGAUGUCAAGUCAUGCCUGGCCAACAAGUGCUACGCUUUGUCAUGCCUGGUCGGCAGGUGCUACGCACGACAGAUCUUCCAGAGACUCCAAGCUGUGUCGGCUGGUGGUACUUGGCGGCAUGGUGUUGAGGUGUACCGGCGGCGACCGCGACGUGCUCAACAGUUGGCGCGCAGGGAGGUGGUGGCGUUGGACGCCGUGGUGGCGUCGACGGCAGCUAGACCGGGCAAGGAUCACUAGUAGAAAAAGGGUCAAAUGUCAAGCACAUUAGUGCCGGUUUGAUUUUAAGCCGGCACUAAUGUGUGCAUUAGUGCCGGUUCCAACGGCUAGCCGGCCGCUCUCAUUAGUACCGGUUUGUGGCUAACCUUUAGCACCGGUUCGUGCCACGGACCGGUACUAAAAUGAGUGGUGGCAGGAUGUUGUCAGUCCGGGGCCCCUCCAUCACCUUUAGUACCGGUUCGUGGCACGAACCGGUGCUAAAGGUCGUCCUACAUAAACCCUUCGUCCACCCGAGCUCGCUCUGUUCUUCCCCUUUCCCCUCUCCUCUCUGUUCUUCCCCUCUUCCUCUCGAGCUCAUCACACAUUUUGCCCAAAAUUUGUCAAGAUUUGAAAGCCCCCAUCCAUUCAAAUGAUCACAAAGGUUAGCAACUUUGUCCUUUCAUCUCUGAUUGCUAGAUUAGCUCUUGCAAUGCUUUGUAUAGUGAUUAAUUUAUGAGUUUAGUAAUUUGAGAGGAAAUAUAUGUGCUAGUAUUUGAUUUAUAUGCAAUUUGAGAUCAAAAAUAACACUUAGUUUGCAUAUGUAGGUGUGGUUUACUUAGUGCCUUCUAAAUCUCCGUCGUAACCACCGUCGAUCGCCCGCACCGUCCCGUCGCCGGCACCACCUUAUGGUGAGCCUCUUGUUCAUGAAUGUUUUACAUUACCAAAUUGAUGUUUGUGUGAUUUGGAUAUAUAGUUACUCAUAUAAUUAUUUUACCCGUACGUUGUUUGUUAUACAUAGUGCCAUGGUUUUGAUAUCCGUCCCCGUCGGCCCUCGUCCUUGUUAUGAUUCGGAUGUGUUAUAUUCUCUUUUAAAACUAGUUGUUGCAUUUCGUGUUUAUGACAAAUUAUAAUGCCCAUCAAGUUGACAUAGAUAUUUUUAUUUAGGAGGUUUGUGAACCGAAAAUUCCAACCGACCCUAUUGUCGAGAGGUUAAAUUUAGUUGAAAGAGAAAACAAGUAUUUGAAAGAAAAAUUGAAAAGAAUUGAAGGGGAGAAGAUGGAAUUGGAGUUGCAUGUUGCCGAUGUCGUCGAUGAUCACAAGAUCAAGAUGGAGAAAAUGCGCUUGAAGAUUAGAAAAUAUGCCAUUGAUAGUGAGGCUUGGUAUCAUUAUGCUGUUGGAUCAAUUGUUACCUUAGUUGCGAUCUUGAUCGCCUUUGUUGUUGCAUUUAAAUGUUUUAGUUAGAGAGUUAUUUGUUUGUUGCAUUUAAGUGUUGUAUGAACUUUAUGUAUGAACUUGUAUUAAUUUGGUCUUUUCGGUGUUGUGUAAUGAAGAUGAGCCGACAAUGGAUGUACGAUGACCGAUGCUCUCCCGAGUUCAUUAAUGGCAUGCAAACUUUUCUGCUUGCGGCUGAGGCAAACAAGCGGGCGGAUGGUUUUAUGCCUUGUCCAUGUGCUGUCUGUAAGAAUGAUCACAAUUACUCUACGUCAAGAACCAUUCACGUCCACCUGUUUAAGUCUGGUUUCAUGCCCCACUAUAAUGUUUGGACCAAGCACGGAGAAAGAGGGGUUAUGAUGGAAGACAAUGAAGAAGAAGAGGACGACGACAGCUAUCCUGGCCAUGGGUUCCCUGAAUACGAUGAUACAACAAUGGGGGAAGAAGCUGAGCCGACAAUGCGGGAAGAAGCUGAAGAAAGGCAUCAGAUGAGCCCGCUGAUGAUCUAGGUCGGGCCAUUGCCGAUGCAAAGAGAAACUGCGCAAGUGAUUUGGAGAAGAAGAAGUUGCAGCGCAUGUUAGAGGAUCACAAGAAAUUGUUGUACCCGAAUUGCGAAGCUGACAAGAAAAAGUUGGGCACCACACUGGAAUUGCUGCAAUGGAAGGCAGAGAAUGGUGUAUCUGACAAGGGAUUUGGAAAGUUGCUGGUAAUGAUAAAGAAUAUGCUUCCAAAGGACAACGAAUUGCCCGAGAGUACGUACGAAGCAAAGAAGGCUGUCUGCCCUCUAGGGUUAGAGGUGCAGAAGAUACAUGCAUGACCUAAUGACUGCAUCCUCUACCGCGGUGAGUACGAGGAUUUGAACGCUUGCCCGGUAUGCGGUGCAUUGCGCUAUAAGAUCAGCCGCGAUGACUCUGGUGAUGUCGAGGGCGACCGCCCUAGGAAGAAGAUUCCUGCCAAGGUGAUGUGGUAUGCUCCUAUAAUACCACGGUUGAAACGUUUGUUCCAAAACAAAGAGCAUGCCAAGGCGAUGCGAUGGCACAGAGAAGACCGUAAGAAAGAUGGAAAGUUGAGAGUACCCGCUGACGGGUCGCAGUGGAGAAAAAUCAAGAGAAAGUACGGAAAAGAGUUUGCAGAUGACGCAAGGAACGUAUGGUUUGGUCUAAGCGCUGAUGGCAUUAAUCCUUUUUGGGAGCAGAGCAGCAACCAUAGCACCUGGCCUGUGACUCUACGUUUGUAUAACCUUCCUCCUUGGUUGUGCAUGAAGCGGAAGUUCAUUAUGAUGCCAGUGCUCAUCCAAGGCCCUAAGCAACCCGGCAACGACAUUGAUGUGUACCUAAGGCCAUUAGUUGAAGAACUCUUACAGCUGUGGAAUGGAACAGGUGUACGUGCGUGGGAUGAGCACAUGGGGGAAGAAUUUGACCUCAAGGCAUUGCUGUUCGUGACCAUCAAUGAUUGGCCUGCUCUCAGUAACCUUUCAGAACAGACAAACAAGGGAUACCGCGCAUGCACGCACUGUUUGGAUGAUACCGACAGUAUAUAUUUGAAUAAUUGUAAGAAGAAUGUGUACCUGGGACAUCGUCGAUUUCUUCCGAGCAGGUAUCCCGUAAGAAAGAAAGGCAAGCAUUUCAAAGGUGAGGCGGAUCACCGGACGAAGCCUCGCCACCGUACUGGUGCUGAUGUACAUGAUAUGGUCAAGGAUUUGAAGGUAGUCUUUGGAAAGGGUCCUGGCGGACAACCUGUUCCGAAUGACGCUGACGGACGCGCACCCAUGUGGAAGAAGAAAUCUAUAUUUUGGGACCUGCCCUAUUGGAAAGACCUAGAGGUCCGCUCCGCAAUCGACAUGAUGCACGUGACGAAGAAUCUUUGCGUGACCCUGCUUGGCUUCUUGGGCGUGUAUGAGAAGACAAAAGAUACACCUGAGGCACGGGAGGACCAGCAACGUAUGCACGGAAAAGACGGCAUACAUCAAGGUCAUGCCAGCUACGCUCUUACCAAAGAAGAGAAGGAAAUCUUCUUCGAAUGCCUGCUCAGUAUUAAGGUACCGUCUGGCUUCUCGUCGAAUAUAAAGGGAAUAAUAAACAUGGCAGAGAAAAAGUUCCAGAACCUAAAGUCUCAUGACUGCCACGUGAUUAUGACGCAACUGCUUCCGGUUGCAUUGAGGGGGCUUCUACCGGAUAACGUUCGAUUAGCCAUUGUGAAGCUAUGUGCAAUUCUCAAUGCAAUCUCUCAGAAGGUAAUCGAUCCAGAAAUCAUACCAAGGUUAGAGAAUGAUUUGGUGCAAUGUCUUGUCAGUUUCGAGUUGGUGUUCCCACCAUCCUUCUUCAACAUCAUGGCGCACGUCCUAGUUCACCUAUGCGAAGAGAUUAACGUUUUGGGUCCUGUAUUUCUACACAAUAUGUUCCCCUUUGAGAGGUUCAUGGGAGUCUUAAAGAAAUAUGUUCAAAACCGUGCUAGGCCAGAAGGAAGCAUCUCCAAGGGCCAUCACAAUGAGGAGGUCGUUGAGUUUUGUAUUGACUUUAUUCCUGACCUUAAGCCGAUUGGUGUUCCUGAAUCGCGGCAUAAGGGCAGACUGGAGGGAAAAGGCACGCUAGGAGGGAAUCAACUAAUAUGUAUGGACGGACAUUCUCUCACUGAAGCACACUGCACAAUUCUACAGAAUUCCGCCUUGGUAGCUCCGUUUAUGGACGAACACAAGAAUUUUCUACGCUCCAAACACCCGGAGCGGUCUGAUGACUGGAUUACACGUGAACAAACCAGGAGUUUCGCCGGCUGGUUGCAGACACGUACCAUGCAUGACGCCUCUAUUGAAGAUGACCUGUACUCGCUGUCCCAGUUACCAUCUUCUAAUAUAAUGACUUUCAAAGGGUACGAGAUAAAUGGUAAUACAUUUUACACGAUCGCCCAAGAUAAGAAGAGCACCAACCAAAAUAGUGGUGUCCGCUUCGACACAACAACCAAGACGGGAAGGGAAACAUAUUAUGGUUACAUAGAGGACAUAUGGGAACUUGACUAUGGACGUGGUUUGAAGGUCCCUUUGUUUCGGUGCAAAUGGGUCAAUAUGGCACGAGGCGGGGUAACGGAAGACCCGCAGUACGGAAUGACAACAGUGGAGCUCAACAAUCUUGCGUAUGCAGACGAACCAUUCGUCCUAGCCAAUGAUGUGGCACAGGUUUUCUAUGUGAAGGACAUGUCUAUCAAGCCGAGAAAAAGAAAAGAUAAGGAAGCUAAUGCAUCAUACGAUGAGCCAAAGCGCCACAUAGUUCUUUCUGGGAAGAGAAACAUCGUGGGAGUGGAUGACAAGGCAGACAUGUCAGAAGAUUAUGAAAAGUUUGAUGAAAUUGCUCCAUUCACAGUGAAUAUUGACCCGAGCAUCCAGUUAAAUGAUGAAAAUUUUCCAUGGCUACGGCGCAAAGGGACACACGCGAAGAAAAAAGUUUCACACCCAAAGAUCUGGGAUGUGAUCGGCUUCACUAUCAUCACUUUCUUCUGUGUUUCACACCCAGGAGGGAAUCUCUGUAAUAGUUAGGGUAGUUAUGUGUUUUGACAUUUGAAACGCGAAGAAAUUUUAUGUGCAAACAAAUUCUUUCAUGCAUUUACUUAUUUUUCAGCUAAAUGACCCUGAAAUUGAAAAGCAUUUCAAAUGAACUCAGAAAAGGUUGAAAGUUGGCAUGAUAUCAUAAUUUCACCCACAUAGCAUGUGCAAAAAGUAGAGAGGGUUACCGCAAAAACUGGAUGCACUUCGUGUACAAAAUGGACAAUCUCUUUCGAAGUAUCAGGGUUUCGGACGAAAACUCAUCUGUUACAAAGGCAUUUCAUUUUUUAAAUAACCUAAGCAUUACCAAAUUGAAUAUAAUGAUAAAACACACUAAUAUUAAACAUAAGAAAAAAGAAUCACUAAAAAAUCUAUUUUCAAAGUUAAGUUAUUCACAAACUAGUGAUUCACACAAAUUUCAAAUAAUUCAAAAUUUAAACUAUCCAAAUUUGAAAACUACCGGCACUAACAUUUUUUGUACCUAAAGCAAAAAUAUUCACAAAGAAACUCUAAAUACAGCAAAAAAACAACUCAAAAAUAAAUAAACCAAAAAAAUAAGAAAAUUAAAAAGCCCACCUACUGGGCCAGAGCGGCCUGCAUACGACUAGAAACCCAACCUGUAGUUGGGCCAGGAUGCAGGCCCGCAAGCCCACUAGGCCCACAGGCAGAGUAGGAGAGGUAGGCCCAGAAGGCCUGCUUUUGAGAGGAGCUCAAUGCAGUGCCCGCGCCGGGGCUUAUAAACUGGUAUUGGCGCUCCUCAACUAGCGAGGUGGGACUAAACUUCUGCGCCCCUCGCCUGGCAGCGCACACCCUUUAGUACAGGGUCGUGGCUCCAACUGGUACUAAAGGGGGGGUCAUUAGUACCGGUUGGUGCCACCACCCGGUACUAAAGGGGGGCGCUUCCCGCCGAUUGGCCUGGCCAAAACAGACCUUUAGUACCGGUUGGUGGCUUCAACCGGUACUAAAGGUGCGUUCUGUAUAAGAAAACACUUCAAUUUUUUUUCAGUUUCUCAUCUCUCCCUCUGCUUCUUUCUCCGUCGCCGCCACCCCCGUCGCCGUCCGUGUCGCCGUCCGUCGCCGUCCCCGUCGUCGUCCCCGUCGCCGCGCCCCGCCCCGUCGUCCCGCCUGGCCCGUCCCCGUCCCCGUCGUCACUGCCCGUCUCCGUCCCCGUCGCCGCCCCCCGUUGCCGCGCCUCGCCGGUGAGCUCCUGCCCCGGCCGCCAUGUCCACACACACACACAUUGUUUUUUAGUUAUAAAUUUUAGUUAUAGAAAUUCUUCUGUUUUUUAGUUAUAGAAAUAUUAAAAAUGUUAUAGAAAUGUUAGUUAUAUAGAAAUGUUAUAAAUUUUUCUGUUUUUUAGUUAUACAAAUAUUUAUAGAAAUGUUAGCAAUUUUUCUGUUUUUUAGUUAUAGAAAUAUUAGAAAUGUUAUAGAAAUGUUAGUUAUAUAUAUAGAAAUGUUAGAUUUUAGAAUUAGUUUUAGCUAGAUGAAUUAGAUUAAUGUCAAAUUGUUAGAAUUUGCAUAUAGAAUUUUAGUUAUCACAAUCCAAUCAUUUAAAAAAUGUUACUUUUUGCGGGCAUAUAGUAUUUGUUCUCAACGAUGCCCGGCCCGCAUCCUCGCCGUCGACCCGUUCACGACGACGUCCGGCUGACCCAUGUCCGGGACUGGGCUCCGCCGGGCUGGCACUGGGAGGUGCUACCUGGAGGGGUGCGCCGCUUGGUGAGGAACCCGGCCUCGGGUCCCGUCGUCGACCCUGGUCUCCUUUGGUGGCGUUCGCGUGGGCCACAUUCGGUGCAGAGGGAGCCGGCCCCGCCGGAGGUGGUGCGUCGCCGUGUCAGGGAGGAGGACGAGCACGUCCAUCGCUACAUGGCUGCUAUGGACGUCAGGUUCUCCAAUACCUGGCAGGUUCUUUGGGCAGAUGACCGAGAUAUGAUCCUGUGAUGGUUCCUUCUCUUUGGGUGUCCACCGCUCGCGCCCCAGGAAUCGCGAGUGGCCUAGAUUCUUAUAUAGUAUUCGAUCUUUAUUAGCUACCUAGCCAGUGAUGUAUUCGAUAUAUAAUAUUUGAGACGAUGUAUUCGAGGUUAUAUAUAUUAUUCGAGACGAUGUACUCGAGAUUAUAUAUCAUUCGAGACGAUGCAUAUUAUGUACUAUAUGAUUCAGUUUUUCCUUAUUGAUUGCAUCCAUGCAUUGUAAUUUGAAUACUAGAUUGUUUUAUAUUUCUUCUGUAUUAUUUAAGUAAAAGCUAUGGCGGACAAUACCGGCAGAGAGAGAGAAGAGGAAUUGUUCGAGAUCAUACGCAGCCCUCGCAGGCUAGAUGAUCUGAAUGAAACAGAUGACGGCUCCCAAUAUCUGAACAAUACCGGGGAGGGUGAUGAUAAGAUAUUCGAUCUCGACGACCGAGCUGAUGAAUUCAUGAACUAUGAUUAUGAUUAUGAUGACGCAGACAAUGUUUAUGAUGACACAGACAAUGUUGAUCUUGAAAUAACAAAGACUACCGGCGAGGUAUAUUUGUAUAAGCAGGCAUCUGGUGAUCAUCACAUGUUUUUUUGAUUUGAAGAUAUAUUAACGAAUCGAUCUUUCUUCUUUCAGCCCUCCGAAUCGAGCAAAUCUGCUUCUACAGACAGCAGGACAAAGCGAGGCCCGGGCAAAAAGUUGAAGGAGGGUGUAAAGUACAACAUCGACUCCAUCAAAGCUAAUGGCGAACCCCUCACGCCUAAGAACAUUGCGAACAAGUGGACUCGUCAGUGCGGAGUUCUUGUGAAGGACCAACUCCUGAUCUCCAUUCAAGAAUGGAAAGAGCCAAAAACUAAACGCCCAGAUGUUACUUGGGUCGACGACAGAGCAAAACAAAAUCUUUGGGAAUCUCUGAUGGAACAUUUCACCCUACCAGAUUAUUUCACUGAUGCAGAUGUGCAGAAAGUCAAGAACGCUGCUCUUAAGAAGAUGGCAAUUGCAUUCAACACCCACAAGAAAACUGUAUGGGCCAACUACCUCGCUGCAGAAAGGAAGACUCCAGAAUUCAAGAGAACACUGGAGAAGCAAAGAGAACACUGGCCCGCUUUCGUGAAAUUCAAGGAAUCAGAAUUAUCUAAGGAACGGUCGAGAAAAAACAAGGCCAAUGCCGCAAAAAAGACGCAGUUCCAUAGGCUGGGGCCAGGUGGCUACGCGGUGGCGAUGCCUAAGUGGGAUAAUUCUGAGCAAGAGAUGGAGGAUGCAGGGGUCACUCCGGUUACUAGGAGCUGGCCCCCCAGGUGCAGAACUUGGUUCUAUGCGCAUGGGGGGGCGUUGGACCCGAAGACAGGCCUGGUUUCGAAGAAGGCAAGUCUAAAAGGAGCCGAACAAAAGUUACUUGACGCAGUAGAAGAUGCUCGAAAGGGGGUGUUCACACCCAACAGAGAGAACGACGAGCUUACGCGCGCCCUGGGAAAUCCUGAACACCCGGGAAGAACACGUGGUAAGGGCGUUAUUCCCUGGUAUGAGGGCUUUUCGGAAUGGAACGACGACUACAGGACCCGUGCAAGAAAGAAGAUGGAGGAGGAGCAGAGGAAGCAGGACGCAGAACGCCUUAAAGGCCUAGAAGCAAGGCACGCAGACUUGGCACUCACAUUCCAGCAGCAGCAGCAGCGGAUCGACUCACUUAGCCAGGAAAGGGGGUCUCAGAAGCGGCAGCAGCAAGCAGAUGAUCGUCCAGCAUUGGAUAGCACCGUCCCAUCCAUGCCGAGAAGCAGCGUUGGUUCCGCCCCGGGCGACGCACUGCUGGAUACAUACCCUGUGGAUGACAUCAUAGAGAACACUAACUGUGAGCUACACUUCAAAAUGAAGAACAUAUCCAUGAAGCAACCUUCCAUUGCACCCCGAUUCCAGUGGGCUAUGCUCGUGUCUUGGUUGAUGAGGUGGUGGACCCAUAUUCGGGACUACAUCUUGACAUUCCUGGAGGUGACGACGAGCACACACUAGGAGAGGCCAUACAUCGUAUCAUCCUAUGGAGAAAGGAUUGCAUAGUCUUUCGAAGUCCACCGACACCGCGUCUGCCGACUCCUCCUCGAAGUCCGCCACCAGGUCAGCAGACUCCCGCUCCUCCAAGUCCACGAACGCGUGAGCCGACUCCUCCUCGAAGUCCGCCACCGUGUCAGCAGACUCCCGCUCCUCCAAGUCCACGAACGCGUGAGCAGACUCCUGCUUCAAGUCCGGCACAGCGUCAGGCCACUCCUCCUGUUUCAAGUCCGACACCGUGUCAGGACACACCUCCUGCUUCAAGUCCGGCACAGCGUCAGGCCACUCCUCCUGCUCCAACUCAGCCACGUCAGCCGUCUCCGCCGCCUAAGCAAUUGCAGAAGAGACACGCCGCAGCUAUGGUGCGUAGCGGUAAGAGUCGAGGUAGUACAGGAAGUACAGGCGGAGACAAGCGAUAUAAAUAUGGUCCAAGCAGCCUCGCUCCUCUUCCUCAGAGGCCUUAUGACAUGACCGAGGAGCAAAACACAGCCAUAGUGCGGGCCGAAGUGGACGCCCAUUUUGGACCGAAACCGGCACCGCCGCCGAGGGAGAAAGUGCCUGAGGAAAAGAUUGACCACUUCAUUCAUAUGGCUAGACCACCAGCUCCCAAGCCUGUUGACUCAGAUUAUGAGCGCCAAAUCAGGAAGGCACAUCGAGCACGACUACAGAAAGAAGCGAGCUCGAGCUCGAGCCAACAAGCAGCUGCCAAAAAAUGCGGGAAAACCGUUCCCCAGCUGGGAGAACAGGCGGCGCAAUCGAUCCCCCCGCUUGUUGUGCCAACAACACAUGAGAGUACGCGCGCCCAAUAUUAUUGUGGGCAAACUGUUAACGUUCCCCAGCUGGGCGAUGUGGUAAUAACCGAGGAGCAUAUAAUGCAGGCUGAAAUGCUCAAGAUCGCUGUUGGACAACUCCUCGAGAUCGAGCCCAUGUCUCCCCUUAGAGAGGAGGAAAUAAAACGGAAAUAUGUCUGGGGCCAACCUUUGGUCGAGCCCGAGGAGGUCAAUAACCUCCCAACGAGAAUGUAUGAAUUGCAUGAUUGGUACAUGAAAAUUACCAAGAGUUUCAAUCGAGAGUCCCUCAUGGUGCAAGUCAAGGAAGAGCAUUACUUCCAUAAGAAAGCUCUGUCUGUUGAGUAUUCAGAACUAUUUCAGUUAUUCAAUCAAGAUGCACUCGACAAAUCUAUCGUCGGUUGCUAUUGUCUAUAAGUGAUUUCUUUCUGUAAUUUAAUUCUCAAGCUAGCUCUAGUGCUCAUUGAUUGAUCAUUAAUUACCUGUAAUUAUAUAUCCUUGCUAUAUAUUCUUUUCUGUGGUAUUAUGCAGGAUGAAGAUGUAUGAAAUGAAAAAAGCUGGACGCUAAGGCAUUGGGUUCAUUGACCCAAACACCGUUAAUGAAUACACAUGGAAAUUGGAAUGGUGUAGACAAGAUGUAGAGAAAAACAUGCUAGAGUUCUUGAAGCGCCUCAAUACCAAUGAAGAUAUACUACUUCCUUACAACUUCGAGUGAGUCACACUGUCUUGUACUACAAAUUCUGUUUUUGCUUACUAGCUAGAUGUUAAUAAGUGUAUAGGGUUUAGGGUUAUAGUUGAUUAGUGUUAUGCACAUGCCCGCUUAAUUUAUACAUGCAAACGUAUGCGCAUGCAGGUACCACUGGAUCUUGUUAGACAUUAAAGUUGAAGAAGGAAAAGUUAAAGUACUGGACUCACAACUUAAAAAAGAAAGUGACUAUAGCAUCGUGAAGGGGAUAGUCAACAGGUAAUUUCAGUCAUUAUUAACUAUAUCUCGGCCUCUUUAGUUCGUCAUUUCCUGAUAUGAACUAUUUAAAAACCCCUUUAUUAAUUUUCUUUGCCGGCGGGCAGGGCUUGGGCAAAGUUCAUCAAGGUGACUCCAGGAAAAUGACGAGAAAAGCUAUUUUGGUAUCGACCCAAGGUAAGUAAUUAAGUAGUACUAGCUAGCUAGCUACCAUCUCUUUAAUUCUUGUUUCAAUGCCAUUAAUUAAUUAUCAUGCUUGAUUAAUUAUUAUCUGAUUAAAUUCAAUUCUCGUAAAGGCCCUGAAGCAGGCGCCGGGGAGUGAACUAUGUGCAUUCUACGUUUGCGAGAACAUUCGCAUGAUGGCGUCCGAAAGGAGCAGAUCUGAUAGACAGGACUGGGUACGUUUGUCAGAAACUAUUCACAAAUUUUUACACCAUUAUCGAUAUCUAGUCACACAACUAAUACACAGGCAUAUUGAUCUCCUUCUUAACAGUUCAUAGAGGUGCGUGAGCAGCUCCUACCAACGGAGCGCAUACUAGCACUUCAAGAGGAAAUAGCGGGAUUUUUGCUCGACCAGGUCAUAGAUCCCAAAGGAGAAUACUAUUACCCGCUACCGCCCCAUGAACCACUUGUCAUCGUGCUCCGAAGGCACCAAGGCAAAAUGUAGGAGAAAUUGUAUAUAUACACACACACACACACAUGUGUAUGUGUGAAUAAUUAAUGAUGGUUGUGAGACAUUCGAUUAUAUAUAUAUAUGAUCGGUUCUACGAGAAAAUCUAUUUAUAUAUAUGCAUAACGUGUACAAUAUGUAGUAUCGUAAAAUACCAGCAAACAAAAAAGAAUUAAAUGGAAAACACAAAAUUAAUGAAAAAUAUAAAAAUUGAAACCAAAACCCCCUCAAACAUUUAGUACCGGUUGGUGCUACCAACCGGUACUAAUGGUCUACCAGCACCCGGGCCUGGCUCGUGCCACGUGGUGGCACUUUAGCGCCGGUUCGUGCCGAACCGGUAGUAAAGGGAGGGGGGCCUUUAGUCUCCACUCUUUAGUGCCGGUUGCAGAACCGGCACUAAAGGCCCUUACGAACCGGCGCUAAAGCCCGGUUCUGCACUAGUGGAUAAUGUGGCAGUACAGCUCUGAAGUUGGAGUGGUGGCAGUUGGUGGCGGCGGCCUCUGAGAGCGCGCCGGACCGGUGUGUGCCCCAUACCCGGCAAGUGGCUUGGUUGGGGUAUCAGGUCUUAGAUGUUAGUCUUGGCUGCGAGGUAUGUGGUAUUAGGCCCGGACUAUCAACAUCGCUUCAUCAAUUGGAUCGGAGCAGCGACAGAUGUUGCCUAGACGGUGGAUUCAGACUUAUUGUUGUAUUUACUUUAUAAGAUUUUGUGUGAAUAAUUAAUAGAAUGACUGCAUGCAUCGCCCAGAUGCAGAGGCCGGAGGCCGUCCUCCUUUUCUAAAAAAACAAAAAACAAAAGAAACUGGUGCAUCUUUCAAUGCAGUGUCCCUUGUUCAUGGAAAAGGGACAUUGAAUAUGGAAACUCGUAGAUUUGCUCGUAGUGCCGUUAGCGAUGAUUGUGCACUCUGUUUAUGGAAACACAUGGCGAUCUCUCUCCCUCCCCAAUUGCCUGAUCGCUCUAGUGCACCCCGCUUACCUGCAGUGGAUGCACUGAACCAGAAACCCCUCCGAGGCCCAAGGCGAUUCUCCCUGAGCACUCGUGGAACUCACACGGCCAGUGCUCCUACCAACUGAACAAACACCAGUUCGUGCAUCGAACCUCAGUUUAAAGCCGCCACUCGUACACACGCGACUCACGUGGCUUCCAGCAGAGAAUGUGCCGCCGCCCGUACACGGAGGCGGGCAGCCCGAUGGUCUUUGGAAUCUGGCAUCAGGACCGCAAACAGUCACACACGUACUAGUACUGAUGGUCCAGGUCGAUCAAAGGCAUCCAACCGACCCGACCGAGAUGUAUUUCCCGACCCCAAGACCCGACCGAGAUGUAUUUCCCGACCCCAAACAGUACAGACAGCAUCACACAUAACACGACGUGCAAAUCGCAUUCGGCCCCUCCUCCAGCCGUGGGAGCACCGGCACUCCAGCAGUAAGUUUACAGGGGGGCCGCGCGAAUGCGACCAAUGGCGUUAUGCAGCCGAACAGUCGGCACGUACAGUUUUCUGAUGAACCGUGACAAGCGACCCUCACUUGUGUGCUACACACACACACACACACACACACACACACACACAUUUGUUUCUUUCUGAUUUUUGCCUAGGCCGGUCCGUGCCUUACGGGCUAGGCGAUUUAUCAGUUAUAUAUAUACUCAGUGCUGGUGAGACUGGUGGUGCUAUCCGAUGAUCUCACUCAUCUUGCCUUUGUUGGCUGGUUGCAUCCCUGCUUUCGCCCUUGUUUAUGGUGAUUUGAAAGAACAUCCUUAUAAUACCACCUCGCCAUGCAAGUUGCAGCCACAAUCUCAUUGCGGGUACACAUGUAGAGCAGCAUAUUUCCUCUUCUUUAUGCGCAUGGAACCAACGUCCCGUCGCCUAAAGGAAAGGGAAGGGAGAAAAGGAUCGUCGACAGACAGAGAAAGAGCGAAGGCGUGGCUGUAGGUCGACCCCUACGUGACAAAAUUUUCUCUUGUCGUGCUACCCGUCAGUCGGCCAGUAGACGGACUAGUAGUAGUAGUGUUGUUAGUACACAACGCCCCUGAGGCUUGAGCUAGCUUAGCUGUGCCUGUGCGUAAUCAUGCCUACCUGGACCCGGGCCUGGACCAUGGCCCGUAGAUCAGAGCCCGGCAAGCGUUGCAGCAGGGCAGGAUCCCCCAUAUCACCCCAAGUACUAUGUUGUUCCCUCGUGGAUCAUCUUUUCAUGAAGUUGCAUCCCCUCUUUCAUCAUCUUUCACACGGGCCCUUUUCCUCUUUCACUUCAGUCCGCACAAUCUGAAGUUCUGAUCACCUGGCGCGGCAGCCAUUGGCCGCGCAAUCCGAUGGACGCUAGCGCCUGCACGUAGGCCUUCGCUGUUUGCUCCACGACCCACUGUCCAUUGGCCCCCGUAAUUAUUCACCUUGUCUCUGUAGUUGCCGCCCGCCCGGCCAUAUAUCAAACCCUCAGCUCAGGCGGUGGGUGGCAAGUUCCUGUCCCGUCUCUCCGCACUAUUAUCACAUAGGUGCACAAGUAUCUCCUCCCAAACAUGCCUGUCGUCGACGGUAAUAAGAUGGAUCGAUCGACCUGCCCGCGUACGCAGAACACUCCCAUCCACCCACUUGAUCGUUUCACUCUCUGCCCCCUCCCUCUCCAGGUUGCUGUAUGAGCCCCCGUCGACAAUCUGUCGGUAAAAAGGACCCCUAACUUACCACGAUUCGACGGCGACGGCCUAAUUGUCUCUCUGUUAAUUUCUUUCCAUUCAUCGAUGGAGAUGUUUCGGUUUACCAUGAGCUAUCAAGUACAUAGAGCUGAUACAGCAUAGUCUUCUCGCGUGUUAUACGUACGAUCGGGUCGUCUCAUGAUUAUGAAUAACGCCAACCACGCGCAGCUCGCGCGUAGUCCACUUGGUGGCUUCGUACCGCAUGGAUGCGACGGCCAUGCAUUACGCGCGCAUGCGCACGGCGAAGUGGAGACGUUGAGUCGCUCGACUGCGACCUGCCCCCCUGCGGCGGACGUAUCUGUACGAGGCGUAGCAAAUAUUCUACAUGCCGCCGAACACCUGUCCGGCUAAUCACAUUGUUUUCAUGCAUGGUGACUAGUACUGGUGUGCGUGUUUUGGUGAAAAUUAAGGAACCUGCCCUCGGAUAACAUACUUAUACCACGGCCUGCAAAUUACAAACUUCGUCGUUUAGUCCACUAGCUUAUCCGCGCGCGCGUGUGUGUAUACGGAUACUGAUCCGAAAAGGUCAAUCAUUUGAGGACUUCACUAACCCGACGAGUGUCCGGUUGUUAAUUAACUCGAAGUUAACUACGACUUGAUCUGGCUGUCCUACACGUACGAACUCAGCUGCCAGACGUGAUUGUGGUACGUACUAUCCAGUCCAGUCCGAGGCUCCAGCUGUAGAUGUUAAUUGGCAAUCAAGAGCGUUCCGACCUGACGUGCAUGUAAAGUAGUUUUCGUUUGACUUUGCGCGGGAACGCAAAACAAACACACAUCAUCGUCGGAAAACGAUCGCAUCGGAAAGGGAGACGGCGAUGCAUGCCCGUCUGCAUGAGCAGCUCACACUGCUCCUCCGAUCGACGUCCAACUGUGCGGCCCCUACAGAAUCCACCCAUCGACGAUCGUAUUCGAUCGCUAGCUAGCUAUAGCCAUAGCUAGGUCACCGCGGCGUGUCUUUUCGGUGGCGGCCGAAUAUUAAACUCGAGGGAGAUGUUGGUCGCCGGUGGCCAUCGGCGUGACAAUCACCCCCGGCCCGGGUGAAACAGCGUCCGUGCAUGGGAGACAAAUUUUUAUUCAGGUGAUGGCGCGCUUUGGCGUCGACAUGGCAACAGCCGUCGACGACCACGACCGGCGAUAAAUUUAGACUCCAACAGUUGGCAUUAUUUUCCGUGUGCAGCACUUCACGGAAUCGGCUGGGUGAAAACGUGAGUGCCCGAAGAAGAAGCGGGCAAAAAGGGUGGACACGCCAUGGGAACUUAGUUGGCGUGAUGGCGAUGCGCCGAGGAAAUAAUGGACGCGCGCAGACCCUGACAUCAACGCAUAGUACAUCUUUAGUUGGAAGUUGGAGUCUUAAGCCUCACUAUAUAACCAUUUUGCGAAUAUUGGUACAUUGGUAGUUCGGACGAGGACACGUACUAGUACCAGUCUCCUGUUACGAUACGUCGUUAGCAACUUUUUCCUUUUGGGAAACAUCGUUAGCAACUUAACGCAUGGACGUGGGGCGCUGGGGCAGGCUUGGGCGCAAAGGAAAAAUGAGAGAACGGAACGGACGGUUGUAAGACGACGAUAAUGAUAAGAUGAUCUGGUCCCCCGUGAUGAGAUGGAUACAUACAGUUAGGUAGGAGAAACACGGACCGAAUGGAGUACUAUGACAAGAGCGCAAGCUUUCUACUCUGGUACUCCGGAUGGAUAAGGUGGUUGGCUACGUCGACGACUGCGGCGCCGAAAAUAAAUAUCUGAUCAAGCGGCCAGUUAUAUUACUUCUUCCGUAAACUAAUAUAAAAACGUCCCUUGAACUUUUGAUCCAGCAGAGGGUCGAGGGAGAGUUCCGCCAGCACGAUGGCAUGGUGACGGUAAUGGUGAUGUGAUCCGUGCAGGGCUUCGCCUAAGCACUACGACGCUGUGACCGGAUGAGUAAACUGUGAAGAGGGCACCGCAUACGGCUAAGAGAACAAUUGAUGUGUCUUGGGAUGCCCCUGCCCCCGUAUAUAAAAGAUGAGGGGAGGAGGCCGGCCACUAGGGGCGCACCAUGGAGGGGGAGUCCUACUAGGAGGGAGUAGAUUACAAAUCCUAUGGUCCAAACUCAUACGCAGAGGUUCAAGCAGGGGGCACGCGCGGACGAACAAGAGCAAUAUUUACUCGGCCACCCGUUGCGUGUCACGUGCAUGGAUUCCUUCGGUAUGCUACGUACGUACGACCCCGGGCCAUGGAUGGGCGCGUAGCCAUUGGUGGUACUCCUGCCUGCCAGUGCCAGCCAUCCUGCGCGCGGGCAAGGCAAAGGCAUGCACCGCGGGAUGACAGCCAGGUGGGCAGCUUUCCGCUCUGACGACGCGCGGCCUGGGGCCAUAUCAGUUGUGCAGUUGGCCGGGCGGCAGCGACGUACGUUGCUCCCUGGCCACCCAUAAUAUCCGCCCCGUCGUGCGCCACUCCAUGGCCUCGCCCGUACGGCGCGACGUAGCCCGUACCGGCUGUGUACCCUUUGGCCUCAUUCGCCAGCCUGGCCUGCCCGCAUAGAUGCAGCGGCUGGCCGGCCGGCUCGCGGCGACUGCAGCUGCAGCUGCAGGCAAAGCUGUUCCUAGUUUUACCAUCUCAUCGCCACCCAGCCCAGGCCAGAGUAACUUGACCGGGGCACGCAUACCGUCCGGUGUAGUGCGACUGGUCCACGCAUCUGGUGCGAUGGGGAAGAGCACGUCCAAUGUUUGCUUGGCAGGCAUCCUCGGCCCGACGUGAGCAGGGCGAGGUAGUACGUACCAAUGGGGGAGCAGGGCAGGCGGCAUAGUGAUGGGAACGGCAGCCUGGUUCAUGCUGUGGUUUUCAAUCCACACUAUGCGAUAUAAUGAGUGCUUUGACCGCUAUGUGCGUGGCGGCAAUGCCAUCCGUCUUCAAUAAUUGGCACAACUUGGUCUGGAGCAGUGAACACCAAGAUUUGUAUUGCGACUACUCGUGUCCAGGCCAUCGAGGGUCUUCUCACGUACUCUAUCCGGUGUGAAAAAUGUUUGUACGGACGUCACGCGCGCAUUUCUACUGUUUUAGUUGUGCACUUCACUCUACUACUCUACUGGCCAGUACUCCUACUGUACAUAGGCAUUGGGUGCAGGAGAAGAGGAGGAGGCAGUGGUCGCACGACUGUGCACCAACCGAUCCAGCAGGCAAUAAAAGAGGCGACUGGGCAACGGCGCUCUGUCGACCAUAUCCACACACCGAUCCUCCUCCUCCACGGUUGGUCAAAGUCCCCCGGCUCCCAAGAUUCUGAAGGGAGACGUCGACGCUCAAAAGAGAAGGAGGCGCGUGCGGCCAUGCAGCUGUAGCUUGAGGCUCUCUCCGGCUGUCUUCACAUCCGGCUCCAUCAGGCUGUCUUCACAUCACAGGAGACGCGUACUACCAGCAUGUAGCUGUUCCCAUGGAGCGGGCCGUACUUGGUGGCUACGAGUACUGUUGAGCUCACUGCCGCUCGACUUGACAGCCUGUGAGCGUCGAUCAUCUGGUCUGCUCCUGCGCUCGCUUGCCAGCUGCACCUCAUUACCGCACCCACGACGAGCCUGUCGUGACAUGGGACACCUGCCGACCUCCUACCACUUCGCGUAGGGGGCCGCCAGAUUACUGUAUUGCGACACCGUACGGCGUCCUGGAGAAAUGUGCUUCACCCGGAGCCAGCACGUGUGUUUGGAAGGGUUGUCCAAGGAAGAAAAAACACGUACGAGUAUGUGGAAUGGUAGUACCCGGAGCAAGAGUAGAAAAUAACAGAAUAUUUGAAGGUGCAUGCAGAACUUUGUUAAACUUAUCGUCAUUCCAAGUCAGGGACGCUCAGAGCGUCUACACCCGCGCUCCUCAACCCUCCUUCGUAUCGAAGGAAGACCCAAUCACUGACCAAUAAAAAAGACGAUCCAGGCGAACUUUCGUACCGACUCUAAACGUCCAAACUGACCGGCAUUCCUUACGUUUUGUCCAAAUCUUACACGGAUAUACGGUGCGCCCAGACCCAACAGGCAGGACCCACCACAAUCCCCCCUAUCCUACUGGACCAGCCAAUUUCCUCUCCUCUCUUCACUCUCGUCCGUGCCAGUCUCCCCAAGCUUUGUCGUCGUACCAAGCCCUCAACACCGUCAACAUCGCCACAACACUCAAAUCCCUCCACUCUUGCCACCACGCCACAGACACGAUCGUCGGCCGACCGCCGCCACGGUAUGUUUGGCUCCUCUCGAACAACAUCUUGCCCUCUAUGUGUUCAACACAUUGACCGGCCAAUUUUUUAUAUUUUUUGUAGGCAAUACGAUGGAUUUGGAUGGUUCGUUGGAUGACGAGUAUGUACCCAUGAAGCUUGAUGAAUUAAUUCAAAAGGAGUUAUUUGAUUUGUUAGGUUUAGACGAAGAAGCUGAGAUGAUGAUGAGCAUGAAGAUCCAACAUCAAUUGGACCGAGAGAUGGAGCACAUUCUGAACUUCAAGAGUUUGACCAAAGGAACAACUGUCGUUUUGUGCUAAGCAGAAAUGCACGUCCGCUAUGAGGAUGCUUGCACUUGGUAGCGCCACAGAUGUUGUUGCUGAGAUGGUCCGGAUGGGAGGGGGGAGGACAUGCCAAAAGACCACUGUGAAGUUUGCCCGCGCCGUGGUGGAGGUGUUUGGAGCAGAGUAUCUGGGAGAACCGAAUAUGCAGGAUACAGAAAAGUUGCUGGCUAUUGAAGAGACAAGAGGUUUUCUAGGUAUGCUCGGUUCAAUUGAUUGCACGCAUUGGUGAUGAAAGAGCUGCCCUAAAGGUUUGCGCAAGAUGUACCAAGGCCACACCAAUGAGGCCACCAUCAUAUUGAAAGCAGUGGCAUCACAUGACUUUUGGAUUUGACAUGCUUUCUUUGAAAUGCCUCGUUCUUGCAACGACAUGAAUGUGCUUCUAUGAUCUCUUGUAUCCAGGAGACUUUGUAAUGGGGAAUCUGAACUGUUCCGGAGGGUGUUACUCACAUACAAUAUGCAGAUGACACAAUUAUUAUGGUUGAACUGAAUGAUGCUUGUGUUGGGGAACGUAGCAUGCAAUUUCAAAAAAUUUCCUACGCUCAUGCAAGAUCUAUCUAGGAGAUGCAUAGCAACGAGAGGGGGAGAGUGUGUCCACGUACCCUCGUAGACCGAAAGCGGAAGCGUUAGGUUAACGCGGUUGAUGUAGUCGAACGUCUUCACGAUCCAACCGAUCUUAGUACCGAACGUACGACACCUCCGAGUUCAGCACACGUUCAGCUCGAUGACGUCCCUUGAACUCUUGAUCCAGCAGAGGGUCGAGGGAGAGUUCCGCCAGCACGAUGGCAUGGUGACGGUAAUGGUGAUGUGAUCCGUGCAGGGCUUCGCCUAAGCACUACGACGCUGUGACCGGAUGAGUAAACUGUGGAGGGGGGCACCGCACACGGCUAAGAGAACAAUUGAUGUGUCUUGGGGUGCCCCUGCCCCCGUAUAUAAAGGAGGAGGGGAGGAGGCCGGCCACUAGGGGCGCACCAUGGAGGGGGGAGUCCUACUAGGACUUCGCUCCUAGUAGGAUUCGCCCCCCUCUUUUUUCCUUCCUACGGAGAGGGGGAAAGGGGAAAGAGGUGGAGAGGGAGAAGGAAAGGGGGGCCGCGCCCCCCACCCCUUGUCCAAUUCGGAUUGGCUUGGGGGGCACCUCCUAUGGCGUGCCUCCUCCUCUCCACUAUGGCCCAUGAGGCCCAUUAACUUUCCCGGGGGGUUCCGGUAACCUUCCGGUACUCCGAAAAAUCCCCGAACCUCUUCGGAACCAUUCCGGUGUCCGUACAUAACCUUCCAAUAUAUCAAUCUUUACCUCUCGACCAUUUCGAGACUCCUCGUCAUGCACGUGAUCUCAUCCGGGACUCCGAACAAACUUCAGUCACCAAAAUACAUAACUCAUAAUACAAAUCAUCAUCGAACGCGAAGCGUGCGGACCCUACGGGUUCGAGAACUAUGCAGACAUGACCGAGACACGUCUCCGGUAAUAACCAAUAGCGGAACCUGGAUGCUCAUAUUGGCUCCCACAUAUUCUACGAAGAUCUUUAUCGGUCAAACCGCAUAACAACAUACGUUGUUCCCUUUGUCAUCGGUAUGUUACUUGCCCGAGAUUCGAUCGUCGGUAUCAUCAUACCUAGUUCAAUCUCGUUACCGGCAAGUCUCUUUACUCGUUCCAUAACACAUCACCCGCAACUAACUCAUUAGUCACAUUGCUUGCAAGGCUUAUAGUGAUGUGCAUUACCGAGAGGGCCCAGAGACACCUCCCCGAUACACGGAGUGACAAAUCCUAAUCUCGAUCUAUGCCAACCCAACAAACACCUUCGGAUACACCUGUAGAGCAUCUUUAUAAUCACCAAGUUACGUUGAUAGCACACAAGGUGUUCCUCCGGUAUUCAGGAGUUGCAUGAUCUCAUAGUCAGAGGAACAUGUAUAAGUCAUGAAGAAAGAAAUAGCAAUAAAACUCAACGAUCAUAAUGCUAAGCUAACGGAUGGGUCUUGUCCAUCACAUCAUUCUCUAAUGAUGUGAUCCCGUUCAUCAAAUGACAACACAUGUCUAUGGUCAGGAAACAUAACCAUCUUUGAUUAACGAGCUAGUCAAGUAGAGGCAUACUAGGGACACUCUGUUUGUCUAUGUAUUCACACAUGUACCAAGUUUCCGGUUAAUACAAUUCUAGCAUGAAUAAUAAACGUUUAUCAUGAUAUAAGGAAAUAUAAAUAACAACUUUAUUAUUGCCUCUAGAGCAUAUUUCCUUCAGCUUGCCUUGCUCAUCUUAAAGUCAUUCUGUUUUGUUUUGAAGCCUUAUCCGGGCUUAAGAUCAAUUUCUCUAAAAGCGAGGUCAUUGCCACUUGUGUUGAUGAUGCGGAAGCUCUGCGAGUUUCCCAGCUUCUGAACUGUUCCCUGGGUUCCUUCCCCUUUAAAUAUUUGGGCCUUCCGAUUUCCCCGGAUAAAUUAUGUGCUAAAGAUUUCGCCCCUAUGGUGACUAAGGUGGGUAACAGGGUAAUGCCUUGGAGGGGAAGGUACAAUACUAAUGCUGGUAAAGUUGCUGGGAUCCUCCCUCCCAAUGUUUAUCAUGGGAUUCUAUCUUCUCUCUGCUGGGAUCCUGAUACGUCACCGUCGUAUCUAAUUUUCCUAAUGCUUUUCCUCUUGUUUUAGACUCUAAUUUGCAUGAUUUGAAUAAAACUAACCCGGACUGACGCUGUUUUUAGCAGAAGUACCAUCCUGUUGUUUUUGUGCAGAAAUAAAAGUUCUCGGAUUGGAACGAAACUUUGCAAGGAUUUUUUAUUCAAUAGAAGAGAAUUUCUGAAGCCAAGAACCAUCGAAGGGGGGCACCUUGGUGGGCACAACCCACCAGGGCGCGCUCCCUCCAAGCGUGCCCAGGUGGGUUGUCCCCACCUGGUGGCCUCGCAGACCCUGAAACCGACGCUAUAAAAUCACAUAUUUCCAUAAAGAAGAAGAGAGGAAGAAUUAUCGCAUUUCACGAGACGAAGCUGCCGCCACCUCCUUUUCUUCAUCGGGAGGCCAGAUCUGGAGUCCUUUGGGGCUCCGGAGAGGGGGAUCUUCGAUCUUCGUCAUCACCAACCCUUCUCCAUCGCCAAUUCCAUGAUGCUCCCCACCGGGAGUGAGUAAUUCCUUCGUAGGCUCGCUGGUCGGUGAGGAGUUGGAUGAGAUUCAUCAUGCAAUUGAGUUAGUUUUGUUAGGGCUUGAUCCCUAGUAUCCAUUAUGUUCUUAGAUUGAUGUUGCUAUGACUUUGCCAUGCUUAAUGCUUGUCACUUUGGGCCCGGGUGCCAUGAUUUCAGAUCUGAACCAUUUAUGUUAUCACCAUUAUAUCUAUGUUCUAGAUCCGAUCUUGCAAGUUAUAGUCACCUACUACGUGUUAUGAUCCGGCAACCCCGGAGUGACAAUAGUCGGGACACUUCCCGGUGAUGACCGUAGUUUGAGGAGUUCAUGUAUUCACCGUGUGUUAAUGCUUUGUUCCGGUUCUCUAUUAAAAGGAGGCCUUAAUAUCCCUUAGUUUUCAAUAGCACCCCGCUACCAUGGGAGGGUAGGACAAAAGAUGUCAUGCAAGUUCUUUCCAUAAGCACGUAUGACUAUUUACGGAAUACAUGACUAUAUUAUAUUUAUGAACUGGAGCUAGUGCCGUAUCGCCCUAGGUUGUAACUGUCACAUGAUGAAUAUCAUACAACAAAUCGCCAAUCCAAUGCCUACGAUUUUCCUACAUAUUGAUUUUGCUAAGUUACUAUUGCUGAUAUUACUAUUGUCACUACUACAAAACUAGUACUAUCACUGUUACCAUUAUAGUUGCUGCUACCACUACUAUCAAAGCUAUCAUAUUACUGUGCUACUGAUCACUUUGCUGCAGAUAAUUAAUCUCCAGGUGUGAUUGAAUUGACGACUCAGUUGCUAAUAAUUGCAAAUAUUCUUUGACUUCCCUUGUGUCGAAUCUAUAAAUUUGGGUUGAAUACUCUACCUUCGAAUUUUUUUGCGAUCCCCUAUACUUGUGGGUUAUCAAGACCUUUUUCUGGCGCCGUUGCCGGAGAGCAUAGCUAUAUUUGUUGAGUCACUUGGGAUUAUUAUCAAAUUGUCACUAUGAAGAAUCUGAAGGAUGCCAAGACUAAGAUUUUUUGCUCUAAGGCGAGGGGAGGUAAGGUACUGCCAUCUAGCUCCGCACUUGAUUCACCUUCUGUUAUAAGUAAACCUGCAACACCACUACAUGCUAUUAAUCCAGAUAUGUCGCAAGUUAUUGAUGAUGCUACUUCUGCUAUGAAUGAUAUUUAUGAUGAUGCUAGUACCUUGCUUGAUGAUAAUGUGCCACUAGGUGAAUUUCUUGAUUAACAACUUGCUACAACUAAAGCUUUUGAGAAUGUUGAAACUAAAAAUCUUGAAACACCUAUUAGAACUAGCCCUCCUAGAUAUGAACUGCCAAAUGUACCAGAAGGUUAUGUUAUGGAUGAGCAGGCAACUAGGGAUAUUCUUGCUUGUAAGGAUAGAGAUGAUCUAGAAAAAUUAUUAUGCAAGUAUAAAGAAAAGACUUUGAAUGCUAAAAUGAAAUGUGAUCCUCAGUUUGCGACUUCACCUAUCUUUGUUGACGAUAAGGAUUAUGAAUUCUUUGUCGACCCAGAGUUGAUUACUUUGGUUGAAUCUGAUCCUUCCCAUGGUUAUGAAACUGAAACUAUUGUGGCACAUCUUACUAAGUUGAAUGACAUAGCCACCCUUUUUGCUCAUGAUGAGAAAAUUCGUUAUUAUUAUAUUCUCAAAUUAUUUCCGUUCUCAUUAAAGGGUGAUGCUAAAGCUUGGUACAAUACUCUUGCUCCUGAUUGUGUGCAUAGUCCCCAGGGCAUGAUUUAUUACUUCUCUGAAAAAUAUUUCUCCGCUCAUAAGAAACAAGCAGCCUUACAGGAAAUAUUUAACUUUGUGCAAAUUGAAGAAAAGAGUCUCCCACAAGCUUGGGGGAGGCUUCUCCAAUUGCUUAAUGCUUUGCCGAAUCAUCCUCUUAAGAAAAAUGAAAUACUAGAUAUCCACUACUGCAGGAUGCUGCUAACGCGACACUACGAUCAGAGACCCUUUCACGAAACUGUGUGCGAUGCAUCAAUCACAAACGGGGAUGUAACCGUUAAAAAAGGUGCAAAACGUUUGCAAUGGAGGAUGCAUCAAACACGGUUCAGAUUUUAGUUGCGUGUGUGAUCUAGGGCAUACGGUUCAGUCCAACGAACUGUUUGCGAUGAGGCAGAACAAAAGAAACGGGUAGCCUGAUGAAGGCAUGUGCGAUAUAGAGCAUACGGUUCACUCGGAUGAACUGUUUGUGAUUAGGCAACACAAAAGAAACGGGCAGCCAGGUGAAGGUGUGUGCGAUAUACAUCAUACGGUUCACUCGGAUGAACUGUUUGUAAUUAGGCAACACAAAAGAAACGGUCAGCCAGAUCAAGGUGUGUGUGAUUGAGGUCAUACGCUUCAGAAGGAUUAACUGUUUGCGAUUAGGCAACAGAACAGAAACGGAUAAGCUAGAUCAAAGUGUCUGCGAUUGAUGGCAUACACUUCACAUGGAUGAAUUAUUUGUGAUUAGCCACAACAAACUGAAACAGUUAGAUAGAUCAAUGUGUGUGCGCUAGACGGGCACACCCAUUCUAAUUAAAAGAAGCGUGCGUAAUGGUAAUAACGAGCGCGCACGGUUGUUGGAACAAGACGUGUGCUGACAUUGCAUAUUGCGGUGCACCCUAUGGUGCAAACGCCACGUACGCGGCCGAGAAGGCGUACGUGCCCACGUUACGCCUUCCGGGAAUAGUGCCGCACUUAUAACCGUCAGUAAAGUUUGAGCAUGCAUCCCGUCACAAUUUUUUUAGAAGAACAGGGAGGCCGCGUCCCGUCACAUUCCAAAUUGCAAACAUGUUCACACCGAUCAAAACCUAAGCGGUUUCCCACUUAGGAGCGUAUUAUUACACGGUUAUAAAUACUACUACUCCAAGAUGACUGCACAUUCCUCCUCAACUCCUCAUCCACAAAAAGUCAAAAACAAACAAGUCAUUCAUCAUCGUUCCCUUGCGUCCGCCAUGGCUAGCGUGAGUUCUGGGUCGAGAGAUUGCCACCAGGGAGAGGCGAGCCUGGAAGCGGGAGCACGAGAGAUGUCCCGCCUUGCCGCGAAAGCAGCCAACAUGUCCCGUCGCACGGCCGUAGCAGCAGAGAGGUCCCGCUGCGCCGCCGAAGCAGCACGGAGGACCCGCCGCGCCGUCGAUGCAGCAGAUUGGUCCGGCCGCGCCGCGGAAGCAGAAGAGAUGUCCCGCCCCGCUGCGAAUGUAGCAGAGAUGUCCUCCCUUGCCACGACGGCCUGGGAAAAUGCCUCGCGGGCAGGCAAGGACUCUUACAGGUGCAUGCGUGCCCUCGUCCUUAGGCAGAUGGAUCAGAUCUCCAGGUGGGAGAGGUUGCAGGAUGACCUGAAAGCCUCGUUUGAACAGUCUACCGACGUCAUCCGGCAACUAAAUGAGAGCAAUGCGAAGCUCCGGGCUGACCGCGACCUGCCGAGGGCGAAGAUCAUCGGAAGUGCGGAGCAGCAGGAGCAGACCACUGCCUUGUUGAAGAGGACCGGCGUCAUCGUCGAGAAACUUAUGGAUCAGAAUGCCAUGCUGCGCAUCGAGCGCAGAAGGCUGGUGGAGGAAUCCGUGGAUGCUCUCAAGCAGCAUCUUGAGGACAAGAAAGAGCUCGUCGCCGCUCGCCGCGGAGACUAGUUCCCACGGCCUGCAGUAAAGCAUCAAGAAAGUAGAGAUCAGCGAGCCAGAUCGUUGUCUUCCUUCUUCUUUUGCCCUUGUGUAUUUCAGGCGUUGCCGCAUGUGGCUUUUUUUAAAUAUGUUUCUAAAUAUGUAAGACAAUUAUUAUCCACUGUCAUCGUCCUUAUAUUCAUCAUGCUUUCUAUAAGUCGUAGUCGAUGCUAUAUAGGUCCGUCGGAUCUUACAUCAAGAUCCGUGCAAAAAUUUCUUUUCAAAUUUUCAUUUAUCUCCCUUAAAUCUCAGUCCAGUGAGACAUAUAGCCACGCCGUAGAACAGGUGCUUGGGUUCUAUUAAUGGAGACGUUGGGAGGGAGGUGCGCGGUGGGUAGCGGUCGAAAGGCUCUCCUCCCGAUGAGCAUGCGCAGGGGUCUGAUCGGACGCCUCCCGUACUCAAAUAGCUACCCCGCACGGCACGUCCUAGCCAAUAAAAAAGGGGACGCGUGGCCGCACAUAAUUGGUAAUGCGAACGCCCAUGGUUUCAAUAAUACUCGUGUUUCCAAUUUGUAACAUGACAACACUUGUUCCAAAAUGACAUUGUUGAUUGUUAAUCUGUGGGCCUUCGCAAAUCGGACAGAAAAAUUACCACAGCAUGUUGGUGCCAUGUCCUGAGACCAUGCCAAGUUUCAUGAUUUUCACGCGUGUUUUGGAAUUACAGGAAUUAAAAAACCAAGUUCCUCAAUCUUUCCGGCCGAGCCACGACGCCCAGAUGUUUAAAUUUCACUCCCGUAUCUUGCCUGGAACCUAGAAAUUCACCCAAGGACACACAUGUGAUUUUUCAAAUAACUUUGGUGCACUGGAGCAUGUGCUUGUAGUUCAAAUUUGAAUUAUGCACAUUAAAUGCCCAAAAACUCAAUUAAUGUAUAAAAAGGCCAAACGUACCCAGAAUAAUUCCAAAAUUUAGCACGGUACUUCUAUUUGGUCUAAUCUGGCUGUAUAAAAAAUUAAGGCUGGAGAAGGCAGUGUACGUAUGUCGUUUUGCACACGUAGGUGACAUGUUCCCUCUCGGAACCACGAGCCUUCUUGAGGGAAGCUCUGGUUUGCAAGAAGCUUACACCAAAGCUUGUCCCAAUUCGGCCAAAAAAAUUACCGCAGCAUGUUGGUGCCAUGUCAUGACACCAUGCCAAGUUUCAUGAUUUUCAGGCAUGUUUUGGAAUUACAGGGAUUAAAAAACCAAGUUUCUCAAUCUUUCCGGCCGAGCCACGACGCCCAAAUGUUUGAAUUUCACUCCCAUCUCUUGCAUGGGACCUAAAAAUUCACCCAAGGACACACAUGUGAUUUUUCAAACAACUUUGGUGCAGUGGAGCAUGUGCUUGUAGUUCAAAUUUGAAUUAUGCAUAUUAAAUGCCCAGAAACUCAAUUAACGUAUAAAAAAGGCGAAACGAGUGCGGAAUAAUUCCAAAAUUUAGCACGGUACUUCUAUUUGGUCUAAUCUGGCUGUGUAAAAGAACUAAGGCGGGAGAAGGCAGUGUACGUAUGUCAUUUCGCACACGGAGGUGACACGUUCCCUCUCGGAACCACGAGCCUUCUUGAAGGAAGCUCCGGUUUGCAAGAAGCUUACACCAAAGCUUGUCCCAAUUCGGCCAAAAAAAUUACCGCAGCAUGUUGGUGCCAUGUCAUGAGACCAUGCCAAAUUUCAUGAGUUUCAGGCGUGUUUUGGAAUUACAGGAAUUAAAAAACCAAGUUUCUCAAUCUUUCUGGCCGAGCCACGACGCCCAGAUGUUUGAAUUUCACUCCAAUCUCUUGCAUGGGACCUAGAAAUUCACCCAAGGACACACAUGUGAUUUUUCAAACAACUUUGGUGCACUAGAGCCUGUGCUUUUAGUUCAAAUUUGAAUUAUGCACAUUUUUAAAGGCCCAGAAACACAAUUAAUGUAUAAAAAAGGUGAAACGAGCCCGGAAUAAUUCCAAAAUUUAGCACCAUACUUCUAUUUGGUCUAAUCUGGCUGUGUAAAAAAAUUAAGGCGGGAGAAGGCAGUGUACAUAUGUCGUUUCGCACACGGAGGUGACACGUUCCCUCUCAGAACCACGAGCCUUCUUGAGGGAAGCUCCGGUUUGCAAGAAGCUAACACCAAAGCUUGUCCCAAUUCGGCCAAAAAAUUACCGCAGCAUGUUGGUGCCAUGUCAUGAGACCAUGUCAAGUUUCAUGAUUUUCAGCCGUGUUUUGGAAUUACAGGAAUUAAAAAACCAAGUUUCUCAAUCUUUUCGGCCGAGACAUGACGCCUAUAUGUUUGAAUUUCACUCCCAUCUCUUGCAUGGGACCUAGAAAUUCACCCAAGGACACACAUGUGAUUUUUCAAACAACUUUGGUGCACUGGAGCACGUGCUUGUAGUUGAAAUUUGAAUUAUACACAUUAAAUACCCAGAAACUCAAUUAAUGUAUAAAAAGGCCAAACGAACACGGAAUAAUUCCAAAAUUUAGCACAAUACUUCUGUUUGGUCUAAUCUGCCUGUGUAAAAAAAUUAACACGGGAGAAGGCAGUGUACGUAUGUCGUUUCGCACACGGAGGUGACACGUUCCCUCUCGGAACCAGGAGCCUUCUUGAGGGAAGCUCCGGUUUGCAAGAAGCCUACACCAAAGCUUGUCCCAAUUCGGCCAAAAAAAUUACCGCAGCAUGUUGGUGCCAUGUCAUGAGACCAUGCCAAGUUUCAUGAUUUUCAGGCGUGUUUUGGAAUUACAGGAAUUAAAAAACCAAGUUUCUCAAUCUUUCCGGCCGAGCCACGACACCCAGAUGUUUGAAUUUCAUUCCCAUCUCUUGCAUGGGACCUAGAAAUUCACCCAAGGACACACAUGUGAUUUUUAAACAACUUUGGUGCAAUGGAGCACAUGCUUGUAGUUCAAAUUUCAAUUAUGCACACUAAAUGCCCAGAAACUCAAUUAAUGUAUAAAAAAGGCCAAACGAACAUGGAAUAAUUCUAAAAUUUAGCACGAUACUUCUAUUUGGUCUAAUCUGCCUGUGUACAAAAAUUAAGGCGGGGGAAGGCAGUGUACGUUUGUCGUUUCGUAGACGGAGGUGACACGUUCCCUCUCGAAACCAGGAGCCUUCUUGAGGGAAGCUCCGGUUUGCAAGAAACUUACACCAAAGCUUGUCCCAAUUCGGCCAAAAAAUUUGCUGCAGCAUGUUGGUGCCAUGUCAUGACACCAUGCCAAGUUUCAUGAUUUUUAGCCGUGUUUUGGAUUUACAGGAAUUAAAAAACCAAGUUUCUCAAUCAUUCCGGCCGAGCCACAACACCCAGAUGUUUGAAUUUUAUUCCCAUUUCUUGCAUGGGACCUAUAAAUUCACCCAAAGACACGCAUGUGAUUUUUCAGCAAACUUUGGUGCAUUGGAGCAUGUGCUUGUAGUUCAAAUUUGAAUUAUGCACAUUAAAUGCCUAGAAACUCAAUUAAUGCAUAAAAAUGCCAAACUAACCCGGAAUAAUUCCAAAUUUAAACACGACACUCAUGUACUAGUUGCAUGUUCACUGUACGUAAAUGUUCUAGCAAUUCAAACACCAUCCUUUCCCUCCGUAACACCAUUUUGUCUUUCAAAACAUAAUGAAAAAAUAAGGUAUACCACAAACAGUUUACUAGAAAGAAUCAUGUGGGAUGCGAUAUAAAAUAUCUUGACGCACCGUCUUGUCUGGCUCAUGCAGGAAGCUUCGUCGUCUACAGUCCACUGCCCCCGCUUGAACCACACUUGCGCGCCAGUUUCUCGCGGCACCGAGCGAAAUUUUUUGGCCACCGCGGAAAUAUCUAUCUCCCCGCCCCCUCCCUCCUACCAAAAGCCAAAUUUCCACUGUUCCUCCUUGUUUUCCAAGUUCAAACCUUCACUGCUGCUUACUGGCAGCUCAGCCUCCUCGCCGGCGACCCUUCUUCUUGCAGCGCCGCCUCCUUGCCGGCUACCCUUCUUCUUGCAGCGCCGCCUCCUCGCCGGCGACCCUUCUUCUUGCAGCGCCGCCUCCUCGUCGGCGGCCCUUCUUCUUGCUGCGCGGCCUCCUCGCCGCCGACCCUUCUUCUUGCUGCGCGGCCUCGUCGAUAUGGUCAGGUAAUCCACACCCCACCCACACCAUCCUCCUCCUUUCCCGUCCCACAUGCCCCGACUGACGGAGCGACACCUUCCACCGAAAUCACUGCCCCCCCUCCUCCAAUUAAGCGCCGCCCACAGCCAUUUUACAUGCAGUAUAACGUGGAGCUGAGUAGCAUGCGGCCGCACGCGCGAACGAGGUCGCUAUGGCUGACAUGCGUGUCGACCGCCAGAUCUUGGAGGACCUCGUCUUCGAGGCCACCGUCGACACCGCCGCGCGGUUGUCUACUUUAAAAUAUAGUUCAUGAUGUUUUCUCGAGGCCAUCGCCAGUGCCUUCUAGUGAUUUGUCCUCUGUAAUGUUAAUAUGCAAUCUGAUGUUCAGUUAACAGUUUGGUCCUCUGAAAUGUAAUGUUCAGUUAACACUUUGGUCCAACAAUUACUACAUUCCGUAGUACUGUUCUCAAGCAUUCUUUGUUUUGUUAACUGUCUUAUCUUUUAGUACAUGUUUCUAUUCUGCAAUGUCGUGCUCAGUUAACUAUUUUGGUUCAUUUGGUCUGCUGUCCAUUUAACUGUUUGGUUCAGUUCUGCAAUUUGAUUUUCAUUUGCCGUGGGUACAAUUUUGUAUUGUUAUGCAUGUGACACCAAUCGAAUUUGGUUGUACUCAAUACAUAUUCUACUGAUAGUAUGGCAACUCUCAGUUAACCUGAUCAAGAUCUUCCUUAUGUGUGUUGCAGGGAAACAAUGGGAGACACUGCGGUUUACCAUCGAGGUUUGUUCAAGCAUGGUCCUUUGGCUAAUAGCACAUUAUUGUGUAGUUGCAGGAAUCAUUCUAAUAUCUAGGUUUCUUACAAUUUGGUCUUGCACAUGUAGGUCCUGCUGUCAGAGGCUUAGACCCACUAAUCGACCCAUUUUGCAUAUGGGGAAAUGAGAUGUCCAUGAAUAUCAGUCAAGUCAAGAAACUCAGAAAGAUUGUUAGGAUGAAGAAACUUGCGACGAAUAACAGCAAGAUCUUUGUUUGCACAAUGAAGAAGACAUGAGUCAACUAUAGGAUGGUACCAACUAUUUUACCUUGUUUUUACCCCUUGCGCUAUUUCAAAAUUUACAACAGCGAUUUAUGCAUUGCUUUGUUUUCAGUACUUUUCAAAGCAGUUCAACGAUGAUUACCUCUCAAACCACCUGCAUGGUCAAGAGGCGAGGAAGGUAUUCAUUCAACACCCACGGUACAAUAUUGAAGUCUUGCUGAAGAGGACGAAGGUUGGGCGGGCAAUUAUCCAUAGCCACUGGCCUAAAAUUGCAAGGACAUUCAAAAUCACUGAAGGCUCAAUAUUUGCCUUCCGCUUCUGCAGUUUCCCAGAUGAGAUUCAUCUAUCUAUUUACCGUGUAUGAUGCUACUUUCCAAAGGUUUUUGAUGCUGCAUGUGAAACUUGGUGCUGUUGUGUAAUGGCGUAACUGAGUGCCGAAGCUAUCUGAUGUAAUUUGAUUAUGAAAUCCUGGUUGCUUUUAUACGGAUAUGAAAUAUCUGGCGUGUUUUAGAAGAAAUAUCAGUUUGAUUAGUACAUGGAUUAUCAAUAAUAGGCUAAUUACCCUACUUAUUGGGGUUUUCUAUUGCAAACGGUUACUCAGACAACACCGUGGGCAAUGAACUCAAACAACCCGCACGGUUUCUAGAAAGUAGGCGUGUUCGAUCAACUAACAAUCACACGCGGCUUCCGGCAGCGAACCGUUUGCGUUAGGCCACCUUGCACAAACGUUUCCACACAAAGAACUGUGUGGGAUGUACAUACCUACGGAAAUGAUUUUCUGGGAUUCACCGUGUGGGAUGUACAUACCUACGGAAAUGAUUUAUGGGAUUCACCGUGCGGGAUGUACAUACCUACGGAAAUGAUUUCUGGUAUUCACCAUGUGGGAUGUACAUACCUACGGAAAUGAUUUCUGGGAUACACCGUGUGGGAUGUACAUACCUACGGAAAUGAUUUCUGGGAUUCACCGUGUGGGAUGUACAUACCUACGGAAAUGAUUGGGUUUCCUUGCCUCGCCCGAUCACACACGGCCCCAGCCUAGGUCCCACGAGGGCCUAUCCCUGAUGAUUUCUGGGUCGUGUGGGAAGGACCGCCCUAUCGCCCACACUCACUUGGCGACGGUUCCAAAUGCCAUCGCGGAAAGGGGUUUUAAACCAUUUGUUUAGGACGUCGAUGUACCAGUGAUCUUCUAUAAUGGACUAACCGAUGCUUCUAGGGAUUUCGUAGAUAGUUGUGCUGGUUGUGUUUUCAGGGAACGAACUAUUGGGCAAGCUGAAGAAUUAUUUAAUAACAUAUUAAAAAAUUAUGAUUAUUGGACUCUUCCUGAACUAUUAGUUACUAUUGCUAUUGCUACUGUUACACUUGCUACAAAAUCAUUGCUAUCACUGUUACCGUUACUGUUACUAUUACUACUACUACUGUCAAAAUUAUCAUACUACUGUGUUACAGAUAAUAUUGCUGCAGAUAACUAAUCUCCAGGUGUGGUUGAACUGACAACUCAGAUGCUAAUACUUGCAAAUAUUUUUUGUCUCCCCUUGUGUCGAAUAUAUAAACUUGGGUUGAAUACUCUACCCUCAAAAACUAUUGCGAUCCCCUAUACUUGUGGGUUAUCAGAGUGGGUAAUCUACUCUCUCUAUGGCUUUCCCCGUUUUGUUUUCUUACUGUUCGGUUCCGGAUAUCUCCAUCGCAGAGCUCUCCGUUAAUAAUUGGGAUUUGGCCUUCCGUCGCUCGCUGUCUUUCGCAGAGUUGGAUGAUUGGCACCGUCUUGUUGCCCUCAUCCCCGUGCUCUCGGAGAGAGAGGACACGGUUGUUGGGGAACGUAGUAAUUUCAAAAAAAAUCCUACGCACACGCAAGAUCAUGGUGAUGCAUAGCAACGAGAGGGGAGAGUGUUGUCCAGGUACCCUCGUAGACUGUAAGCGGAAGCGUUAUGACAACGCGGUUGAUGUAGUCAUACGUCUUCACGAUUUACCGAUCCUAGCACUAAAGGUACGACACCUCCGCGAUCUGCAAACAUUCGGCUCGGUGACGUCCCAUGAACUCACGAUCCAGUAGAGUGUCGAGGGAGAGCUUCGUCAGCACGACGGCGUGAUGACGGUGAUGAUGAAGCUACCGGCGCAGGGCUUCGCCUAAGCACUACGACGAUAUGACCGAGGUGGAUUAUGGUGGAGGAGGGCACCGCACACGGCUAAGAGAUCAAUGAUCAACUUGUGUGUCUAUGGGGUGCCCCCUCCCCCGUAUAUAAAGGAGUGGAGGAGGGGGAGGGCCGGCCCUCCUAUGGAGCGCCCCAUGGGAAGUCCUACUCCCACCGGGAGUAGGAUCCCCCCUUCCCUAGUUGGACUAGGAGUGGAAGGAAGGGGGAGAGAGGGGGAAGGAAAGGGGGGCGCCGCCCCCCUUCCUAGUCCAAUUCAGACCAGAGGGGGAGGGGGCACGCGGCCUGCCCUGGCUGACCCUCUCUCUCUCCACUAAGGCCCAUUAGGGCGCAUAUACUCCCCGCAACUAACUCAUUAGUCACAGUGCUUGCAAGGCUUAUAGUGAUGUGCAUUACCGAGAGGGCCCAGAGAUACCUCUCCGAUACACGGAGUGACAAAUCCUAAUCUCGAUCUAUGCCAACCCAACAAACACCUUCGGAGACACCUGUAGAGCAUCUUUAUAAUCACCCAGUUACAUUGUGACGUUUGAUAGCACACAAGGUGUUCCUCCGGUAUUCGGGAGUUGCAUAAUCUCAUAGUCAGAGGAACAUGUAUAAGUCAUGAAGAAAGAAAUAGCAAUAAAAUUCAACGAUCAUAAUGCUAAGCUAACGGAUGGGUCUUGUCCAUCACACCAUUCUCUAAUGAUGUGAUCCCGUUCAUCAAAUGACAACACACGUCUAUGGUCAGGAAACAUAACCAUCUUUGAUUAACGAGCUAGUCAAGUAGAGACAUACUAGGGACACUCUGUUUUGUCUAUGUAUUCACACAUGUCUAAGUUUCCGGUUAAUACAAUUCUAGCAUGAAUAAUAAACAUUUAUCAUGACAUAAGGAAAUAUAAAUAACAACUUUAUUAUUUCCUCUAGGGCAUAUUUCCUUCAGUCUCCCACUUGCACUAGAGUCAAUAAUCUAGUUCACAUCAUCAUGUGAUUUCACACCAUUAGUUCACAGCUUUAUGUGAUUAGUUCACAUCUCCAUGUGACUAAUACCCAAAAGGUUUACUAGAGUCAAUAAUCUAGUUGACGUCGCUAUGUGAUUAACACCCAAAGAGUGAUCAUGUUUUGCUUGUAAGAGAAGUUUAGUCAACGGUCUGCCAUAUUCAGAGCCAUAUGUAUUUUGCAAAUUUUCUAUGUCUACAAUGCUCUGCACGGAGCUACUCUAGCUAAUCGCUCCCAUUUUCAAUAUGUAUCUAGAUCGAGAUUUAGAGUCAUCCAGAUCGGUGUCAAAGCUUGCAUCGACGUAACUAGUUACGACGAACUCUUUGUCACCUCCAUAACCGAGAAACAUUUCCUUAUUCCACUAAGGAUAAUUUUGACCGUUGUUUCGUGGUCCACUCCUGGAUUACUAUUGUACCCUCUUGCCAAACUCAUGGUGAGGUACACAAUAGUCUGGUACACAUCAUAGCAUACUUUAUGGAACCUAUGACUAAGGCAUGGGGAAUGACUUUUCAUUCUCUUUCUAUUUUCUGCCGUGGUCGGGUUUUGAGUCUUUACUUAACUUCACACCUUGCAACACAAACAAGAACUCCUUCUUUGACUGUUCCAUUUUGAACUACUUCAAAAACUUGUCAAGGUAUGUACUCAUUGAAAAAAAAUUAUCAAGCGUCUUGAUCUAUCUCUAUAGAUCUUGAUGCUCAAUAUGUAAGCAGCUUUACCGAGGUCUUUCUUUGAUAAACUCCUUUCAAACACUCCUUUAUGCUUUCUAGAAAAUUCUACAUUAUUUCCGAUCAACAAUAUGUCAUUCACAUAUACUUAUCAGAAAUUCUGUAGUGCUCCCACUCACUUUCUUGUAAAUACAGGCUUCACCGCUAGUAUGUAUAAAACUAUAUAUGCUUUCAUCAACUCAUCAAAGCGUAUAUUCCAACUCCGAGAUGCUUGCACCAGUCCAUAGAUGGAUCGCUGGAGCGUGCACAUUUUGUUAGCACCUUUAGGUUUGACAAAACCUUCUUGUUGUAUCAUAUACAACUCUUCUUGAAGAAAUCCAUUAAGGAAUGUAGUUUUGACAUCCAUUUUCUAGAUUUCAUAAAAUGUGGCAAUUGCUAACAUGAUUCGGACAGACUUUAAGCAUCGCUACGAGUGAGAAAAUCUCAUCGUAGUCAACACCUUGAACUUGUGGAAAACCUUUUUUCGACAAUUCGAGCUUUGUAGAUAGUAACACUACUAUCAGCGUCCGUCUUCCUCUUGAAGAUCCAUUUAUUCACAAUGGCUUGCCGAUCAUCGGGCAAGUCAAUCAAAGUCCAAACUUUGUUCUCAUACAUGGAUCCCAUCUCAGAUUUCGUGGCCUCAAGCCAUUUCGCGGAAUCUGGGCUCAUCAUUGCUUCCUCAUAGUUCGUAGGUUCGUCAUGGUCUAGUAACAUGACUUCCAGAACAGGAUUACCGUACCACUUUGGUGCGGAACAUAUUCUGGUUGACCUAUGAGGUUCCGUAGUGACUUGAUCUGAAGUUUCAUGAUCGUCAUCAUUAACUUCCUCACUAAUCAGUGUAGGCAUCACUGAAACUGAUUUCUGUGAUGAACUACUUUCCAAUUCGGGAGAAGGUACAAUUACCAUAUCAAGUUCUACUUUCCUCCCACUCACUUCUUUCGAGAGAAACUCCUUCUCUAGAAAGGAUCCAUUCUUAGCAACGAAUAUCUUGCCUUAGGAUCUGUGAUAGAAGGUGUACCCAACAGUUACUUUUGGGUAUCCUAUGAAGACGCACUUCUCCGAUUUUGGGUUUGAGCUUAUCAGGAUGAAACCUUCUCACAUAAGCAUCGCAACCCCAAACUUUAAGAAACGACAACUUAGGUUUCUUGCUAAACCACAGUUCAUACGGUGUCAUCUCAACGGAUUUAGAUGGUGCCCUUUUUAACGUGAAUGCAGCUGUCUCUAAUGCAUAACCCCAAAACGAUAGUGGUAAAUCGGUAAGAGACAUCAUAGAUUGCACCAUAUCUAAUAAAUUACGGUUAUGACGUUCGAACACACCAUUACGCUGUGGUGUUCCAGGUGGCGUGAGUUGCGAAACUAUUCCACAUUGUUUCAAAUGAAGACCAAACUCGUAACUCAAAUAUUCAUCUCCGUGAUCAGAUCGUAGAAACCUUUUCUUGUUACGAUGAUUUUGCACUUCACUCUGAAAUUCUUUGAACCUUUCAAAUGUUUCAGACUUAUGUUUCAUCAAGUAGAUAAAUCAUUUAUGAAGGUCAGAAAAUAACGAUACCCGCCGCGAGCCUCAACACUCAUCGGACCGCAUACAUCAGUAUGUAUUAUUUCCAAUAAGUCAGUUGCUCGCUCCAUUGUUCUAGAGAACGGAGUCUUAGUCAUCUUGCCCAUGAGGCAUGGUUCACAAGCAUCAUGUGAUUCCAAAAGCCCAUCCGCGUGGAGUUUCUUCAUGCGCUUUACACCAAUAUGACCUAAACGGCAGUGCCACAAAUAAGUUGCACUAUCAUUAUUAACUUUGAAUCUUUUGGUUUCAAUAUUAUGAAUAUGUGUAUCACUACGAUUGGGAUUCAAUAAACCAUUUAUAUUGAGUGUAUGACCAUAGAAGGUUUUAUUCAUUUAAAUAGAACAACAAUUAUUCUUUGACUUAAAUGAAUAACCGUAUUGCAAUAAACAUGAUCCAAUCAUAUUCAUGCUCAACACAAACACCAAAUAACAUUUAUUUUUAGGUUCAACACUAAUCCCGAAGGUAAAGGGAGUGUGCAAUGGUGAUCUUAUCAACCUUGGAAUCACUUCCAACACACAUCAUCACCUCACCCUUAACUAGUCUCUGUUUAUUUUGCAACUCCCGUUUUGAGUUACUACUCUUAGCAACUGAACCAGUAUCAAAUACCAAGGGGUUGCUAUAAACACUAGUAAAGUACACAUCAAUAACAUGUAUAUCAAAUAUACCUUUGUUCACUUUUCCAUACUUCUUAUCCGCCAAGUAUUUAGGGCAGUUCCACUUCCAGUGACCAUUUCCUUUGCAGUAGAAGCACUCAGUUUCAGGCUUGGGUCUAGCUUUGGGCUUCUUCACGUGAGUGACAACUUGUUUGUCAUUCUUCUUGAAGUUCCUUUUCUAUCCCUUUGCCCUUUUCUUGAAACUAGUGGUCUUGUUAACCAUCAACCCUUGAUGCUUUUCUUGAUUUCUACCUUCGCCCAUUUUAGCAUCGCGAAGAGCUUGGGAAUUGUUUUCGUUAUCCCUUGCAUAAUAUAGUUCAUCACGAAGUUCUAGUAACUUGGUGAUAGUGACUAGAGAACUUUGUCAAUUACUAUCUUAUCUGGAAGAUUAACUCCCACUUGAUUCAAGCAAUUGUAGUACCCAGACAAUCUGAGCACAUGCUCACUGGUUGAGCUAUUCUCCUCCAUCUUGUAGGCAAAGUACUGUCAGAGGUCUCAUACCUCUUGACACGGGCAUGAGUAUGAAAUACCAAUUUCAACUCUUGGAACAUCUUAUAUGCUCCGUGGCGUUCAAAACAUUUUUCAAGUCCCGGUUCUAAGCUGUAAAGCAUGGUGCACUAAACUAUCAAGUAGUCAUCACACCGAGCUUUGCCAAACGUUCAUAACGUCUGCAUCUGCUCCUGCAAUAGGUCCGUCACCUAGCGGUGCAUCAAGGACAUAAUUCUUCUGUACAACAAUGAGGAUAAUCCUUAGAUCACGGACCUAGUCCGCAUCAUUGCUACUAUCAUCUUUCAACAUAGUUUUUCUCUAGGAACAUAUCAAAAAUAAACGGGGAGCUAUAUCGCGAGCUAUUGAUCUACAACAUAGUUAUGCAAAUACUACCAGGACUAAGUUCAUGAUAAAUUAAAGUUCAAUUAAUCAUAUUACUUAAGAACUCCCACUUAGAUAGACAUCCCUCUAAUCAUCUAAGUGAUCACGUGAUCCAUAUCAACCAAACCAUGUCCGAUCAUCAUGUGAGAUAGAGUAGUUUUCAAUGGUGAACAUCACUAUGUUGAUCAUAUCUACUAUAUGAUUCACGCUCGACCUUUCGGUCUCAGUGUUCCGGGGCCAUAUCUGCAUAUGCUAGGCUCGUCAAGUUUAACUUGAGUAUUCUGCGUGUGCAAAACUAGCUUGCACCCGUUGUAUGUGAACGUAGAGCUUAUCACACCCGAUCAUCAUGUGGUGUCUCAGCACGAAGAACUGUCGCAACGGUGCAUACUCAGGGAGAACACUUAUAGCUUGAAAUUUUAGUAAGGGAUCAUCUUAUAAAGCUACCGCCGAACUAAUCAAAAUAAGAUGUAUAAAAGAUAAACAUCACAUGCAAUCGAAAUAUGUGACAUGAUAUGGCCAUCAUCAUCUUGUGCCUUUGAUCUCCAUCUGCAAAGUACUGUUAUGAUCUCCAUUGUCACCGGCAUGACACCAUGAUCUCCAUCAUCUUGAUCUUUAUCAAUGUGUCGUCACAUGGUCGUCUCGCCAACUAUUGUUUUUGCAAUAUUGCCAUCACAUAGCGAUAAAGUAAAGCAAUCAUAUGGUGCUUGCAUCUUAUGCAAUAAAAAGACAACCAUAAGGCUCCUGCCAGUUGCCGAUAACUUGAACAAAACAUGAUCAUCUCAUACAACAAUUUAUUUCUCAUCAUGUCUUGACCAUAUCACAUCACAACAUGCCCUGCAAAAACAAGUUAGACGUCCUCUACUUUUUUGUUGCAAGUUUUACGUGGCUGCUACAGGCUGAGCAAGAAUCGGUCUUACCUACGCAUCAAAACCACAAUGAUUUUCGUCAAGUAUGUGCUGUUUUAACCUUCAACAAGGACCGGGCGUAGCCACACUUGAUUCAACUAAAGUUGGAGAAACUGACACCCGCCAGCCACCUGUGUGCGAAGCACGUCGGUAGAACUAGUCUCGCGUAAGCGUACACGUAAUGUCGGUCUGGGCCGCUUCAUCCAACAAUACCGCCGAAUCAAAGUAUGACAUGCUGGUAAGCAGUAUGACUAUUAUCGCCCACAACUCACUUCUGUUCUACUCGUGCAUAUAAUGUCUAUGCAUAGACCUGGCUCGGAUGCCACUGUUGGGGAACGUAAUAAUUUCAAAAAAAAUCCUACGCACACGCAAGAUCAUGGUGAUGCAUAGCAACGAGAGGGGAGGGUGUUAUCCACGUACCCUCAUAGACCGUAAGCGGAAGCGUUAUGACAACGCGGUUGAUGUAGUCGUACGUCUUCACGAUCCUAGCACCGAAGGUACGGCAGCUCCGCGAUCUGCACACAUUCGGCUCAGUGACAUCCCAUGAACUCACGAUCCAGUAGAGUGUCGAGGGAGAGUUUCGUCAGCACGAUGCUACCUCUUGAGCACUGCGUUGGUUUUCCCUUGAAGAGGAAAGGGUGAUGCAGCAAAGUAGCGUAAGUAUUUCCCUCAGUUUUUGAGAACCAAGGUAUCAAUCCAGUAGGAGGCCACGCACGAGUCCCUCGCACCUACACAAACAAAUAAAUCCUCGCAACCAACGCGAUAAGGGGUUGUCAAUCCCUACACGGUCACUUACGAGUGUGAGAUCUGAUGGAUAUGAUAAGAUAAUAUUUUUGGUAUUUUUGUGAUAAAGAUGCAAAGUAAAGAAAGUAAAAUAAAAACGGCUAUGGAAAUAGCUUGUUGUUGGGAGUUUAAUAUGAUGGAAAAUAGACCCGGGGGCCAUAGGUUUCACUAGUGGCUUCUCUCAAGAGCAUAAGUAUUUUACGGUGGGUGAACAAAUUACUGUUGAGCAAUUGACAGAAUUGAGCAUAAUUAUGAGAAAAUCUAGGUAUGAUCAUGUAUACAGGCAUCACGUCUGAGACAAGUACACCGACUCCUGCCUGCAUCUACUACUAUUACUCCACACAUCGACCGCUAUCCAGCAUGCAUCUAGAGUAUUAAGUUCAUAAGAACAGAGUAAUGCUUUAAGCAAGAUGACAUGAUGUAGAGGGAUAAACUCAUGCAAUAUGAUGUAAACCCCAUCUUGUUAUCCUCGAUGGCAACAAUACAAUACGUGCCUUGCUGCCCCUACUGUCACUGGGAAAGGACACCGCAAGAUUGAACCCAAAGCUAAGCACUUCUCCCAUUGCAAGAAAGAUCAAUCUAGUAGGCCAAACCAAACUGAUAAUUCGAAGAGACUUGCAAAGAUAACCAAUCAUACAUAAAAGAAUUCAGAAGAUUCAAAUAUUGUUCAUAGAUAAACUUGAUCAUAAACCCACAAUUCAUCGAUCUCAACAAACACACCGCAAAAGAAGAUUACAUCGAAUAGAUCUCCACAAGAGAGGGGGAGAACAUUGUAUUGAGAUCCAAAAAGAGAGAAGAAGCCAUCUAGCUAAUAAAUAUGGACCCGAAGGUCUGAGGUAAACUACUCACACUUCAUCGGAGAGGCUAUGGUGUUGAUGUAGAAGCCCUCCGUGAUCGAUGCCCCUCCGGCGGAGCUCCGGAACAGGCCCCAAGAUGGGAUCUCACGGGUACAGAAGGUUGCGGUGGUGGAAUUAGGUUUUUAGCUCCAUAUCUGGUAGUUUGGGGGUACGUAGGUAUAUAUAGGAGGAAGAAGUACAUCGGUGGAGCAACGUGGGGCCCACGAGGGUGGAGGGCGCGCCCAGGGGGGUAGGCGCGCCCCUACCUCGUGGCUUCCUGGUAGCUUUCUUGACGUAGGGUCCAAGUCCUCUGGAUCAUGUUCGUUCCGAAAAUCACGUUCCCGAAGGUUUCAUUCCGUUUGGACUCCGUUUGAUAUUCUUUUUCUGCGAAACUCUGAAAUAGGCAAAAAAGAGCAAUUCUGGGCUGGGCAUCCGGUUAAUAGGUUAGUCCCAAAAAUAAUAUAAAAGUGUAUAUAAAGCCCAAUAAUGUCCAAAACAGAAUAUAAUAUAGCAUGGAACAAUCAAAAAUUAUAGAUACGUUGGAGACGUAUCAAGCAUCCCCAAGCUUAAUUCCUGCUCGUCCUCGAGUAGGUCAAUGAUAAAAACAGAAUUUUUGAUGUGGAAUGCUACUUGGCAUAAUUUCAAUGUAAUUCUUCUUAAUUGUGGUGUGAAUAUUCAGAUCCGAAAGAUUCAAGAUAAAAGUUCAAUAUUGACAUAAAAAUAAUAAUACUUCAAGCAUACUAACUAAGCAAUUAUGUCCUCCCAAAAUAACAUGGCCAAAGAAAGUUCAUCCCUACAAAAUCAUAUAGUUUAGUCAUGCUCCAUUUUCGUCACACAAGAAUGCUCUCAUCAUGCACAACCCCGAUGACAAGCCAAGCAAUUGUUUCAUACUUUAGUAAUCUCAAACUUUUUCAACUUUCACGCAAUACAUGAGCGUCAGCCAUGGAUAUAGGACUAUGGGUGGAAUAGAAUAUAAUGAUGGGGGUUAUGUGGAGAAGAAAAAAAAGGAGAAAGUCUCACAUCAACGAGGCUAAUCAAUGAGGUAUGGAGAUGCCCAUCGAUUGAUGUUAAUGCAAGGAGUAGGGAUUGCCAUGCAACGGAUGCAUUAGAGUUAUAAAUAUAUGAAAGCUCAACAAAAGAAACUAAGUGGGUGUGCAUCCAACUUGCUUGCUCACGAAGACCUAGGGCACUUGAGGAGGCCCAUUGUUGGAAUAUACAAGCCAAGUUCUAUAAUUAAAAAUUCCCACUAGUAUAUGAAAGUGACAAAACAAGAGACUUUCUAUCAUGAAGAUUAUGGUGCUACUUUGGAGCACAAGUGUGGUAAAAGGAUAGUAACAUUGUCCCUUCUCUCUUUUUCUCUCAUUUUUUGGGGCCUUCUUCCUUUUUUAUGGCCUUUCUAUUUUUUUAUUCCUCACUUGGGACAAUGCUAUAGAAAAUGAUGAUCAUCACACUUCUAUUUAUUUACAACUCAAUGAUUACAACUCGAUACUAGAACAAAGUAUGACUCUAUAUGAAUGCCUCCGGCGGUGUACCGGGAUAUGCAAUGAACCAAGAGUGACAUGUAUGAAAAUUAUGAAUAUUGGCUUUGCCACAAAUACUAUGUCAACUACAUGAUCAUGCAAAGCAAUAUGACAAUGAUGAACGUGUCAUGAUAAACGGAACGGUGGAAAGUUGCAUGGCAAUAUAUCUCGGGGUGGCUGUUUUGAGGAAGAUAUAAGGAGGUUUAUGUGUGAAAGAGCGUAUCAUGUCACGGGUUUUGGAUGCACCGGCAAAGUUUGCACCAACUCUCAAUGUGAGAAAGGGCAAUGCACGGUACCGAAGAGGCUAGCAAUGAUGGAAAGGUGAGAGUGCGUAUAAUCCAUGGACUCAACAUUAGUCAUAAAGAACUCACAUACUUAUUGCAAAAAUCUACAAGUCAUCAAAAACCAAGCACUACGCGCAUGCUCCUAGGGGGAUAGAUUGGUAGGAAAAGACCAUCGCUCGUCCCUGACCGCCACUCAUAAGGAGGACAAUCAAAGAACACCUCAUGUUUCAAAUUUGUUACAUAAUGUUUACCAUACGUGCAUGCUACGGGACUUGCAAACUUCAACACAAGUAUUUCUCAAAUUCACAACUACUCAACUAGCACAACUUUGAUAUCACUACCUCCAUGUCUCAAAACAAUCAUCAAGCAUCAAACUUCUCUUAGUAUUCAACACACUCAUAAGAAAGUUUUUACUAGUCUUGAAUACCUGGCAUAUUAGGAUUAUUUAAGCAAAUUACCAUGCUAUUUAAGACUCUCAAAAUAAUCUAAGUGAAGCAUGAGAGAUCAAUAGUUUCUAUAAAACAAAUCCACCACCGUGCUCUAAAAGAUAUAAGUGAAGUACUAGAGCAAAAACUAUAUAACUCAAAAGAUAUAAGUGAAGCACAUAGAGUAUUCUAAUAAUUUCCAAAUCAUGUGUCUCUCUCUCAAAAGGCGUGUACAGCAAAGAUGAUUGUGGUAAACUAAAAAGCAAAGACUCAAAUCAUACAGGACGCUCCAAGCAAAACACAUAUCAUGUGGUGAAUAAAAAUAUAGCUCCAAGUAAAGUUACCGAUGGAAGUAGACGAAAGAGGGGAUGCCUUCCGGGGCAUCCCCAAGCUUUGGCUUUUAGGUGUCCUUAGAUUAUCUUGGGGGUGCCAUGGGCAUACCCAAGCUUAGGCUCUUGCCACUCCUUGUUCCAUAAUCCAUCAAAUAUUUUACCCAAAACUUGAAAACUUCACAACACAAAACUUAGCAGAAAAUCUCGUGAGAUCCGUUAGCGAAAGAAAACAAAAGACCACUUCAAGGUACUGUAAUGAACUCAUUAUUUAUUUAUAUUGGUGUUAAACCUACUGUAUUCCAACUUCUCUAUGGUUUAUUAACUAUUUUACUAGCCAUAGAUUCAUCAAAAUAAGCAAACAAAACAGGAAAAACAGAAUCUGUCAAAAACAGAACAGUCUCUAGUAAUCUGUAACUAACGCAAACUUCUGGAACUCCAAAAAUUCAACAAAAAAAGGACGACCUAUACAAUUUGUUUAUUGAUCAUAAGAAAUUGGAAUCAAUAUUUUAUCACGUUCUGGUAAUUUUUAAAAAUUAUUUUCAUGAACAGAAAGUUUCUGGAAUUUACAGCAAGAUCAAAUAACUAUCAUCCAAGAAGAUCCUAUAGGUUUAGCUUGGAACAAACACUAAUUAAAAUAUAAAAACACAUCUAACCAGAGGCUAGAACAAAUAUUUAUUCCUAAACAUAAGCAAAAAGCAAAAAACUAAAAAUAAAAUUGGGUUGCCUCCCAACAAGCGCUAUCGUUUAACGCCCUUAGCUAGGCAUAAUAGCAAGGAUAGAUCUAGGUAUUGCCAUCUUUGGUAGGCAAAUCUUUAAUAAGACAUCUACCACCCUUAGGAGUUUCUUUCUUUUUAUUUAUUAUCAAACUUCUAGGCAUAAAAUCGAAAAAUUCAUUUGUAGCAAAUGGUUCCUUAAUGAUAGCAAAAAGAUUGGGAUGAAUAAUUAUAGAUUUGAGAUCCGCAGUUUCCUUACUAGAGGAUUCACCCUUGUUUUUAGGAAAAUACAUAAGCUUGGCAAUUUUAGUUGGAGGACUCGGAGUAUUCUUUACGGAAGAAAAAGCGGUUCCCAAGUUGGUAAUGAUACCCUCAAGUUUAUCGAUUCUAUUGGAAUCUUGAUUUAUUCUUUCAUUAACUAUGGGUUCCUUCUCCUUAAUAUUUUUCAAAGUGACUCCUACUUUAGAUCCAUAUUGGGUAAUUUGGUUGGGGAUCUUUCUAUCCAGAUUUUCAAUUAACUCUACGGUAGCAACUUUAUUUUCAAUAAUUUCAAGUCUUUGCAUUACAUGCUCCAAAGUCAACAUAGUUCCAUUAACCAAAAGAGGUGGUGAGCCAAACAAAUCUAUCAUAGCAUUAUAAGAAUCAAAAGUAUGGCUUCCCAAGAAAUUCCCUCCGGUAAUGGUAUCAAGGAUAUAUCUGUACCAAGGAGUAGCGCCUACAUAAAAAUUGCGAAGAAGAACGGAACUAGAUUGCUUCCUGGUAGAUUUAUUUUGAGCAUUGCAAAUUCUAUACCAAGCAUCUUUUAGAUUUUCUCCCUCCCUUUGCUUAAAAUUUAGAACUUCAUUCUCGGGAGACAACGGAGAAGAGAGAGGACUAGUCAUAACGACAAGCAAACGGAAAAGAGGCAAAAGGAAAAGAGAGGGCGAAUAAAACAGCAAGGGUGAAGUGGGGGAGAGAAAAACGAGAGGCAAAUGGCAAAUAUGUAAUGCGGGAGAUAAGGGUUUGUGAUGGGUACUUGGUAUGUUGACUUUUGCGUAGACUCCCCAGCAAACGGCGCCAGAAAUGGCUCGUUGUCGGGAGUCCAAAUCUUGACUUGACCUUGCGUAAGCCUCCGCGGCAACGGCGCCAGAAAUCCUUCUUGCUACCUCUUGAGCAUUGCAUUGGUUUUCCCUCGAAGAGGAAAGGGUGAUGCAGCAAAGUAGCGUAAGUAUUUCCCUCAGUUUUUGAGAACCAAGGUAUCAAUCCAGUAGGAGGCCACACACGAGUCCCUCACACCUACACAAACAAAUAAAUCCUCGCAACCAACACGAUAAGGGGUUGUCAAUCCCUACACGGUCACUUACGAGAGUGAGAUCUGAUAGAUAUGAUAAGAUAAUAUUUUUGGUAUUUUUGUGAUAAAGAUGCAAAGUAAAGAAAGUAAAAUAAAAAUGGCAAUGGAAAUAGCUUGUUGUUGGGAGUGUAAUAUGAUGGAAAAUAGACACCGGGGCCAUAGGUUUCACUAGUGGCUUCUCUCAAGAGCAUAAGUAUUUUACGGUGGGCGAACAAAUUACUGUUGAGCAAUUGACAGAAUUUAGCAUAGUUAUGAGAAUAUCUAGGUAUGAUCAUGUAUAUAGGCAUCACGUCCGAGACAAGUAGACCGACUCCUGCCUGCAUCUACUACUAUUACUCCACACAUCGACCGCUAUCCAGCAUCCAUCUAGAGUAUUAAGUUCAUAAGAACAGAGUAAUGCUUUAAGCAAGAUGACAUGAUGUAGAGGCAUAAACUCAUGCAAUAUGAUGUAAACCCCAUCUUGUUAUCCUCGAUGGCAACAAUACUAUACGUGCCUUGCUGCCCCUACUGUCACUGGGAAAGGACACCGCAAGAUUGAACCCAAAGCUAAGCACUUCUCCCAUUGCAAGAAAGAUCAAUCUAGUAGGCCAAACCAAACUGAUAAUUCGAAGAGACUUGCAAAGAUAACCAAUCAUACAUAAAAGAAUUCAGAAGAUUCAAAUAUUGUUCAUAGAUAAACUUGAUCAUAAACCCACAAUUCAUCGGUCUCAACAAACACACCGCAAAAGAAGAUUACAUCGAAUAGAUCUCCACAAGAGAGGGGGAGAACAUUGUAUCGAGAUCCAAAAAGAGAGAAGAAGCCAUCUAGCUAAUAACUAUGGACCCGAAGGUCUGAGGUAAACUACUCACACUUCAUCGGAGAGGCUAUGGUGUUGAUGUAGAAGCCCUCCGUGAUCGAUGCCCCCUCCGGCGGAGCUCCGGAACAGGCCCCAAGAUGGGAUCUCAUGGGUACAGAAGGUUGCGGCGGUGGAAUUAGGUUUUUGGCUCCGUAUUUGGUAGUUUGGGGGUACGUAGGUAUAUAUAGGAGGAAGAAGUACGUCGGUGGAGCAACGUGGGGCCCACGAGGGUGGAGGGUGCGCCCAGGGGGGUAGGCGCCCCCUACCUCGUGGCUUCCUAGUAGCUUUCUUGACGUAGGGUCCAAGUCCUCUGGAUCAUGUUCGUUCCAAAAAUCACGUUCCCGAAGGUUUCAUUACGUUUGGAGUCCGUUUGAUAUUCUUUUCCUGCGAAACUCUGAAAUAGGCAAAAAAUAACAAUUCUUGGCUGGGCCUCCGGUUAAUAGGUUAGUCCCAAAAAUAAUAUAAAAGUGUAUAGUAAAGCCCAAUAAUGUCCAAAACAGAAUAUAAUAUAGCAUGGAACAAUCAAAAAUUAUAGAUAGGUUGGAGACGUAUCACACAACGGCGUGAUGACGGUAAUGAUGAAGCUACUAGCGCAGGGCUUCGCCUAAGCACUACGACGAUAUGACCGAGGUGGAUUAUGGAGGAGGGGGGCACGACACACGGCUAAGAGAUUGUGUCUAUGGGGUGCCCCCCUCCCCCGUAUAUAAAGGAGUGGAGGGGGGAGGGCCGGCCCUCCUAUGGCGCGCCCCAUGGGGAGUCCUACUCCCACCGGGAGUAGGAUUCCCCCCUUCCCUAGUUGGACUAGGAGUGGAAGGGGAAGAGAGGGGGAAGGAAAGGGGGCGCCGCCCCCCCUUCCUAGUCCAAUUUUCGGACCAGAGGAGGAGGGGGCGUGCGGUCUGCCCUGGCUGCCCCUCUCUCUCACCACUAAGGCCCAUUGGGGCCCAUAUACUCCCCGGGGGGUUCCGGUAACCCCCCGGUACUCCGGUAUAUGCCCGAACUCUCUCGAAACCUUUCCGAUGUCCAAACAUAGUCAUCCGAUAUAUCGAUCUUUAUGUCUCGACCAUUUUGAGACUCCUCGUCAUGUCCGUGAUCAUAUCCGGGACUCCGAACUACCUUCGGUACAUCAAAACACAUAAACUCAUAAUACCGAUCGUCACCGAACGUUAAGCGUGCGGACCCUACGGGUUCGAGAACUAUGCAGACAUGACCGAGACACGUCUACGGUAAUAACCAAUAGCGGAACCUGGAUGCUCAUAUUGGCUCCCACAUAUUCUACGAAGAUCUUUAUCGGUCAAACCGCAUAACAACAUACGUUAUUCCCUUUGUCAUCGGUAUGUUACUUGCCCGAGAUUCGAUCGUCGGUAUCAUCAUACCUAGUUCAAUCUCGUUACCGGCAAGUCUCUUUACUCGUUCCAUAACACAUCACCCGCAACUAACUCAUUAGACACAUUGCUUGCAAGGCUUAUAGUGAUGUGCAUUACCGAGAGGGCCCAGAGACACCUCUCCGAUACACGGAGUGACACAUCCUAAUCUCGAUCUAUGCCAACCCAACAAACACCUUCGGAUACACCUGUAGAGCAUCUUUAUAAUCACCCAGUUACGUUGUGACGUUUGAUAGCACACAAGGUGUUCCUCCGGUAUUCAAGAGUUGCAUGAUCUCAUAGUCAGAGGAACAUGUAUAAGUCAUGAAGAAAGAAAUAGCAAUAAAACUCAACGAUCAUAAUGCUAAGCUAACGGAUGGGUCUUGUCCAUCACAUCAUUCUCUAAUGAUGUGAUCCCGUUCAUCAAAUGACAACACAUGUCUAUGGUCAGGAAACAUAACCAUCUUUGAUUAACGAGCUAGUCAAGUAGAGGCAUACUAGGGAUGCUCUGUUUUGUCUAUGUAUUCACACAUGUACUAAGUUUCCGGUUAAUACAAUUAUAGCAUGAAUAAUAAACAUUUAUCAUGAUAUAAGUAAAUAUAAAUAACAACUUUAUUAUUCCCUGUAGGUCAUAUUUCCUUCAACGGUGGUCUGGCCCCUUGGUGUUUCUUGGCUUUUUUCUGUUAAGUCUUUAUACUCCAAGUUUAUUGAUGACACCCCCUCUAAUAGGUUUAGACCUAUCUGGCAUGCCCGCAUUCCCCCCAAGGUGAAGAUCCUUCUAUGGCAAGCCUUCAGAGGUCGCCUGCCUGUGGCUGAUCAAAUUCGCAAGCGCAAUGGCCCGGGCUCUGACAGAUGUGCGCUGUGGGGAGACAUGGAGGACACGAACCACAUUUUUUCCAUUGUGUCUUGGCCAAGUUGAUCUGGUGUGGCUUUAGAUCUUAGCUUCAGGUAUCUUGGCAUCCUUCAUCUUUUGCUGAUCUUAGGGCUCUCUCUAGUGUCCUGGUUGGGGUCACCAAACAGUUGUUUUGGGUCGGCCUAGCGGCGGUGUGCUGGUCCUUGUGGACGACUAGGAACAAGUUUACUAUCGAACAUGUUUUUCCUGCUAAACCUGUUGUGCUUAUUUAAAUCGUGCAUGUUCCUGGAGUAGUGGAGAUCAUUGACUAAGACGGAAGACCGCGAUGCUUUCGACCUCUUAUCUUCCAAAUUCGGGCUUCGGCGUCUUCUAUCUCGCGGCAGGAGCCAGGUGGCUAGGUGUCUUGGGCGACCUUUUAGACCUCUGGAAUGUCUUCGUUUGAGUCUCUGUUCGUUCUAGUAGUUCCGGCCUGUGUGUCGUGGUUGUGGCCUGUGCGCCCUGUAAUCCGUACUUUAUUUGGCCCUGGUUCUGGCCGGCUGUCUGUCUAACUGUCUGCAGUUUGGUUGCUAUGUACGCUGCCUGGUGGCUUUAUUUAUAAAGUCGGGCUGAUGCCUUUCCUCUAUAAUGUAAUGGGGAAUCACUGCCAUUCAACUUCAUUGUCAACGGUCAUGAGUAAAACAUGGGGUACUACCUUGUCGAUGGUAUCUAUCUUCAGUGGGCGGCGUUUGUGAAGACCAUAUCUGAUCUCCACGGCAAAAAAAGUCACUUUGCAACGAUGCAAUAAAUAGCUAGGAAGGGUGUGGAGAGGGCAUUCAGAGUGCUCCAAACUCGCUGGGGAAUUGUUUGUGGAGUUGCAGUGAUGUAGGAAUCAUAGACUUUGUGGCAGUUGAUGACAUGUUGCGUCAUUUUGCACAAUAUAAUUGUCGAGGAUGAAGGUGAAGGGGCAGUACCAACCCAUGAUUUUGACAAGCCUGGAGAACUGAUACGUCUCCAACGUAUCUAUAAUUUUUUAUUGUUCCAUGCUAUAUUAUAUUCUGUUUUGGACAUUAUUGGGCUUUAUUAUACACUUUUAUAUUAUUUUUGGGACUAACCUAUUAACCGGAGGCCCAGCCCAGAAUUGCUGCUUUUUGCCUAUUUCAGAGUUUCGCAGAAAAAGAAUAUCAAACGAGUCCAAACGGAAUGAAACCUUCGGGAACGUGAUUUUCGGAAUGAACGUGAUCCAGAGGACUUGGACCCUAUGUCAAGACAUCAACCAGGAAGGCACGAGGUAGGGGGCGCGCCCUCCACCCUCGUGGGGCCCAUGUUGCUCCACCGACGUACUUCUUCCUCCUAUGUUGACCUACGUACCCCCAAACUACCAGAUACGGAGCCAAAAACCUAAUUCCACCGCCGCAACCUUAUGUACCUGUGAGAUCCCAUCAUGGGGCCUUUUCCGGAGCUCCGCCGGAGGGGGCAUCGAUCACGGAGGGCUUCUACAUCAACACCAUAGCCUCUCCGAUGAUGUGUGAGUAGUUUACCUCAGACCUUCGGGUCCAUAGUUAUUAGCUAGAUGGCUUCUUCUCUCUCUUUGGAUCUCAAUACAAUGUUCUUCCCCUCUCUUGUGGAGAUCUAUUCGAUGUAAUCUUCUUUUGCGGUGUGUUUGUUGAGAUCGAUGAAUUGUGGGUUUAUGAUCAAGUUUAUCUAUGAACAAUAUUUGAAUCUUCUCUGAAUUCUUUUAUGUAUGAUUGGUUAUCUUUGCAAGUCUCUUCGAAUCAUCAGUUUGGUUUGGCCUACUAGAUUGAUCUUUCUUGCAAUGGGAGAAGUGCUUAGCUUUGGGUUCAAUCUUGCGGUGUCCUUUCCCAGUGACAGUAGGGGCAGCAAGGCACGUAUUGUAUUGUUGCCAUCGAGGAUAACAAGAUGGGGUUUAUAUGAUAUUGCAUGAGUUUAUCCCUCUACAUCAUGUCAUAUUACUUAAAGUGUUACUCUGUUCUUUUGAACUUAAUACUCUAGAUGCAUGCUGGAUAGCGGUCGAUGUGUGGAGUAAUAGUAGUAGAUGCAGGCAGGAGUCGGUCUACUUGUCGGGGAUGUGAUGCCUAUAUACAUGAUCAUACCUAGAUAUUCUCAUAACUAUGCUCAGUUCUGUCAAUUGCUCAACAGUAAUUUGUUUACCCACCGUAAUACUUAUGCUCUCGAGAGAAGCCACUAGUGAAACCUAUGGCCCCCGGGUCUAUUUUCCAUCAUAUUAAUCUUCCAACACUUAGCUAUUUUUAUUGCCUUUUAUUUUACUUUGCAUCUUUAUAAUAAAAAUACCAAAAAUAUUAUCGUACCAUAUCUAUCAGAUCUCACUUUCGUAAGUGACCGUGAAGGGAUUGACAACCCCAUUUAUUGCGUUGGUUGCGAGGAUUUUAUUUUUUUGUGUAGGUGCGAGGGACUCGUGCGUGGCCUCCUACUAGAUUGAUACCUUGGUUCUCAAAAACAGAGGGAAAUACUUACACCGCUUUACUGCAUCACCCUUUCCUCUUCAAGGGAAAACCAACGCAGUGCUCAAGAGGUAGCAAGAAGGAUUUCUGGCGCCAUUGCCGGGGAGUCUACGCAAAAGUCAACAUACCAAGUACCUAUCACAAACCCUUAUCUCCCGCAUUACAUUAUUUGCCAUUUGCCUCUCGUUUUCCUCUCCCCCACUUCACCCUUGCCGUUUUAUUCGCCCUCUCUUUUCCGUUCGCCUCUUUUUCACGUGCUUCUUGUUUGCUCGUGUGUUGGAUUGCUUGCUUGUCACGAUGGCUCAAGAUAGUACCAAAUUGUGUGACUUUACCAAUACCAACAACAAUGAUUUCCUUAGAACUCUGAUUGCUCCUCUUACCGAUACUGAAUCUUGUGAAAUUAAUGUUGCUUUCUUGAAUCUUGUCAUGAAAGAUCAAUUCGUCGGCCUUCCUUGUGAAGAUGCCGCUACUCAUCUAAAUAGCUUCGUUGAUUUGUGUGAUAUGCAAAAGAAGAAAGAUGUGGACAAUGAUAUUGUUAAAUUGAAGCUCUUUCCUUUUUCGCUUAGGGAUCGUGCUAAAGCUUGGUUUUCGUCUUUGCCUAAAAAUAGUAUUGAUUCUUGGAAUAAGUGCAAAGAUGCUUUUAUCUCUAAGUAUUUUCCUCCCGCUAAGAUCAUCUCUCUUAGAAAUGAUAUCAUGAAUUUUAAGCAACUUGAUCAUGAACAUGUUGCACAAGCUUGGGAGAGGAUGAAAUUAAUGAUACGUAAUCGCCCUACACAUGGUUUGAAUUUGUGGAUGAUUAUACAAAAUUUUUAUGCCGGAUUGAAUUUUGCUUCUAGAAAUCUUUUAGAUUCGGCCGCGGGAGACACUUUUAUGGAAAUCACUUUAGGAGAAGCUACUAAAAUCCUAGGUAAUAUUAUUGUUAAUUAUUCUCAAUGGCACACUGAAAGAUCUACUAGAAGAAAGUGCAUGCGAUAGAAGAAAUUAAUGUUUUGAGUGGAAAGAUGAAUGAACUUAUGAAAUUAUUUGCUAAUAAAAGUGUUUCUUCUGAUCCUAACGAUAUGCCUUUGUCUACUUUGAUUGAGAAUAAUAAUGAAUCUAUGGAUGUGAAUUUUGUUGGUAGGAAUAAUUUUGGUAACAACGCGUAUAGAGGAAACUUUAAUCCUAGGCCGUAUCCUAGUAAUUCCUCUAAUAAUUAUGGUAAUUCCUACAACAAUUCUUAUGGAAAUUUUAAUAAGAUGCCCUCUGAAUUUGAGACUAGUGUUAAGGAGUUUAUGAAUUCGCAAAAGAAUUUCAAUGCUUUGCUUGAAGAAAAAUUGCUUAAAGUUGAUGAAUUAGCUAGGAACGUUGAUAGAAUUUCUCUUGAUGUUGAUUCUUUGAAACUUAGAUCUAUUACACCUAAGCAUGAUAUCAAUGAGUCUCUCAAGGCCAUGAGAAUUUCCAUUGAUGAGUGCAAAGAAAGAACCGCUAGGAUGCGUGCUAAGAAAUAUUGUUUUGUGAAAGCGUGUUCUUCUAGUUUCUAUGAAAACAAAGAUGAAGAUCUAAAAGUUAUUGAUGUGUCCCCUAUUAAAUCUUUGUUUUGCAAUAUGAAUCUUGAUAAUGAUGGGACUGAAUAUGAUCCACCUUUACCUAGAAGGCGUUCCAAAAAUUCGGAGUUUUUAGAUCUUGAUGUAAAAAUUGGUAAAGUUGGAUUGGAGAGAUCAAAACUCUAGAUAUUAAUGAACCCACUAUUUUGGAUUUCAAGGAUUUUAAUUAUGAUAAUUGCUCUUUGAUAGAUUGUAUUUCCUUGUUGCAAUCCGUGCUAAAUUCUCCACAUGCUUAUAGUCAAAAUAAAGCCUUUACCAAACAUAUCGUAGAUGCUUUGAUGCAAUCUUAUGAAGAAAACUUGAGUUGGAAGUUUCUAUCCCUAGAAAACUUUAUGAUGAGUGGGAACCUACUAUUAAAAUUAAAAUCAAAAAUCAUGAAUGCUAUGCUUUGUGUGAUCUGGGUGCUAGUGUUUCCACGAUUCCAAAGACUUUGUGUGAUUUGCUAGGUUUCCGUGAUUUUGAUGAUUGCUCUUUAAACUUGCACCUUGCGGAUUCCACCAUUAAGAAACCUAUGGGAAUAAUUAAUGAUGUUUUUAUUGUUGCAAAUAGGAAUUAUGUGUCCGUAGAUUUUAUUGUUCUUGAUAUAGAUUGCAAUCCUUCAUGUCCUAUUAUUCUUGGUAGACCUUUCCUUAGAACGAUUGGUGCAAUUAUUGAUAUGAAGGAAGGGAAUAUUAGAUUUCAAUUUCCGUUAAGAAAAGGCAUGGAACACUUCCCUAGAAAGAAAAUAAAAUUACCUUAUGAAUCUAUUAUGAGAUACACUUAUGGAUUGCCUACCAAAGAUGGCAAUACCUAGAUCUAUCCUUGCUAUUAUGCCUAGCUAGGGGUGUUAAACGAUAGCGCUUGUUGGGAGGCAACCCAAUUUAUUUUUUAGUUUUUUGCUUUUCGCUUCUGUUUAGGAAUAAAUAUUUUAUCUAGCCUCUGGUUAGAUUUGUUUUUAUGUUUUAAUUAGUUUUAGUGCCAAGCUUAACCUAUAGGAUCUUCUUGGAUGAUAGUUAUUUGAUCUUGCUGAAAAUUCCAGAAACUUUCUGUUCACGAAAAUAAUUGUUAAAAAUCAACAGAACGUGAUAAAAUAUUGAUUCCAAUUGCUUCUGAUCAAUUAAUAAAUUUUCUAGGUCUUCCUAUUUUGGCUGAAUUUUUGGAGUUCCAGAAGUUUGCGUUAUUUACAGAUUACUACAGACUGUUCUGUUUUCGACAGAUUCGGUUUUUCCUAUGUUGUUUGCUUAUUUUGAUAAAUCUAUGGCUAAUAAAAUAGUUUAUAAACCAUAGAGAAGUUGGAAUACAGUAGGUUUAACACCAAUAUAAAUAAAUAAUGAGUUCAUUACAGUAACUUGAAGUGGUGUUUUGUUUUCUUUCGCUAACGGAGCUCACGACAUUUUCUGUUAAGUUUUGUGUUGUGAAGUUUUCAAGUUUUGGGUGAAAGAUUUGAUGGAUUAUGGAACAAGGAGUGGCAAGAGCCUAAGCUUGGGUAUGCCCAUGGCACCCCAAGAUAAUCUAAGUACACCUAAAAUCCAAAGCUUGGGGAUGCCCCGGAAGGCAUCCCCUCUUUCGUCUACUUCCAUCAGUAACUUUACUUGGAGCUAUAAUUUUAUUCACCACAUGAUAUGUGUUUUGCUUGGAGCGUAUUGUAUUAUUUGAGUCUUUGUUUUUUAGUUUACCACAAUCAUCCUUGAUGUACACACCUUUUGAGAGAGACACACAUGAUUCGGAAAUUAUUAGAAUACUCUACGUGCUUCACUUAUAUUUUUUGAGCUAUAUAUUUUUGCUCUAGUGCUUCACUUAUAUCUUUUAGAGCACGGCGGUGGAUUUGUUUUAUAGAAACUAUUGAUCUCUCAUGCUUCACUUAUAUUAUUUUGAGAGUCUUAAAAUAGCAUGGCAAUUUGCUUUAAUUAUAAUAUCAUGAUAAAUUUGAUGCUUGAUAAUUGUUUUGAGAUAUAAAGGUGGUAAUAUCAUGGUUGUGCUAGUUGAGUAAUUGUGGAAUUGAAAAAUACUUGUGUUGGAGUUUGUGAUUCCCGUAGCAUGCAUGUAUGGUGAACCGUUAUGCAACGAAGUCGGAGUAUGAGGUAUUUAUUGAUUGUCAUCCUUUGUGUGGCGAUCGGGAUCACGCGAUGGUCAACUCCUACCAACCCUUCCCCUAGGAGCAUGCGUAGUAGUACUUUGCUUUGAGGGCUAAUAAAUUUUUGCAAUAAGUAUAUGAGUUCUUUAUGACUAAUGUGAGUCCAUGGAUUAUACACACACUUACCUUUCCGCAAUUUUCUAGCCUCUUCGGUACCGUGCAUUGCCCUUUCUCACCUUGAGAGUUGGUGCAAACUUCGCCGAUGCAUCCAAACCCCGUGAUAUGAUACACUCUAUCACACAUAAACCUCCUUAUAUCUUCCUCAAAACAGCCACCAUACCUACCUAUUAUGGCAUUUCCAUAGCCAUUCCGAGAUAUAUUGCCAUGCAACUUUCCAUCGUUUCGUUUAUGAUGAAACGCUCCAUCAUUGUCAUAUUGCCUUGCAUGAUCAUGUAGUUGACAUUGUAUUUCUGGCAAAGCCAACAUUCAUAAUUCUUUCAUAGAUGUCGCUCUUAAUUCAUUAUCCCGGUAUACCGCCGGAGGCAUUUACAUAGAGUCAUAUUUUGUUCUAAGUAUUGAGUUGUAAGUAAAUAAAAGUGUGAUGAUCAUCAUUAUUAGAGCAUUGUCCCAAGUGAGAAAAGGAUGAUGGAGACUAUGAUUCCCCCACAAGUCGCGAUGAGACUCCGGACUAAAAAAAAGAGGCCAUAAAAAAGAAGAGAAAAGGCCCAAAUAAAAAAAUAUGAGAGAAAAAGAGAGAAGGGACAAUGUUACUAUCCUUUUACCACACUUGUGCUUCAAAGUAGCACCGUGAUCUUCAUGAUAGAGAGUCUCUCAUUUUGUCGCUUUCAUAUACUAGUGGGAAAUUUCAUUAUAGAACUUGGCUUGUAUAUUCCAAUGAUGGGCUUCCUCAAAAUGCCCGAGGUCUUCGUGAGCAAGCAAGUUGGAUGCACACCCACUUAGUUUCUUUUGUUUGAGCUUUCAUACACUUAUAGCUCUAGUGCAUCCGUUGGAUGGCAAUCCCUACUCCUUGCAUUGACAUCAAUUGAUGGGCAUCUCCAUAGCCCGUUGAUUAGCCUCGUUGAUGUGAGACUUUCUCCUUUUUAGUCUUCCCACAUAACCCCUACCAUUAUACCUUAUUCCACCAUAGUGCUAUAUCCAUGGCUUGCGCUCAUGUAUUGCGUAAGAGUUGAAAAGGCUGAAGCGCGUUAAAAAGUAUGAACCAAUUGCUUGGUUAAAACCGGGGUUGUACAUGAUAUGGAUAUUUUGUGUGGGGAAGAUGGAGCAUAGCUGGACUAUAUGAUGUUGUAGGGAUAACUUGCUUUGGCUAUGUUAUUUUGAUAAGACAUAAUUGCUUGGUUAGCAUGCUUGAAGUAUUAUUAUUUUUAUGUCAACAUUAAACUUUUAUCUUGAAUCAUAUUAAAUCUGAACAUUCGUGCCACAAUAAGAAGAAUUACAUUGAAAUUAUGCUAAGUAGCAUUCCACAUCAAAAAUCUAUUUUUAUCAUUUACCUACUCGAGGACGAGCAGGAAUUAAGAUUGGGGAUGCUUGAUACGUCUCCAACGUAUCUAUAAUUUUUGAUUGUUCCAUGCUAUAUUAUAUUCUGUUUUGAACAUUAUUGGGCUUUAUUAUACACUUUUAUAUUAUUUUUGGGACUAACCUAUUAACCGGAGGCCCAGCCAGAAUUGUUGUUUUUUGCCUAUUUCAGAGUUUCGCAGAAAAAGAAUAUCAAACGGAGUCCAAACGGAAUGAAACCUUCGGGAACGUGAUUUUCGGAACGAACGUGAUCCAGAGGACUUGGACCCUACGUCAAGACAUCAACUAGGAAGGCACGAGGUAGGGGGCGCGCCUACACCCUGGGCGCGCCCUCCACCCUCGUGGGGCCCACGUUGCUCCACCGACGUACUUCUUCCUCCUAUAUAUACCUACGUACCCCCAAACUACCAGAUACGGAGCCAAAAACCUAAUUCCACUGCCGCAACCUUCUGUACCCGUGAGAUCCCAUCUUGGGGCCUUUUCCGGAGCUCCGCCGGAGGGGGCAUCGAUCACGGAGGGCUUCUACAUCAACACCAUAGCCUCUCCGAUGAUGUGUGAGUAGUUUACCUCAGACCUUCGGGUCCAUAGUUAUUAGCUAGAUGGCUUCUUCUCUCUCUUUGGAUCUCAAUACAAUGUUCUCCUCCUCUCUUGUGGAGAUCUAUUCGAUGUAAUCUUCUUUUGCGGUGUGUUUGUUGAGAUCGAUGAAUUGUGGGUUUAUGAUCAAGUUUAUCUAUGAACAAUAUUUGAAUCUUCUCUGAAUUCUUUUAUGUAUGAUUGGUUAUCUUUGCAAGUCUCUUCGAAUUAUCAGUUUGGUUUGGCCUACUAGAUUGAUCUUUCUUGCAAUGGGAGAAGUGCUUAGCUUUGGGUUCAAUCUUGUGGUGUCCUUUCCCAGUGACAGUAGGGCAGCAAGGCACGUAUUGUAUUGUUGCUAUCGAGGAUAACAAGAUGGGGUUUAUAUCAUAUUGCAUGAGUUUAUCCCUCUACAUCAUGUCAUCUUACUUAAAGUGUUACUCUGUUCUUUUGAACUUAAUACUCUAGAUGCAUGCUGGAUAGCGGUCGAUGUGUGGAGUAAUAGUAGUAGAUGCAGGCAGGAGUCGGUCUACUUGUCGCGGACGUGAUGCCUAUAUACAUGAUCAUACCUAGAUAUUCUCAUAACUAUGCUCAAUUCUGUCAAUUGCUCAGCAGUAAUUUGUUUACCCACUGUAAUACUUAUGCUCUCGAGAGAAGCCACUAGUGAAACCUAUGGCCCCCGGGUCUAUUUUCCAUCAUAUUAAUCUUCCAACACUUAGCUAUUUUUAUUGCCUUUUAUUUUACUUUGCAUAUUUAUAAUAAAAAUACCAAAAAUAUUAUCUUAUCAUAUCUAUCAGAUCUCACUUUCGUAAGUGAUCGUGAAGGGAUUGACAACGCCUUUAUUGCGUUGGUUGCGAGGAUUUUAUUUGUUUGCGUAGUUGCGAGGGACUCGUGCGUGGCCUCCUACUGGAUUGAUACCUUGGUUCUCAAAAACUGAGGGAAAUACUUACGCUGCUUUACUGCAUCACCCUUUCCUCUUCAAGGGAAAACCAACGCAGUGCUCAAGAGGUAGCAAGAACAAGCAGUCCACAUCCCGGAGCAACAAGAUGCAAAUCAACUUAUCAAUUUUCUGCAGAUGCAUCAUAAUCUUUGAGGUCUUCGGGUGCACAGGUAGAUACUUAAUGAUCUUGUGGAGCAUACGUGGACCUGCAAUGGCAACCAAUAAACCGUGCGCUUAAAAUAAAUUUAAUGUUCGAACUAUGUAUUUUCGCUGCCAACAAUUGUUGUUUACGUACAAUAUUCACUAGUAUGAUGAACUUGCAUGGAUUUGCAUGAAUUAAAGGGUUUCAAUUUGAGGAGUGUGGCUGUCUGACAAGCAAUAUGAGGGGUCUUCUGACGUCCGCGGUCGGGCCCUGGCGUGUCCGUGGAUGUUUAGGGGGGGGGGGGGCGGAUUUGCCAAGUCCGGAUGUAGAUGCUCUCACAACCCAUUUUAUAACCAUUGUACCGGUGACUAUUCACCCCACCACCACUGGGUCGUCGACGGGGCCAAUGACGUCCCCUAUUUUCCAAUGCAAAAGGCGAGGGAGCAUGAUGUUCUUGCAACCCUAGUGUAGAGGGCAGAAGAACAAGGGUUUAUUAAAGGUGUUCUUCCAAGUUUGUAUGAUGAGGGUCUGAGUAUAUUGCAAUACGCGGACGGUACUAUAUUCUGUUUUAAAGAUAACCUUGAGGGGACUAGAAAUAUCAUAGUCAUUCUAUAUGUUUUCGAGCACAUGAUUGGGUUUGAAAUUAACUUUCUAAAAAGUGAAAAAAAUUGGUGAGGCAUGGGACAAAAAGAAUGUCUAUGAUCGUAUUUUUACAUGUGCAACUCGGGACUUCCCCUUCAGAUAUUUAUAUAUUUCCUUCCAUUUAAAAAACACUUUAAUGUUGGCUGGAAGCCAACUGAGGAGAAAAUUUGAAAAAGGGGGCAGCUUCCUGGCAAGGGGUUUGCUUGAUAUGGAUGGUAGGCUUACACUGACAUAAACUUCUUUGAGUAGCGUCCCCAAUCAUAUGCUUUUUUUCGUCUUCUUUCGUCCUCGAGUUCUUUGGCCAGAUAAGGACGCGUUCGUAAAUUCCAUUUAGUUAACUGGCUUGGUGUUUGUCAAGCCAUAUAUCAAGAAAAAUCUUUGAAUAAGAAAACCUUGUCUCAAUGUGAACCUCCUCCAGCAAAUUCUCAUUUCCAGAAUGGUUUAAUGAUUAUUAAAAAUAAUCUUUACCAACUUAAACACAACGGAUAGAAUAGUUGGUGAAGACCGAUGGUGCAGAUUCCCGUAGGUAGGUUUCAACCUCCCAACCCCGACAAUUUUCUCCUCAAACUAUGAUCAAAAGGAUGUUCCCUGUAUCGAUAUCCAUACAUACGAGAUCUACACUUCACAAGGGCUUCGCCAUGCAAAAUGGAACCAUGUUUGAGAACUAGGGGUGUGGUGGACCAGCUUUUCGGCCUGGAGCAAUUCGCAUGGACAGAGAGACAAAGUUAGCACUUUGCUCAGAUGCGUUUGAGGGGCUGUCCCCUCACAAAUUUACAGGGGAAAGGGAAGGAGGCCAACUUGGAGUGCUCCCUCCCUAGGUGGAACGCCACAAGGGGUGGGUUGCUUCACAAAUCCUAGGUCGCAUCUAGGAGGCUUGGCCUCCAAGCCAAAGGGGAGCACCCCACUCAUGGGCCAAUAGGACCAUGUUGCUUCCCCCUACUUGGGCCUACCCAAAAGGGGUAGCCCAUCGUGCCUUGCAUAUAUUUUUGGGAGGCGGAACCCUCCUUGACCUUCUGGUGAUUUUCCGGUCUCCUGGGACUUUCCCGGUUUUCUGAAACUUCUUUGGUGUUCUCCGAAACACUUCCGGUUCUCUAUUCAAAACAUUUUUUAUCUUCCCAAAACUUUUCCAGUGAGUUUCUCUCAAGCUCCUAACACUUCUGGUACUCAACAAACUGGUGAACCUUAUGCUUCUGAUCCCGUAGGUUCGGUAAACUGUAGACAUGACCCGAAAGUCCUUCCGGUCAAUAAUCAAUAGCGGGAUCUGGGCAUCCAUUUUGACUCCUACACUUAUACGAAUAAAUUAUUUUGUUUUCGCACAUCAUUCAUUUUGCUUCAUGAUACUUAACAAAACCUGAGGCGAGACUUUGGGUAUCCGUGUGAAGCAACAACUUGAUUACUAUACCAAGUUAUCCUCGUUACAGGUUUUGUUCCUUUUUCUGAUUUACGUAUUCCAGCAUCCCCAUGAUCAAUCAUGCUUUUUCUGGUAAGACGAUGAUGGAUACCAAAAUACCGAGAGGGCCCGAAGAAUAUCUCUUCAUCGUUGGAGGCGCAAAUCUCAAUCUUGAGCUAUCAAGUCCCUCGGCAUACUUUUUCCGAUGCACAUGAAAGUUGUUGUUAUAAUCACCAUAUUACGGAGAACGUUUGACGAACCACAAACUACACCGUCCGACAUGAAGGUACUCAAUACUAUUAUGGUCUAAGUAACCGAGCAUACGUUAACAAUUGCAUGUAUAUACUUAAAACACUAUGACGAUGUGAUCUUGAUGUUUAUCAUUUAGUUGGGUGUAUCCAGCAUAGUUCUGCCAACAAUGUGCUCCCAUUGUUAUCGACGUCCUUGUUACUUGAAAAUUGCCCUAUGAUAAGGAAAAUGGGCGCAUCAUGCAACACAUGAGCUAGUCCUAGGGGCGAGACUAGGGAACUACUUGGUGUUUAUGUUUUCACACGUGCAACUGGGUUUUUCUGUGAAUCUCAUAUUCAACAACAAAUGUAGUUAUAGCAUGGAACGUAAACAUUAAUUACGAACAUGGAAAAAAUAACAUUGUUAUUGCCUCUAGGGCAUAUUUCCUUCAAUAGGUGGCUAUGGUUUGGUCGCUCGCGGGGGGCUUCAUGGUGGCGUAGGGGAAUGGGGCUCCUUCGGCUAACAUUGGCCAUGGCACUAGUUCAUGCCUCCCGCCUGCUUACUCUCUUUGGGAAAGACGACAAGAGGGAGCCGGUGAGGUGGGCUGAGCCUGCUGAAGAGUUAGGUGAGGCCGAGUGGCGUUAUGCUUAGCGGUUCUCGCUUUUAGAAUAUGGUUGGGCCGACUAGGUUUCGGUUUAAAAGGCUUUUCCCUUUUUCUUUUUAUAGAAUUAGGGAAUAUGAUAGAUAUGGAAUUAUUUGGAGGGCCAAAUAAUUUUCAAAUGAGAUGAAAUUCUUAUGGUGGUCUUUCUGACAUUCAAAGCUACACUAAAAUUUCCAAAAAAUUGAUAAGGAUUUGAAUUUAAAUCAGGGAAAUGAUAUAACGGUGGUUUGAACUAGAGGUAUGAGAAAGAAGUGUGCUAAAUUUCCAAAAAUUUACGAUAGCUCUAAUAUGACAAAAGAACACCAUGUGCCAAGUUUGGGAGUGAGUCUUGAGGGUAGUAGCAAUAUUAAUUCAGGGUUGCAAUAAUAAAAAUGAUGUGGGAUUAACAUGAACAUGUUAAAUUAAUGAUAUUCAUUGGUGGCAUGAUGUCAUGAUGAUACAGAAGAACAAACGUGCAAAGUGGUUAGGAUAUUACUCUGUGGCGACUUCGUCACUCUCAAGAUGAUGUAACGGCUCCGUCUCUCGGAGGCGCUCAUAGGGAAGUGAUCUACACGCUCUUAUAUUUGUUUACGAAGGAAGUAUUUAAGAUCCAGCUCAGUCUUGUUUUCCGGCCAAAAUACGUAUCAAUUACUUGCCUCACUAAUCUUAAUGCAUUUGAUCUUUGCAUCAUCGGCGCAACUGGUCGUCUAGUGUACUUAACCUAAAACAAUACCCAUGUGAAACGGUACUAUCAGGAGCUAGAGUACAACACAGCAGAAUAUUUGAAGGUACAGGAAAAACUUUAUUAUUGCCUUUUUUAUAACCGUUUUAUUGUAUUAUUGCUCUUUUCCCUUUUUUCUUGGCGAGCAGAGAGAGCCUUCUUCUUCUUUUUCAGGCGAGGAGUGAAAGCAACAACGUGAAACGCAAAACAAUCGAGAAUGCAAAAGGAGCGAUUUGUGGGAGAAAAGGAAAAAGAAAAAGAAAAGGGAAGAAAAGGAAGGAAAGUUUUUUCGGACCUGCCUGUGCGUAACGUGCCCAAUACUCCAAGGUAACAGGCCGGGACUAGCGUCGAGCGCGGACUUUAUUCCGCCCUUUUCCGCUGUGGCAUGUGAUUUUCUCAUCACUAUUGCUUGGGGCGCAGAACAGUCGAGUAGAGAAGCAUCAAUCCAUGUUGCUGCGGCCUUGUUAUCUCGUGCCGCCACGCCUGACGGAAUAUUCCUCGCAGUCCACACAUCCCAAUCUACCUCUUCUAAUACCGGCAGAAUGCAAUGUAUAUACUCCUGUAUAAUCAUUUAUUAGCUAGAAAAAAGGAGUAUAUGCGUUGUAUAUUUGUACCUGAACUCUGCUUGAAUCUGGAAAGUACGGGUCGUGUACGCGAGCGAGACAGCAACAGACUUGCCCUUGACUCAAGCGUGGUGGCUGCGAGAAUCCGACAGGCCCUGAGGCUGACCGCCCAGUUCAUGAUCGCCUCGAGAGCCGCCAAGGUUACGUGCACACCUACCACUGUGCGCCCGUGCAUGGAUUCGCCGCGGCGAAAGCCCUCUGGUUCUGCAGAGGGAGGCGGGAAUUAUUUACGUUUUCGUCAAAUCAAAUCACGGUUGUUUGUUCACACGCCACCCCUUAAUUAGCUGCGGCGUGCUAAUCAAACUCAAAGUACUCCCUUAAUUUCCGAGUAACUGCUAAGUUAGGUGCCACUUUGGUCCUGGCCUCGGCGCAAGGACGUUUAUAUAGGACUAGAGCAAAAGGGUCACGCUAUCAAUCACUUUUUUUUCUGGCUGUUGAAAAGAAAAGAGGUCACGCCACGAUGUCAUCAAUCCCUGAGGCCUCAUCGUCUCAUGCAUGCCUGAGGCGGCAAAACAAAAGGUGAUGGGAUUAAAGAAAGAAAGGCGCAGCCGUAGGACAAGCUCGCUAGCUGGCUGGCUGGCCGUGUUGUACUGGUACUUGGCCUCUACGAUCUCAUCAAGUUAAGUCAAGCUAACCCCUGGGACAAGCUGUCCCGUCAGUUAGCUAGCCCGGUGCACGGGAGGGUGCUGUCCUGGCGCACGGGACGGGUCCUCCCCUUUUGCACCGAGGACGCCCGGCCGGCCGGCCGGCUGGCAAGUGGCAGGCGCCGCGCGCGGCCACAUGCCCACAUUGGCGCCUGCAGUGCACUGCAUUUACGUGCCUUUGGUCCGUCGCCCUGGCCUGCCCUGCGCAUGCUGCCCGCUGCCACCGCUCCUGCGCGGCAUGGCAUGGCGCCGCGGAUAAGCGAAGCCCCUGGAGCUAGCGAGCUGCUACAGUGCGCGCCACGCGCACGCGGAGACGGCACGGGCACGGGCACGGGCACGGGGCAGCGCCCUCCGCUGGCUCUCGGUCCCGGUGCCGGUUUUGGACGGGCUCGUACGUGCGCGGGCGGCGCUGCCCUCGAGGCUUUUGCCUCGCUCGGAGCCGGAGCCGGAGCGCGACGGCGGCGCGCGGGGAUCCGUAGCCCCACCGCGGGCCGGGCCGGGGUCGCGGGGGUUUGACGAGAACGGACAUCAAUAACUUUCUUUUUUUCUCUCUUCUUACAGUAACCCGGGAACCCGUUUUUUCACGCGGCAACCAUCGCUUUCCCUCCCGGUGGCACAGCGCGCCGCAGCUUUCAAGCCAUUGUAGACUUGUCGUACCACCGCCACUGCAGCGCCGCGCCAAGCAAAAUCAAUCAAUGGUUUUCGGUGCUCGUAGGCCUGUGGAGCUGCGUGCGUUGCAUGGCCUUGACGAGGACGAAUCCUACCGUUGCGUGGGCCGCUAGCGAUGAGGACCGGAGAGUAAAAUGGAAUUGCUUAAAUGUCGCUCUCCCCUUGUCAAGUCAGGAAAAGUAUGCAUAAAUAUCGCUGUCAAUUUGGUUCAUAUCUCGCGAGAUCGCCCUUUUACCGCUAAACAAACAAAAUAAAACAUAAAGGGUAAGGUAAGAUAAGAUGCUUGUUAAUUAUACAUAUUCUUGUCCCCCAAAUCAAGCAAGGCCGGGAGGAAAAGAAACUAACUUUAUACAGUCUCGCAUCCUAAUUUUGGUAAAGGAAAAGUAAAAACGCAGCAAGAGGAGGCAGAGGGAACCGGAAACAGAACUUGGAAAAGAAGAAAGGAAAAACACAGCAGAGCAGCACCGGACGGACGGAGGAAGACGACGACGUCCUAGAUAGAUAGUAAUAAGAAGAUUGACGGAACGAGGUGCAUUUCCAUGUCUCUGAUCGGUCCAAUCCCGAAGUAGUAAGAGCCAUGUGUGAAGCGACUGGAACGGUGGGAACCUUCUGCUGCAGCGACGAUGAUCAG